Molecule: long non-coding RNA, 94157 nt
Filed under: Capsella rubella
Lineage: Eukaryota; Viridiplantae; Streptophyta; Magnoliopsida; Brassicales; Brassicaceae
Description: long non-coding RNA (CRUB_LNC000825)
Source: RNAcentral
GAUAUUAUUCAUCUCUUCAAUCAUACUUGCUAAUGGAUUCUUCUUCUUUUUUCCUUACCUCUGUUCUUGCUGCAACUAUAGACUUGUUCACGAUUUUAAGAAAACUCAGACUCCAUCAAGAAGAGGACGAAGAAGCUUCAUCUCCUCCAUGUUCUUUGUCUCCGUCAUCUUCUUCAUCUUCUCUAAAUCGCAUCUGGACACACCAUGUCUUUCCAAGCUUCCGUGGGGUAGAUAUCCGUAGAGACUUUCUAAGUCACAUUCAAAUGGAGUUUCAAAGAAUGGGAAUCACACCAAUCAUUGAUAAUGAGAUUAAGAGAGGAGAAUCCAUCGGUCCUGAACUCAUUCGGGCUAUUAGAGGAUCCAAGAUCGCAAUUAUCUUACUCUCAAGAAACUACGCUUCUUCGAGUUGGUGUCUUGACGAAUUGGUGGAAAUUAUGAAGUGAAAGGAAGAAUUGGGUCAAAUAGUGAUGGUUGUUUUCUAUAAAGUGGAUCCCUCUGAUGUGAAAAAACUAACCGGAGAAUUUGGGAAAAUCUUCAGAAAAACUUGUGCCGGUAAAACAAAGCAGGACACUGGGAGAUGGAGACAAGCUUUGGCUAAAGUAACCACAAUCGCUGGUUACCAUUCAAGCAACUAGUUUGUUUUUUUCUAUUUUCAUUUAAAUCAGUUAAAUUAUCUACCAAACAUCUAAAUGUACAUAUUUAUAGCUAGUUUUCUUAAAGCAUAGAAAUUAAAUUCAUAGUAUUGUAGUGUAUGUUUUCUACAUAAUUGCUUAAUCGCUGUAGUGAUCUCUUUUAUUGUUAGGGAUAAUGAAGCGGCUAUGAUCAAACAAAUCUCUGCUGAUAUUUCCAAUGAGUUAAAUAAUUCAGCAUCAUCAAGUGAUUUUGACGGGUUGGUUGGUAUGAGAGCUCAUUUGCAGAAGAUGGAACCAUUGUUAUGCCUAGAUUCAAACGAAGUGAGGAUGAUCGGGAUUUGGGGUCCUCCUGGGAUCGGGAAGACCACCAUUGCUAGAGUUGCAUACAACAAAUUCUCCAACAAUUUCCAGCUACAUGUCUUUAUGGAAUCUAUAGAAGUAAAAUAUACAAGACCUUGUUCCGAUGACUACAGUGCAAAGUUGCACCUACAACAACAAUUUAUGUCUCAAAUAACCAACCAAUAUGAUAUGAAGAUUUAUCAUUUAGGAGUUGUUAAAGACAGGCUAAAAGACAAGAAAGUUCUUGUUGUUCUUGAUGGUGUGGACCAGUCAAUGCAACUAGAUGCCAUGGCAAAAGAACCUCGGUGGUUUGGUCCUGGGAGUCGGAUUAUCAUCACAACCCAAAAUCGGAAGCUUUUUAGGACACAUGGGAUCAACCAUAUUUACAAGGUGGAUUUUCCACCGGAUGACGAGGCUCUUCAAAUCUUUUGCACAUAUGCUUUUGGUCAAAAGUCCUCUAAAGAUGGUUUUAAAGAACUUGCUCGAGAAGUUACAAAACUUGCUGGUAAACUCCCUUUGGGUUUAAGGGUUAUGGGCUCUUAUUUUCGAGGUAUGUCUAAGCAGGAGUGGGCAAAGGAAUUACCAAGGUUAAGGACUAGCCUUGAUACCGAUAUUCAAAGCAUUCUGAAGUUCAGUUAUGAUGCCUUAGAUGACGAAGAAAAAUAUUUGUUUCUUCAUAUAGCUUGCUUUUUUAAUUAUCAAGUGAUUGAGAAAGUGGUUACUCAUCUUUAAUAUCUAUUAUUGGAUGCGAGACAAGGGCUUAACGUCUUAGCUGAAAAAUCUCUCAUAUCUAUAGAGUAUGGAAGUGUACGUAUGCAUAAUCUGCUAGUCCAACAAGGUAGAGAUAUAGUUCGUAUACAGUCUGUUCGUGAGCCUGGACAACGCCUAUAUUUAGUUGAUGGAAGAGAAAUUUGUGAAAUACUCACUGAUGAUGUAGGAGUAAGUUUUGACAUAUAUCCCAAUAAAUAGUGUUUAUUUGAUGAUGAAUCAUCUCUUAUUAUUUUUGUUUCUUUUUCAGGCUAAUAGAAGAUUCAUAGGCAUAAAUUUCGAUUUCAGCGUGAAACGUGUCAAGAAAAAAUUUAGUAUAAGUGAGAGAGCCUUUCAAGGAAUGACUAAUCUGCAAUUCUUAAAAUUGAAGGGAAUUCACAAUACAUUAGAUCUACCCCGUGGUCUAGUAUAUAUGUCUGGAAAUCUUCGAUUACUACUAUGGAUGGAGUUUCCAAUGACAUGUUUGCCUCCUAUUUUUAAGCUAGAGUUGCUAGUUGAAAUAGAGUUGAGUUAUAGCAAACUUGAGAAGUUGUGGGAAUGAAUUAAAGUAAGUACAAUAUUUAUUUAUAUUUCAGAAAUUUAAACUAAUUUCAAAUAAAUAUCUUUUCAUUGUUACAAUUUUAUUUUGAUUAAUUAUUAAAGCUUAUGUUCUUGUCAUUUUUCUGUAUAGCCGCUUCCAAAUCUCAAGUGGAUGGAUUUGAGAUCGUCUAAAUUGCUCCAGCCUAGUGAAGCUCCCAUCUAUUAUUGGGUCUACUAAAAAUCUUCAGCAAUUGUAUCUUGGUUGUUGCUCAAGUCUGAUAAGUCUCCCCUCUUUCAUUGGAACUUCCACUAAUCUGCAAAUAUUAGCUCUCGGUGGAUGCUCAAGUCUAGUGGAGCUUCCUUCCUUUGAUAAUAAUCUCAGCAAUCUAAAAGAAUUGGAUCUUAGCUGUUUAUCAAGUCUUGUGGAGCUUCCUUCCUUUGCUUGUACAUAUUCGAAGUGGAAAUGGAUGUUACUUCCAACGAACAUAUCGUUCAAGCAUGUUACGUUCAAGCAUGUACGUUCAAGCAUAUUCGAAGUGGAAAUGGAUGUUACUUCCAACGAGCUUGUCUUUGAGUUUAAGGCCGACCAUAACGACUGGAAGAUAGCACAAUGCGGGGUAAUCCAACUCUCAGAGGUCCCUUGAUGAAUCAUAACAAGGCGAUUACAGAGAAACACCCUUGAUGAACCUGAAGUCUUUGGCAAAGUAUUGGAGACUGUCACUACAUUUCUAGAGCAUAAUGAGAGAAGCAACAAGGUAACAUAAUCUACGCUUCUAGAUUUUGUACAAUUUUAAGGGAAUCUGAAAUCUUUGUGUAUCUGCAACUUUAAUUCUUCUUUUAAAGUUUUAAGAUAUCUGAAGAAAUCAUUUGAAUAUUAUAUAGUCUAUUGUGUUGAAUCAUCUCAUCAACAAAUAUGAGAAAUAUUUAAAGUUGUAUUUCCAACAUUGAUUAUGGUACGUGAUCAGCUUAUGCAUUUUUAUAGUUUGUUUUUUCAACCACAGGUUAGUAAUCCGUCAAUGCAAUUUAUGUUGUAUGAGACUAUGUCAACCAGCCGCUUUGGAGGUCAAGACAGGGGACUAAAGCAAAGAGUUGUUGUGUUGGACGCGUUUCUGAAAAUGAUUCGAUACGAAGGGCUUUACAGGUUUUACAAAGGGAUGAGCACAAAGAUAGUGCAAAGUGUUCUGUUCAUGAUCAAGGAUGAGCUUGCAAAGGGAGCUAAGUUGUUGCUCUCAAAUGGCAAACUCAAGUCCAAGCCUUCUUAAAUAAACGCUAUCCAACGACAACUUUUAGAUUAUAAGAUUGAAAUAAAAUAAAAUAGAUUAAUUUAUCAAACACUAUUGGGAGUGUCGUGCAUUUUCAUUCCUGUAGACUUUUUGUUUGAUCUGAUGACUAAAGUGAUUCUACAUAAGGUUUAUACGAAGUUCCAGUCCAGAGAUAUAAAAAAUUUAGAAUCACUUUCAUCACUAAAAUGAUUCUCCACUUUGGAAAUCACCAUGAAUUAGAUUUUAUUUUCUGAUAAUACUCAGUUAAUAUAAAAAAGUAUAUGUUCAACAUCUCAAAUCCGUUAAAAAGUUAAGAGAAUCAUUUAGAGCCAUAUUAUACAUAAGAUCAAAAUGAGUUGAAAUGCGAGUAAGCAAAAAGUUUUACUUAAUAAGCAUCCAAACUUUAAAGUUUGUAUAACAUUUAGUUCGUUUUUAAGUGAAUUGUUUGAUUUUACCGUAUAUAGUCAAUUUUAAAAUUUUAAUUUUAAUUUAAUAAAAAAUUUAAACUAACACAAACAAAUUUUUUUGAGGAUGGGUUGUGUAAAAUACAACGAGACUGGUUUGAAUGGAUAUUAAUUACUAAACAAUUAUCAUAUCAUUAGUCUAAUAUUUCAAUACCGGUUAAAUCUUUAUUUUCUAUUUUUAAUAACAUUAAUAUAAUGCAUAUAGAAUCAAACUGGGGGGAAAUAAUUACAAAUAUAUAACCUUUAAUGGAUUAGAAUAUGUUACAUUUUAAUUUUAUUGCAGUGCAGUCGAGUACAGUGAAUCAUAUAUAUGUAUAAUAAAUUUAAAUAAAAUAAUAAACGAAAAAGCAAGUAAAUAAUCAUAUAUUGAGUUUUCAUACAACUAAAAACACGGUGAAAAAAUAAUAACAAGAAAUAAUAUUUGUCGAUAAAUUAUUCAUUUUGACCUUUUUGUAGUAGAAGUAGGAAUAUACGUAAAAUUACAUAUUUACAAUAUAUUUUUUGAAGGACCAACCCGUAACAGAAUUCGUUUUGUAAAAAACUUUAUUCAUUAUUCGCUUUAUCAUUAUAAUUAUGAUUUUAAAAAACUACCCGUGAACUAUCUAAAAUUUACAUAGUUUGAUAUAUAAUAUAUUUUAUCAAUAAAAAUUAAGUCUCCAAAAUUACAUUUAUGUCUUCAAAAAUAAUAUAUUUCAAUAUUUUAAAUUCUAAAUUUUUUAUAUAUUUGAACCUUUUAAUCAUAAGAUUUUGAAACUUUUUGAAAUUUUAAAUAUGCUCAUGUAACAAUGGUUUUAAUAUUGGCAAUACUUAUAAUGAUUUUAAACCAUUGUCCAAAAUAUUUAACGGGAAAAAUGUUAUUUAAAUCUCGAACAUACCAAUUUUGGCCAUUUUAAUCCUCGACUUCUACUGUGGCCAUUACAAUCAUAGACUUCUCGUCGACAUUAUUUUUAAAUUACUAUCUUCUGUUGACUUAGCCAGAUUGAGCAUGUCAUCAAAUCAAGUUCUCUAACAGAGGAGUUAACAGCCGUUUAGGAUCGUUAAUCGAUCUCUGUUAAGUCAAAAAAUGAGAAUCACAAGGACAAGCAUCGUCGUGCUGCCUUAAACGAAAUGCCUAAAUCUCCAAACCGAGUGUAGCUGAGUAUUAUAUGUCCCUUUUGAAAAUUUUAAAUUGCAACGUAUGCAAAAAAAAGGUUAAAUUUAAUUAAAUAUUUAUAUUAUAUAGUAUAAUAUCAUAAAUAAAAAAGAGAAAUUCUUACUAAUAACCUUUUUAUAAUACCCUUUUGCAAAACUACUCUUUUUUUUUGCCAUUUUCAAUUUUGCCCUCUCUUAAAUUUUAAUGGUCAUUUUACCCUUACGUGAAAGAAUAUUCUCCCCAAAAAAUUUCUGCCUAAAUUUUCACGCCUAAAAAUUUUCGGAAAAAUAUUUUCCCGCUUUUUUAAAGGGUUUACAAGAAUUUUUAAAGGGUCUUUUAAAGGGUUUACAAGGGUUUUAAAGGGAUUUACAAGAGUUUUAAAAUGAUUUUUAAAAGAUUUGUAAUGGUUUUUAAAGGGUUUUAGAAGCUUACAAAGGUUUUUAAAUGGUUUUUAAAUGAUUUCCAAUGGUGUUUUAAAGUUUUUAUUAGUUUAUAACAGUUUUAAAAGGAUUUACAAGGAUUUUUAAAAGAUUUUAAAAAUUUACAAAGAUUUUUAAAAGUUUUUUAAAAGGAUUUACUGGUAUUUUUAAAAGGAUUUACAAGUGUUUUUAAAGUCAUACAAGGUAACAUAAAAUCAUCUACGUAGAAAGAAGGUAACAUAAUAUACGUUUAUAGAAUUUGUACAAUAUUAAGGGAAUUUGAAAUCUUAUUGUAUCUGCAACCUUAGCCAAAUAUUAAUUCUUCUUUAAUUUUUUUUUUAUCAUGAAUUAUUAUCUGAAGAAAGCAUUUGAAUUUUAUAGUCCAGUGUGUUAAAUCAUUUCACCAACAUAAAUAUCUCUUGACUUUUUGUUUGAUUUGAUGACUAAACAUAGAGUUUAGAAUCACUUUAACUACAUUUUAUAGUCUUCUUUAUAGAUUAUUUUUCUGAUAAAACCUUCUCAAUACAUGUGAUAAGUUAACUAAUAUGUUAUUACCAGAUCAAGAGAGCACUUUUAAAAAUUUUGUCAUUUCUCUCCAAACAUUGUAAAACCACAUGCUGCUUCUUUGAUGCCCAUGCUACAGCUCCACCUCCUAACAAAAAUGCCCACUUGUACUCUUUCUAUCAUCAAUGUCUCCUGCAUAGUCACUGUCUGUAUAUACAAAAAUGCCCAAUUAUAGCUUGAGACUAUAGUUUACAGCAUCGUUGCUUAUAACGAUAAAUAAAUAAUUUUAAGAGAGUCAACUAACUUUGACUUUGUUAUCUUCAUUGGUUUUGGUCUCUUCUUCCUGUGUGAUAUAUUUCCAAACUUCAUCAACAGUUCCCGUCGAUGUUGAGCCUUGUCUUUGCACUAGAUUUAUUCUUAACCAACUCAUCCAUUUUAGACAAGUUGAUAUUUAUUAAUUAUUACUUUUUUCAUUUUCUAUAAAUCUUUUUCAUAUAUUGUUUAUAGACAAAAACUUUAAUUUUAUUAAAUAAAUUAAAUUUAAGGAAAUGAUAAAUGAUUACAAUUAUAAAUAAAAACUUAUAAUUAAUGUAAUAUUGUUGUAAACCACAUGCAUUGUGUAGAAUUAAUUUGAAUAGAGGUUCUUAUGAAAUGAUGGUAUUCAUACAACUUAGGAAAUUUCUAUGCUAUAUUUCAUGGUAAUCAUUUAUCUACUGAAUUAAGAUUAACUUAAAUAUGUACAAUACUCUCUUCUUCUUUUUUUUUUUUUUUUUUAUAAAUCUACAAUAUUAAAAAAAUAUGGAAAAAAUCAUCCAAAAUAUGAUGAUUACAAAUAAAUAAAUAUCAGAAUUACAAAGGGCUGAUUUCUUUUUUUUUAAUUUGAGGUUUCCAGCUGUACUUCCAUGAAGUUUUUUUUUAAUUGAAUGUAAUAUUUUAUUCAAUCAAAAUCCAUGUGUACAAAUAAUGCUUCAGUUGGUUAAAAAAAUUAGACAAUAGUUGGAAAAUAAAACAGAAUUUAAAAAGCUAUAUGUGAAUUUUAGCGGGUGGAAUACCAGAGGCGGAGACCAUCGUUAUAAUGAGGAUCACCUAUGUCUCGGAUUGUGCUGAGACUGUUUCGAACAUUCUUGUCAAUGAACAUUCUUUUCUUUUUAUAAAUCUACAAUAUUUAAAAUUAUGGAAAUACUCAUCCAAAAUAUGAUGAUCACAAAUAGAUUAAAAUCAGAAAUUUCCAACUACUUCCAUGAAUUUCCUGUUGCCUAUUUAAUGUAAAUGUUAGAGAAGUUACUUUUGUGUAUACUUUUCUCAUAUUUAUUUUGUGUCAUGGAAAUAGCACAACCACUCCAGAACCCACAUGACUUUGUUCUCAUUUACUUUAAAGUUUUGUUUCUAAAAAAAUCUUUGAACGAAGCUUCCUCUCUUGCUAGUUGCUUGUCCUGUGUGAGAACUAAAGACUCUUUUAUAUUAUGAGUCAAUGAGUCAACGUUCUUGUAUACAUAGUCUCUUUUGCAACUUAUCUUCUUCCACAUAGCUCUCUUUAACGCUCUCUGAUAUUAUUCAUCUCUUCAAUCAUACUUGCUAAUGGAUUCUUCUUCUUUUUUCCUUACCACUGUUCUUGCUGCAACAAUAGGCUUGUUCACGAUUUUAAGAAAACUCAGACUCCAUCAAGAAGAUGACGAAGAAGCUUCAUCUCCUCCAUCUUCUUUGUCUCCUUCAUCUUCUCCAUCUUCUCUAAAUCGCAUCUGGACACACCAUGUCUUUCCAAGCUUCCGUGGGGAAGAUGUCCGUAGAGACUUUCUUAGUCACAUUCAGAUGGAGUUUCAAAGAAUGGGAAUCACACCAUUCAUUGAUAAUGAGAUCAAGAGAGGAGAAUCCAUCGGUCCUGAACUCAUUCGGGCGAUUAGAGGAUCCAAGAUCGCAAUUAUCUUACUCUCAAGAAACUACGCUUCUUCGAGUUGGUGUCUUGACGAAUUGGUGGAAAUUAUGAAGUGUAAGGAAGAAUUGGGUCAAAUGGUGAUGGCUGUUUUCUAUAAAGUGGAUCCGUCUGAUGUAAAAAAACUAACCGGAGAUUUUGGGAAAAUAUUUAGAAAAACUUGUGCUGGUAAAACAAAGCAGGUCAUUGGAAGAUGGAGACAAGCUUUGGCUAAAGUAGCCACAAUCGCUGGUUACCAUUCAAGCAACUGGUUUGUUGUUUUAUAUUUUCAUUUAAAUCAGUUAAAUUAUUUUACAAACAUCUUAAUUAUAUAAUUAUAGCUAGCUUUUCUAAAAGCAAAGAAAUUAAAUUGAUAGUAUUCUAGUGUGUGUUUUCUACAAAAAUUUUUAAUCGAUGUAGUGAUCUCUUCUAUUAUUAGGGAUAAUGAAGCGGCUAUGAUCAAACAAAUCUCUACUGAUAUUUCAAACAAGUUGAAUAUUUCAUCAUCAUCAAGUGAUUUUGACGGGUUGGUUGGUAUGAGAGCUCAUUUGCAGAAGAUGGAACCAUUGUUAUGCCUAGAUUCAAAUGAAGUGAGGAUGAUCGGGAUUUGGGGUCCUUCUGGGAUAGGGAAGACCACCAUUGCUAGGGUUGCAUACAACAAACUUUGCAACAGUUUUCAACUGAGUGUCUUUAUGAAAUCUAUCGAAGCAAAUUAUACAAGACCUUGUUCUGAUGACUAUAGUGCAAAGUUACAGUUACAACAACUAUUUAUGUCUCAAAUAACCAGCCAAAAUGAUAUGAAGAUUUCUCAUUUAGGAGUUGUUAAAGACAGGUUAAAAGACAAGAAAGUUCUUGUUGUUCUUGAUGGUGUGGACCAGUCAAUACAACUAGAAGCCAUGGCGAAAGAAACUUGUUGGUUUGGUCCUGGGAGUCGGAUUAUCAUCACAACGCAAAAUCGAAAGCUUUUUACGACAAAUGGGAUCGACCAUAUUUACAAGGUGGAUUUUCCACCAGAUGACGAGGCUCUUCAAAUCUUUUGCAUGUAUGCUUUUGGUCAAAGGUCCUCUAAAGAUGGUUUUAAAGAACAUGCUCGAGAAGUUACAAAACUUGCUGGUAAUCUCCCUUUGGGUUUAAGGGUUAUGGGUUCUUAUUUACGAGGAAUGUCUAAGCAGGAGUGGGAAAAGGUACUACCCAAGUUAAGGACUAGCCUUGACACCGAUAUUCAAAGCAUUCUGAAGUUCAGUUAUGAUGCCUUAGAUGAUGAAGAAAAAUAUUUGUUUCUUCAUAUAGCUUGCCUUUUUAAUCACCAAGUGAUUGAGAAAGUGGUUGCUCAUCUUGCAUAUCUAUUCUUGGAUGUGCGACAAGAGCUUAACGUCUUAGCUGAGAAAUCUCUCAUAUCUAUAGAGGAUGGACGUAUAACUAUGCAUAAUCUGCUAGUCCAUCUAGGUAGAGAUAUAGUUCGUAAACAAUCUGUUCGUGAGCCUGGACAACGCCUAUAUUUAGUUGAUGCAAGAGAAAUUUGUGAAAUACUCACUGAUGAUGUAGGAGUAAGUUUUGACAUAUAUCCCAACAAACCAUGUUUAUUUGCUUAUGAAUCAUCUCUUAUUAUACAUUUUCUGUUUUCAGGCUAGUAGAAGAUUCAUAGGCAUAAAUUUCGAUUUCGGCAUGAAAAGCGUCAAGGAUAAAAUUAAUAUAAGUGAGAAAGCCUUUCAAGGAAUGACUAAUCUCCAGUUCUUAAAAUUCCUGGGGAGUAACAAUAUUGUAGAUCUACCUUGUGGUCUAGAGUAUAUGUCUCGAAAUCUUCGAUUAUUACAAUGGUGGUAUUUUCCAAUGACAUGUUUGCCUCCUAUAUUCAACUCGGAAUUUCUAGUUGAAAUAGAGUUGAAGUAUAGCAAACUUGAGAAGCUGUGGGAAGGAAUUAAAGUAAGUAAAUAUUUUAUUUAAUUUUCAUAAAAUUUAAAUUAAUUUCAAAUAAAUAUCUUUUUGUUGUUAUAAUUUUAUUUUAAUUAAUUAUUAAAGCAUGUAAGAGUGUUUUUAAUGUCCUUUUAUACAGUUUUUUUUAAUUGAGUGUUGAUAAAAUGUUCUUAUUAUUUGUCUGUAUAGCCGCUUCCAAAUCUCAAGUGGAUGGAUUUGAGUUCGUCUCAAAACCUGAAGGAGCUUCCUGAUCUCUCAACAGCCACCAAUCUUUUCGAAUUGGAUCUCAGAGAUUGCUCCAGCCUGGUGAAGCUCCCAUCGACUAUUGGGUAUACUAAAAAUCUUCAGAAAUUGAAUCUUCGUGGUUGCUCCAGCCUAGUGAAGCUCCCAUCUACUAUUGGGUAUACCAAAAAUCUUCAGAUAUUGAAUCUUGGUGAAUGCUCAAGUUUGAUAAGUCUCCCCUCUUUCAUUGGAACUUCCACUAAUCUGCAAAUAUUAAAUCUCGGUGGAUGCUCAAGUCUAGUGGAUCUUCCUUCCUUUGUUGGUAAUUUCAUCAAUCUAAGAACAUUGAAUCUUAGCCGUUUAUCAAGUCUAGUGGAGCUUCCUUCCUUUGUUGGUAAUGCCAUGAAUCUUGAGAGUUUGGACCUUAGCGAUUGCUCAAGUCUGGUAAAGCUUCCCUUUUCUAUUGGAAACCUCCAGAAGCUGCAGUAUUUGUUCUUAACCGGGUGCUCGAAGCUAGAGUUUCUUCCGACAUAUAUCAACUUGGAAUCUCUCUAUGAACUUGAUCUCAGGAAUUGCUUGUUGUUGAAAUUGUUUCCUGAGAUCUCCACGAGCCUUGGAACUCUCAAAAUCGCAGGAACUGCAAUAGAAGAAGUCCCUUCAUCAAUCAAAUCUUGGUCUCGUCUCACAGAUUUGAGUAUGACAUACAGUGUAAAACUAAAGGAAUGUCCUCAUGCUUUUGACAUCAUCACAGAGCUGUACGUGGAUGAUGACGAAAUACAAGAGCUUCCGCCAUGGGUCGACAAAUUCUCUCGUCUGCAAGAACUUUGGCUCAUUGCAUGCAAAAAGCUGGUUUCAAUCCCACAGAUUCCAGAUUCCCUCUAUUACAUAGAUGCAGAAGAUUGUGAGUCCUUGGAGAGACUAGAUUUCUCCUUUCAAAAUCCAUAUUUUUCUGUUCUCAAUUUUGCUAAGUGCUUCAAAUUGAAUCAAGAAGCCAGAGACCUCAUCAUCGGAGCACGGCCUAGUGAAUUUACCGUCUUACCUGGCGGAGAAGUGCCUGCAUACUUCACUCACCGAACUGUUACCGGAGGUUCCUUGACAAUUAAUUUAAACGAGAAGCCUCUUCCUACAUCCAUGAGAUUUAAAGCUUGCAUUUUGCUGGUUAAUGAAAGUGACGAUGAGACUUGCUCUGACGUUUCUGUUACGUGUAAAAAUAGCGAGACAACACUAUAUGACAUUUUUACAGAGCAUUUGUACAUAUUCGAAGUGGAAAUGGACGUGACUUCCAGCGAGCUUGUCUUUGAGUUCAAGGUUCGCCCAAACGUUUGGGAGACAAGACAGUGCAAUUGGAAGAUAGGACAAUGCGGGGUAAUCCAAGUCUCUGAGGUCCCUUGAUGAAACUGAAGUCUACGGUAAAGUAUUGGAGACGGUCACUACAAUUCAAGAGAACACUGAGAGAAGCAAGAAGGUAAUUUAAUCUACGUUAUUAGAUUUUGGCUGCUCUGUUUCUCGCCAUCAUCGUUUCACCAAUUUGCGUUUUCUCAUCUGAAAUUCAGCAGAUCGGUUCUAAUCAUAAUUUAAUGAAUGAUCUGGACGCAGCUAAUCUCAGAACAUCUCGAUUGGGUAAUAAAUUUUAGCUCUUUUGGUUCGUGGUGGUUAUUGGGUUUAACAACAAAAUCAUCUCUUUUUCUGUGUGUGUUAAUUAUCCGGUUAACUUUGGUUAACUGAGCCGGUUAUGUUUACUGGUUUAAAUGUCGUUACUAAGCUACUGUAUAAAGCUUAAGUAUACGUUAAUUUUCUGUUUAAGCUUUGUAACAAACUCUUAUGAGUCUUAUCAAUAACAAAGUUUCUCGUGUUUCUCUCCUUCGUCGUUUCACCAUUUUCUCCGAUUAACCGGAGUUUAUUAUGGUAUCAGAGCCAAAUCGAGUGUUUUAGCUUCCGCAUCUUGUUCGACGGAGAUGAGUUUCCCGAUCUAUUCAUGUUCUUGUUUUCUUUACCAAUUUCUCCUCGCUGUUUGCGAUUACAUUCUCCGAAUCUUGUUCUUCGUUUUGAUUCUUUCUAUUCUCUUUUGAUUUGACCUUGGGUGCUGACGAUUUCUAUUUUGAUUACUCUUCUCGUCACUCUCCUUUUCUUCGAUUUCGAUUUCAAUCUCAAUUUCUAUACGAUGAGUUCUGUUCCGAUUACUCGACCACCGACUCCGAUACAGCAAGAUCCGCCACCGACUGCUUCACGUUAUCCAGCGGAUCAUUAUGAAAAUCCGUAUUACUUGAAUAGUGCAGAUCAUGCUGGGCUUGUUCUUGUUUCAGAUCGUCUCAGUACGGCUUCUGAUUUUCCAUCUUGGCGUCGUUCAAUGUUAAUGGCUUUGAAUGUCAGAAACAAGCUAGGCUUCAUCAAUGGUACGAUUACACAACCAUCUGAGAAUCAUAGAGAUUUUGGUCAAUGGUCUAGGUGUAAUGACAUUGUCUCGACUUGGUUGAUGAAUUCGGUUGAUAAGAAAAUAGGCCAGAGUUUGUUGUUUAUCUCUACUGCAGAAGGCAUUUGGAACAACAUUUUGUCUCGUUUUAAGCAGGACGAUGUACCAAGAAUAUUUGAUAUUGAACAAAAGUUGAGUAAGAUUGAACAAGGUUCAAUGGAUAUUUCUACUUACUAUACUGCUUUGAUGACUUUGUGGGAAGAAUAUAAGAAUUAUGUAGAUCUUCCAGUUUGUACGUGUGGUCGUUGUGAGUGUGAUGCAGCAGCCAAGUGGGAAAGUUUGCAACAGAAGAGUCGUGUCACCAAAUUCUUAAUGGGGCUUAAUGAAGGCUAUGAUCAAACUAGACGUCAUAUAUUGAUGUUGAAGCCUUUACCAACGAUUGAAGCAGCUUUUAAUAUGGUGACUCAAGAUGAAAGGCAGAAGGUUGUCAAGCCAUCUACUCGUGUUGAUAAUGUUGCAUUUCAGAGUGUUGCUCCAAUGAUGAAUGAUGCAGACACUGCUUAUAUAGCUGCAUAUAACACUGCAAGAUCAUCACAGAAACCAGUAUGUACCCAUUGUGGGAAGAUGGGUCACACGGUUCAAAAAUGUUACAAGUUACAUGGAUUUCCACCAGGUUAUAAAACCAAUACUCCUGCUACUGCUGGUUAUGGUUAUGGUGUUAGACCUCCUACUCAGUUUCAGCCUAGAAUGCCAAUGGUACAAGGUCAACCUCGGAUGCCACAGUCUCAGUCUCAGAUGCAACCUAAUCCGUAUACAAAUUCAAUGCAGCGUGCAAAUGCAGUUGCUCAGGUGUAUUCUGAGAAUGGCUAUUAUCCUACUGAUGAUGCAUCUUAUGGUUAUAUGUCUCCAUAUACACCUCAGUAUUCUCAGACUGGUGGAAACAGUGUCAAUCUUCAAGAAUUUACUCCACAGCAGAUUGAACAAAUGGUGUCACAAUAUAAAGCUCAAGCUCCAGUAAAUGAUUCAAAUGUUCCAGCUUCUGGUACAAGUAUUUCUACUGCUAUGGCUACUAUUUCUGAACAUGGUUUAAUGGCAUCCACUUCUUCUUCUGGUAUCAAUUUUCUCUUCCCUUCUACAAGCCUUAAAUAUCAGCAAAAUCAUCUUACUUUUCAGAAUCAUAUUCUUUCGUCCUUAGAAACAUUUCUUCCUAGUGAUGCUUGGAUUAUAGAUAGUGGAGCUUCUAGUCACGUUUGUUCAGAUCUAGCAUUGUUUAGAGAUUUAAAGCCUGUCUCGAAUGUUACUGUCACCUUACCAAAUGGUACUCGAGUCUCUAUUACACAUAUAGGCACCGUUUAUAUUUCUCCCAAAUUGAUUUUACAUAAUGUGUUGCAUGUUCCUGAUUUUAAAUUCAAUCUCAUUAGUGUAAGCAUUUUAGUUAAAACUUUAGGAUGCUCAGCUCAUUUCUAUGAUUCUUGUUGUUUGAUUCAGGAACUUUCUCAGGGCUUGAUGAUUGGGAGGGGUAAAAUCUAUCACAAUCUCUACAUCCUUGAGACUACAAAAACAUCCCUCUCUACAUCAACACCUGCAGCUUGUUCUUUUUCUGGUUCUGUGACUGAUGAUGGAUUACUUUGGCAUCAGCGUCUAGGACAUCCAUCACGCAUAGCUUUACACAAACUUGUUAGUCAUAUUCCUUCUUUAAAAUCUACUUCCUUAAAAUCUCAUUGUACUAUCUGUCCUUUAGCUAAGCAAAGAAGAUUAGCCUAUGUUUGUAAUGGGAAUUUAGCAGAUAAACCUUUUGAUCUAAUACAUCUAGAUAUUUGGGGUCCUUUUAGUAUAGAAUCUAUUGAAGGUUUUCGUUAUUUUCUUACUCUAGUGGAUGAUUGUACUAGAACAACAUGGGUGUAUAUGUUGAGAAAUAAAAAGGAUGUUCACAAUGUUUUCCCAGUUUUUCUAAAACAUGUUAAAACACAGUAUAAUGCAACUGUAAAAGCAAUAAGGUCUGAUAAUGCUCCAGAAUUGGCUUUUCCUGAUAUUAUUAAAGAACAAGGCAUGAUGCAUUACUUUUCAUGUGCAUACACACCUCAGCAGAAUUCUGUAGUUGAAAGAAAACAUCAGCAUUUACUUAAUGUGGCUCGUUCUUUGCUGUUUCAGUCAAAUGUGCCUUUACAAUAUUGGAGUGAUUGUGUUUUAACUGCUGUCUUCUUGAUUAAUCGAUUACCAUCACCACUGUUAGCAAAUAAAUCACCUUAUGAAUUGUUACUUCACAAAGUACCAGAUUAUUCAUUGUUAAAAACGUUUGGUUCUCUUUGUUAUAUGUCUACUAAUAAUCAUGAAAGGAAUAAAUUCUCUGCUAGGGCAAAACCAUGUGUAUUUUUAGGAUAUCCCAUGGGUUACAAAGGUUAUAAAGUGCUUGAUUUGGAAUCUCAUUCUGUCUCUGUUUCUAGGAAUGUAGUGUUUCAUGAGAGUCGAUUUCCUUUUAAAACUAGUGAGUUUUUAAAAACUGCAGUAGAUAUGUUUCCUAAUAGUAUUUUACCUUUACCAGCCCCUAUUCACUUUGUAGAAGAAACUCCAUUGAUUGAUGAUGAUUGUUUACUGCCUACUACUACACCUAAUAAUAUUACAUUAGAGCAGCAUAAUGCAUCUUCUUCUACUCGUAGUACCACUAUAACAUCUAGUACAGAGACGAUUGAUAUAGACUCUAACACUGUGAAUAAUACUAGGCCUAAACGAAAUUCUAGAGCUCCUAGUUAUCUAUCUGAGUAUCAUUGUUCUCUUUUACCUUUUGUUUCUUCUUUACCACCCACAGAAACUCUCUUUCAUCGAUCACCUAAACAGCCAACACCAAUUCCCCUUCCCUCAUCACCUAAAAAUACAACACCAUAUCCUAUUUCUUCUGUCAUCUCUUAUGACAAUUAUACACCUCUAUUUCAAUCUUACAUUUGUUCAUACAGUUUAGAAACAGAGCCAAAGAACUUUCAGCAGGCUAUGAAAUCAGAAAAGUGGACAAAAGCAGCAAAUGAAGAACUAUCUGCUAUGGAAACAAAUAAUACUUGGGUUGUGGAAUCUUUACCAGAUGGAAAGAAUGUUGUAGGUUGCAAAUGGGUGUUUACUAUCAAAUAUAACCCAGAUGGUACUGUGGAGAGAUACAAAGCAAGACUAGUUGCUCAGGGGUUCACUCAACAGGAAGGGAUUGAUUAUCUAGAAACUUUCUCCCCUGUUGCGAAAUUAGCAAGUGUGAAACUACUUCUUGGUCUUGCUUCAAUCAAAGGAUGGAGUCUCACUCAAAUGGACGUUUCCAAUGCAUUCUUACAUGGAGAUUUAGAUGAAGAAAUCUACAUGAGUCUUCCACAAGGUUAUACUCCACCAUCAAAUACAACAUUGCCUCAUAAUCCGGUAUGUCGAUUAUUGAAAUCACUUUAUGGCCUUAAGCAAGCCUCCAGACAAUGGUAUAAACGAUUCUCAUCAGUACUGCUAGGAGCAAACUAUGUUCAAUCUCCUGCGGAUAAUACCUUGUUUGUUAAAGUGACUUCUAACUCCUUUGUUGCUGUCCUAGUCUAUGUUGAUGACAUAAUGAUAGCAAGUGACAAUGAUGAAGCAGUAGAAGCUUUGAAGAAUCUGUUGAAAUCAGAAUUUAAGAUCAAGGAUCUAGGUCCAGCUAGGUUCUUUCUUGGCUUGGAAAUUGCUCGAUCAUCAAAAGGAAUCUCUGUUUGUCAAAGGAAAUAUGCACAGAAUCUGCUGGAAGAUGCUGGUUUACUUGGUUGCAAGCCGAGUUCUGUGCCAAUGGAUCCAAAUCUUCACUUGACCAGAGAUAUGGGAACAUUGCUUUCUAAUCCAACUUCAUACAGAGAAUUGAUAGGUCGAUUGCUUUAUUUGACCAUCACCAGGCCAGAUAUCACAUUUGCUGUUCAUCAGUUAAGUCAGUUUAUCUCUGCUCCAACUGAUAUACACUUACAGGCUGCACACAAGGUCUUGCGCUACAUUAAAGCUAACCCAGGAAUGGGUUUGAUGUAUUCUUCAGACUCAGAAUUAUGUUUGAAUGCUUUCUCAGAUGCAGACUGGGCUACUUGUAAAGAAACAAGAAGAUCGAUAACAGGUUUCUGUGUUUAUCUAGGAUCUUCUCUUAUUUCUUGGAAAUCAAAGAAACAGGCAGUUGCAAGCAGGAGCAGUACAGAGUCUGAAUAUCGAAGCAUGGCUCAGGCGACUUGUGAAAUCAUUUGGUUACAACAACUAUUGAAGGAUCUACACGUUACAGUCACUUGUCCUGCAAAGCUGUUUUGUGAUAACAAGUCAGCACUCCAUAUCUCAAUGAAUCCUAUGUUUCAUGAAAGAACUAAACAUAUCGAGAUUGAUUGCCACACGGUACGAGAUCAGAUCAAGGCAGGAAAUCUAAAGGCCUUACAUGUUCCUACAAGUGAGCAACAUGCAGACAUCUUGACUAAACCAUUACAACCAGGUCCAUUUCAUCACCUUCUCUCCAAAAUGUCAAUGUCAAGUCUGUAUCUUCCUCAUACUUCAGAGAUCAAGACUUGAGGGGGGGAUAUUAGAGUGAUAUCCGGUUAACUUUGGUUAACUGAGCCGGUUAUGUUUACUGGUUUAAAUGUCGUUACUAAGCUACUGUAUAAAGCUUAAGUAUACGUUAAUUUUCUGUUUAAGCUUUGUAACAAACUCUUAUGAGUCUUAUCAAUAACAAAGUUUCUCGUGUUUCUCUCCUUCGUCGUUUCACCAUUUUCUCCGAUUAACCGGAGUUUAUUAUUAAUUGUAUUGUUUUGGCUCUGAUCAUUUAGAGGCUGUUCUUGAGGCGACCAUAGAGAAGGUGGAUGCUAAGACCCUUUACUUGAAUGAGCGUGAGAAGCUGUACAAGAUGCUGAAAGUCAGAUCCAAAGUUUGCAGUUUGCUUCAUACAGUGACGAGGUUUGUAUUGGGAAGUCAACGGAUGCAAGUAUAGAAAAGAGUGGGAAGGCACUACAAGACGUUUUUACAGAGCAUUUGUACAUAUUCGAAGUGGAAAUGGACGUGACUUCCAGCGAGCUUGUCUUUGAGUUCAAGGUUCGCCAAGACAAUAGGGCGAUAGGACAGUGCAAUUGGAAGAUAGGACAAUGCGGGGUACUCCAACUCUUGGAAGUCCCUUGAUGAAACUGAAAUGUGCGGUAAAGUAUUGGAGACGGUCACUUACAAUUCAAGAGCACAAUGAGAGAAGCAAGAAGGUAAUUUAAUCUACGUUAUUAGAUUUUGGCUGCUCUGUUUCUCGCCAUCAUCGUUUCACCAAUUUGCGUUUUCUCAUCUGAAAUUCAGCAGAUCGGUUCUAAUCAUAAUUUACUGAAUGAUCUGGACGCAGCUAAACUCAUAACAUCUCAAUUGGGUAAUAAAUUUUAGCUCUUUUGGUUCGUGGUGGUUAUUGGGUUUAACAACUAAAUCAUCUCUUUUUCUGGGUGUGUUAAUUGUAUUGUUUUGGCUCUGAUCAUUUAGAGGCUGUUCUUGAGGCGACCAUAGAGAAGGUGGAUGCUAAGACCCUUUACUUGAAUGAGCGUGAGAAGAUGUUGAAAGUCAGAUCCAGAGUUUGCAGUUUGCUUCAUACAAGUAUAUAAAAUGUAAAAUGUUUGUUAUGGGAUAUGUAAUGGGAAUUCAACGGAUGCAAGUAUAGAAAUUAGCUAGAAGGGCAUUAGAUAGUUCCUCUAAUGAUGAGGGAAUGAAUGUGGUAGGACAAUUAUUAGAUCGUCUGUUCUGUAUCUGAGGCUAUGGAGCUUUAUCAUCAUAUCUGUAGUUGCAGCUGCCACUUCUGUCUAAUAACAACUUCCACACCUUUGAUAUCAGAUGGUUAAGAGUUGUUGAUAAGAAGACGUUUCAAAGCACCUUUCAUGUUUUGAUUUUGCUACUUUCUUCUUCUUCUUUUUUUGGCUACCGAUCUCGGUUUUUGGCGUCGAAAACUUGAGAGCAAGAUCUUUCCAUGGAUAUAAUAAUCAUCUUCUGAUUUCUUGUGGUUUGAUGGGAAAAUUGCUCUCAAAGUUCGAUGCUCGCAGGUCGUAUACUUGGGAAAUUGGCCGUAACUCUCAAACCGGAACUCCAAAUCGUGAUCCGUUUUUUCCUGUGGUUUCGUAUGACUGUUGUUGAUAUUCCCACCAAAUUUUGUAAGUUUCUGGGUUUUUUUGCUACUCCGUUUGUCCUCUGCAUCAAGACAGAUACAAAUACUGCAGUGAAAUCAGUAGUGAAGAAAGGUAAUGCAUUCAUUGGUCUGUAUUGUGUCUGUUUGUCCUUGAAUGCUUUCUCUUGAAUGAGUGAGUAAGUGAAAGAGUUGAGUCUGUUUAUGACAUGUUGGCAAGCUAAUUUGUUUUACAGUUUUAUUACUUUUGAGUUUUAUAGUUUUUGUUCUUAAAAGAGUUGCGUCUCUUGUAUAGUUUCUGUUCAUGAAUGAGUUUGUGUUUCGAUCAGUUUUUGUUCUUAAUGAGCUGCGGUUUUAGUUUUAGUUUAUGUUCUUGAACUAGAUUACCGCGGGUAAACAUUUUUUUAAUUCAUAUUUUUAAAAUUUUACAGAUUUUAUUGAAGUUUAUUUAAUAAUUACUAGAUUUGGACCCGCACGUACGUGCGGGAUUGAUUUCAAAAACAAAAUUUGUUAUAAAAUUUUCAAAUAUAUUAUGUACGUACGGGAUUAUGUUUGUAAACGUAAUUUUUAGGAAUUUUAUUAACAUUUAUAAUCUAAACCAGUAUCAAGUCAAUAUUUGAUAUUUUUUUUAAAUUAGGUUAAACAAAAAAAACGAUACGAUUUAGUUUUAUUAAAGACAGUUGUACUUGUACCUUAAAAAAUAGUAAAACAAUUGUAGUUUGUCAAUUUCGGGACAUAAAUCUUGUCUCGUGCGUCUUAAUAUGUCAUGUUUUUCCAUUCCAUAAGCAUUUUAAUUAUUUACCCAUUUGAGAUUGUAUAUUUUAGUCAAACAUACAAGAAAAUAGGUCAACGAUUUAGACUUACACAUAAAUGUAGGGUUCUAUUUGUAGACAUAUUUAUCCACUAUAGCAUUUAUAACAUAAACUAAUAUUGGUUUGCGUUCAUGAAGUUUGUGAAUGUCGGAUCGACAGGAUAGCAGAUCCAGACUGAGUGUGAACCGUGAGCUAUCAAAUACGUCCGCUAUGUAUGCUCCACACUAAAUACAUAUUAAAAUAUUUUGACCCACAAAAAAUACAUUUCCUGNNNNNNNNNNNNNNNNNNNNNNNNNNNNNNNNNNNNNNNNNNNNNNNNNNNNNNNNNNNNNNNNNNNNNNNNNNNNNNNNNNNNNNNNNNNNNNNNNNNNUGAUUUUUUUUAUGUUUCCAAUUUCCCGUACCUGUUAUUUCAUGUUCUGAUAUUUGAAAUAAAAUAGUUAAAACUAAAAUUAACAAUUUCAAAUUUUUUGUUCGUGUAUCAUACAUGUUAUUUGAUAUUUGAAAAUUGAAAUUGAAUUUAGUUUCUUGAUUUUAUGAUCUCCUCUCGUUACUUUUAUUUCUCAUCAUGCUUUUUAUGAAAAAUAGUUUGGAUAAUAUUUUAUUUUUUCAAAUCAAUAUUAUUUCCAUAAAUAUAGAUAGAUUUGUUUUUUUAAUUAUCCUUUUAAUUGUAUAUACUAUGAUCACUUUAUACAAAAUGCUUCCCUUUUAAUAGUAUACUAGAGGAUGGCCCGUGCUUUCGCACGGAUGAUGUUUUUUAAACUAAAGAUAUAAUUGGAUUUGUAUUAAUAUUUGGUAUUCAAUAGUAUAGGAUAAACAUAAUAGUCUUGUAUAUUUUAAUUUUAAUUCUAUAGAGUUAAAUCGCGUGUUGAUUUGUAUAUUUUAACUGUAUAGAAAGUAAAUAAUAUAUACAAUAGUAAUUAGGUCUGGUUUUAAUAUNNNNNNNNNNNNNNNNNNNNNNNNNNNNNNNNNNNNNNNNNNNNNNNNNNNNNNNNNNNNNNNNNNNNNNNNNNNNNNNNNNNNNNNNNNNNNNNNNNNNNNNNNNNNNNNNNNNNNNNNNNNNNNNNNNNNNNNNNNNNNNNNNNNNNNNNNNNNNNNNNNNNNNNNNNNNNNNNNNNNNNNNNNNNNNNNNNNNNNNNNNNNNNNNNNNNNNNNNNNNNNNNNNNNNNNNNNNNNNNNNNNNNNNNNNNNNNNNNNNNNNNNNNNNNNNNNNNNNNNNNNNNNNNNNNNNNNNNNNNNNNNNNNNNNNNNNNNNNNNNNNNNNNNNNNNNNNNNNNNNNNNNNNNNNNNNNNNNNNNNNNNNNNNNNNNNNNNNNNNNNNNNNNNNNNNNNNNNNNNNNNNNNNNNNNNNNNNNNNNNNNNNNNNNNNNNNNNNNNNNNNNNNNNNNNNNNNNNNNNNNNNNNNNNNNNNNNNNNNNNNNNNNNNNNNNNNNNNNNNNNNNNNNNNNNNNNNNNNNNNNNNNNNNNNNNNNNNNNNNNNNNNNNNNNNNNNNNNNNNNNNNNNNNNNNNNNNNNNNNNNNNNNNNNNNNNNNNNNNNNNNNNNNNNNNNNNNNNNNNNNNNNNNNNNNNNNNNNNNNNNNNNNNNNNNNNNNNNNNNNNNNNNNNNNNNNNNNNNNNNNNNNNNNNNNNNNNNNNNNNNNNNNNNNNNNNNNNNNNNNNNNNNNNNNNNNNNNNNNNNNNNNNNNNNNNNNNNNNNNNNNNNNNNNNNNNNNNNNNNNNNNNNNNNNNNNNNNNNNNNNNNNNNNNNNNNNNNNNNNNNNNNNNNNNNNNNNNNNNNNNNNNNNNNNNNNNNNNNNNNNNNNNNNNNNNNNNNNNNNNNNNNNNNNNNNNNNNNNNNNNNNNNNNNNNNNNNNNNNNNNNNNNNNNNNNNNNNNNNNNNNNNNNNNNNNNNNNNNNNNNNNNNNNNNNNNNNNNNNNNNNNNNNNNNNNNNNNNNNNNNNNNNNNNNNNNNNNNNNNNNNNNNNNNNNNNNNNNNNNNNNNNNNNNNNNNNNNNNNNNNNNNNNNNNNNNNNNNNNNNNNNNNNNNNNNNNNNNNNNNNNNNNNNNNNNNNNNNNNNNNNNNNNNNNNNNNNNNNNNNNNNNNNNNNNNNNNNNNNNNNNNNNNNNNNNNNNNNNNNNNNNNNNNNNNNNNNNNNNNNNNNNNNNNNNNNNNNNNNNNNNNNNNNNNNNNNNNNNNNNNNNNNNNNNNNNNNNNNNNNNNNNNNNNNNNNNNNNNNNNNNNNNNNNNNNNNNNNNNNNNNNNNNNNNNNNNNNNNNNNNNNNNNNNNNNNNNNNNNNNNNNNNNNNNNNNNNNNNNNNNNNNNNNNNNNNNNNNNNNNNNNNNNNNNNNNNNNNNNNNNNNNNNNNNNNNAAAAAACGUUUUAAAUAUAAAUGAUUUUAGUUAAUAAGUUAGGAAAUAUUUAAUUCACGUAUAGGAAUAGUAAUGAAGACAUAAUAUAUUGAGAUUCUUCACCUAAUAAAUUUCCUUAGAUAAAAAUUAUAAUAUCUAUAAAAUCUUUUAGAUAUUUGAAAAUUUAGAUUAACGAUCAAGAUUUAAUCUACAAAUAAACGAUUGCGAUAAAAUCUUAAAUGCAUAUAUAUAUAUAUAUAUAUACCAUGUAAUUUAGAGGAAAAUUUUUUAAAAGGAAUAUUAACCAUUUUAUUUAACUUGUUUACAUAUAUGAUGAUAAGAAGUAGGACUAAAUAACCUUCGAAUGCAUACCACGUUUUUUGGGUUUAUUGAGGAGGAUGUUGUUGAUCUUCGUAGUUUUCCCAAAGACCUCAAAAUCUCAAGCUACUACAUCAAAAAAGUAGAUUACAAUUAGUUGUUUUAAAAAAAUUAAACACAAAAAGUAAAAUAUUAUGAGUAAACAGUGAUUAAAAACGAUAUGAAAGCAUGUGGUGUGAAAAUUUGUAUUAGUUCAUGCUUUGUUCUGUGAGAUAUAUAUUUUGUCUCGCUUUUGAAAUGAAUGUAAAUUAAGAAAACAUGGAAUGGUUUAUAUAGGCUGUAAAAAUGGGGUAGUUAAUAUUUUAGAAUAUUUGGUUUGAGAUUUAGUUUUGAAAAGAAAUAACUUUAUUCAAUCUCAAUCACUAAAUUAUCGUGAUUUUAUUGUUAAAUAUUAAAUAUUAUAUCCGAAUAUUCCAUUUUUAGAAGACUUAGAAUAACAAAUCAUGUUUAUAUUUAAUAGGCGAAUUUAAUUACCAUAAAUUAGUAAAUUGUUAUAAAUUAAGAUAUAAUCCGUUGAUUUUGCCUACCAUAAAUUAAUGAUUUUGAUAUAAACAAUUUAGAUUUAAAUGAUUAAGGAAAUAUAUACAUAUUAUGGAUUUUAAAUGAUUAAGGAAAUAUAUAUUCAAAGAAAAUCGAAUAGGAUAAUGAUUACUUAAUAAAUAAUUCUUCAAUUUUUAAUAUAUAAUGAAAUGACAAAAGUUUAUUAAUAAAAAUCUUACAAAUAAAAAGUUAUAUUAUCAAAUGUAUUUAAAAAAUGUUAAUAUAGAUUGAUUUGGUUGGUCAAGUUAAAAAUUAAAAUAGUUUAAAAAGUCAACUACAUUGAAUAUUCCAUACUAAGAAAACAUGGAAUGGUUUCUAUUAAAACAAAUAUUAAAAUACUCAUUGUUUAAAAUUUCGAUCAAGAUCUUUAUAAAAUAUUUGAAAUUAAGAAAAUCUUGCCAAUUAAGCUAAAUUUUAGGCAUUGUAUCUUACAAAUAAAGUUAAAUAUCAAACGUAAUAAUUAUCUUUCCUUUAAUAUUGAAAACCAAUUUUUUUUUUUAUCAACUGAAAAAUGAGUGCCGUCUAAGUCUUUAAGAAUGAGAGACAAGUGUNNNNNNNNNNNNNNNNNNNNNNNNNNNNNNNNNNNNNNNNNNNNNNNNNNNNNNNNNNNNNNNNNNNNNNNNNNNNNNNNNNNNNNNNNNNNNNNNNNNNGCAGAUCCAGACUGAGUGUGAACCGUGAGCUAUCAAAUACGUCCGCUAUGCAUGCUCCACACUAAAUACAUAUUAAAAUAUUUUGACCCGCAAAAAAUACAUUUCCUGUAAUCCACUUUAGUAAAUAGCAUGUCUCCAUAUGUUCUUCUUAAAUUCACAUUACCCAAAAUUUUCAUCUCAUAUUCUAUCAUGAAUAGUUUAGAUGAUUUUUUUAUGUUUCAAAUUUCCCGUACCUGUUAUUUCAUGUNNNNNNNNNNNNNNNNNNNNNNNNNNNNNNNNNNNNNNNNNNNNNNNNNNNNNNNNNNNNNNNNNNNNNNNNNNNNNNNNNNNNNNNNNNNNNNNNNNNNNNNNNNNNNNNNNNNNNNNNNNNNNNNNNNNNNNNNNNNNNNNNNNNNNNNNNNNNNNNNNNNNNNNNNNNNNNNNNNNNNNNNNNNNNNNNNNNNNNNNNNNNNNNNNNNNNNNNNNNNNNNNNNNNNNUUUUUUAAUUAUCCUUUUAAUUGUAUAUACUAUGAUCACUUUAUACAAAAUGCUUCCCUUUUAAUAGUAUAGAUAGAUAUAUAGUUUUUGAAAAUAUUAAAAAAAAUAAUUUAGAUUAAAUAUGUUUAGUUUCGAAUUUAUAUUGAAAAUUUUUAUGGUAAUCAAAUCAAUAUUAUUUCCAUAAAUAUAGAUAGAUUUGUUUUUUUAAUUAUCCUUUUAAUUGUAUAUACUAUGAUCACUUUAUACAAAAUGCUUCCCUUUUAAUAGUAUAGAUAGAUUAAAAUUACAUAAUAUUAAUCUUUAUUAAAUUAUUUUAAUUAUCCUAUAUUGGUGUUUUUAAGAAAAUUGUAAAAUAAAGAUUUUGACUCGCAUUGAAGUAUGAGAUAAUGAUAUUUUAAUGAGAAUUUUUGAGAAAUACUUCUUUUAGUGUAUCUCUUUUUUAAAAUGUGAUAUACACAAUAAGACACUUUAUGUUUAUGAUAAACGACAUAACUCACAAUAUAAGCAGCACCAACUUUUGCCACUGUUUGUCCACAAAAAACACAUAUUUAAACAAAGUUUUGCGAGAAAAGAAAGAGAGAGAAAUGACAGUUUUUCAGUCUGGUUCGUUCGUAAAAUUAUUUGUUUGGUUUCGCUAUAUUUAAAUUUUUUAAAUGUAUAGGCUUUGAGUUUUGUUGGACUUUUAGGAUAGAGGUUCACUUUUAACAAUUAGAAAGUUUUAUUUGAGUUUUAAAAACAAAGUGAGAAGGUUUCAAAUUCUAAAUAGAGGUAAUUUUGAAUUUUAAACAGAGGUUUUGUGAAGCGAGAAGUUUUCAAAUUUCGACAACAAAUAUCGAUGGAUACAGAGGUAAUUCUUGUAUAGAAAAUUUAAACAUGCAUGUGUUCCUUAAUCGGCCUUUGAUGGAGAAACCCAGGUUUAGUUAAUUUGUUUCUUGAUAUGAACGAAUUAUACUUUGAUUCUAAAAGAAGUACUUUUGUUCAGGAAACAAUGGAUGAUUUUACAAUAGUCCAUUUGUAGUUGAACAUAUGUUUAAACGUCGUUCAUAUAGAUGUCCAUGAAGCGUUGACCAUGAUCAAACCUCCAUUACAAUAUCCAUGAAGCGUCGACCAUUAUCAAGUUUGGUGAAUAUAGAUGUCCAUGAAACAUCGGUAAUUACCAAACAUCCAUUACAAGAAGAGUUCAUUACGAAGAGUCCAUUACGUUGUGGAAAGUAUUAUAUGGACAUCCUCAUGGACUUGCUUAGAGACGGAUUGAACAUAAAAAGGAAAAAAUGCGAUGACUUGUUAUUUGUUGCGACUUUCACCAGUUAAUAUUAUAAAAUAUAUAUAUUUCUUUAUAUACAAUAUGCUAUGAUCAUACAAUAUAUAAUAUGGACAGAUCUACAUGGACAAAUAUACAAAUAUCCUAUAUUGUUCUCAUCAAACCAGGUACGUAAAAUCCAUUAAGUAGAGUCCAUUGAGCAUAUGUUCAUAUGCAGAUAUGCAGAACUAUGGACAGAUCUACAUGUGCAAAUCCACAAAUCAUCAAAUUAGACAUGUAGUAUCUAUUGAGGAGACAUGCAGUCCAUUAAGUAGAAUCUAUUAGGUAUAAUCCAUUAAAUAGAUGUCUAUUAGAUAAAACUUUAAACUCUAAACCCUAAACCCUAAACCCUAAAAUCUAAAUCCUAAGAGGGAGAUAAGAGUGAGGGGUUCGGAAACGGCGACAGAGGAAAAGAAAGUGUCCGGCUUUGGUAAAAUUCGGAUACAAACAUGCAUUAGGGUUUUACUGUGUAGAGGAGAAGAAGGUAGGUUAACAAGUAACACGAAAGGUUAUAUUGUAAUGUUGGAAAAGAUGUCCACUGUGCCCUGUCCAUUAAUUUUACCCACCAAAAGCCCAUAUAAAUGGUUUAGAUAUGGAUAUGUACCUCUAAACUUAUUACGGCACGUUCUGUUAUCUAUCAUCGACUGAGUGUACGCUAACAUAUGGACAUGUACUCCUCAUCCACGAUUUAAAAUCACAAACGAAUUCGAAAAUUCUUUAUUCGUUUGUAUAUAGAUUUUUAAAAAGUUUGACAAAUUCAUAUUCUGAAUAAUUGGUUGGUAUUUGGUAAAAUAGUAUAACUAGAUAAAUCAGAAAAAUAAUUUUCGUAUAUGGUUUGUACUCUGAAAAGGAGCUUAUGAAUAUAAUCAACAUUACAAAUAAUAAAGGAACAAAUAAAUACAAAAUGACGUGAGGAAAGUAAGCAGAGAAAAAUGGUGUAGCAGUGUAGCUUUGUAGCAGCUUCCACAAAAUAAAAAAAUAAAAGAAUAAUAAUGAAUUAUCUAACUAUUUAGUUGGAAAUAAAGGAGUGGCAGAAUUGUUAUUAUGGAGAUAAAUCAAGGUCAUGGGUGACCUAUAUUUUCACUAUAGUUGUGAAGAUUUUGGAAAAGAUGGGAAGUAUCUUUUUCUGUUAUAACUUUUGAAAAAGUGCCUUAUUGUUGUAAUAACUAAGGUUCUAAACGGUAUUUAUAAGGCUUUUACAAGGUUUUUAUAUAGUUUUUAAAUGAUUUUAAAGGAAUUUAUAUGUUAUUUAUAAUAUAUAUAUAUAUAUAUAUAUAAAUUUACACACAUAUAAGGAUAAUAUUAUUGGAAUACAAACCAAUAUCCCACAUCGGAAGAUUAGAAACAAAAGUUUCUAAUAUAUAAGUCAAGUCCAACACCAAUUAGUAUGAGGCCUUUUGGGAAGGAGCCCAACAAAUCCGUGCGGGCUUGAGUGAUAGGCCCAAAGCGGACAAUAUCAUACUAACGGGAAGUUUGUUUGGUUUAGAAAACCCAGCAAAUAUGUGUCUAUAUAUAUAUAUAUAAAUUUACACACAUAUAAUGAUAAUAUGUGUCUAUAUAUAUAAGCUUACACAUAUUUGUUUUGAUAAAUUUCAAAAUUUUAGUCACUUUUUGAUAAAAUUUUAAAAAAUGUAAUUUUAUAAAGUGGUAUUGGGAAAAAGUAUUUUUGAAAUUCUCAAUAUUUUAUUUUUUAUUAAUAUAAAUUUAUAUUUCUAUUAUACACAUGUAUUUGAGUUCCAGGUCGACCGUAACGACUGGAAGAUAUGACAAUGCGGGGUAAUCAAACUCUUAGAGGUCCCUUGAUGAAUCAUAACAAUGCGAUUACAGAGAGACAACCUUGAUUACAGUCUAUGGCAAAGUAAUGAAGAGCAGAAUGAGAGAAGCGAGAAGGUAACAUAAUCUACAUUUAUAGAUUUUGUACAAUAUUAAGGGAAUUUGAAAUCUUUGUGUAUCUGCAAUCUUAAUUUUUCUUUUAACUUUUUAAUCUUGAACCAUUAUCUGAAGAAAGCAUUUGAAUAUUAUAGUAUAUUGUGUUAAAUCAUCUGAUGACUAAAGUUUAUAAGAUCCAGUCCAGAGAUAUAAAAAGAAUCGUUUCUGAUAAAACCUUCUCAAUGCCGACAGCUUUUGAAUUCAGUUAAUUAGUUAAAAAUCAGAUCACUAACGGUGAUUAGUUAACUACUAGUAAUAUGUUAUAGUUGAACCUUUUACAUUGAAUCAUAAACUAAUUAUGAUCCCAUGAAUAAGCCAAACCUUAAUAAUCCAUGAUUUUAUUAUAUAAAGUAUUUUUUUUUCUUUUGUCACACCACAUAAAUUUAUUCAAGAUUUUUUUUAUCAUAAUCCCAUCAUAUUUACAAGAACUCAAGCUUACGUUUAAUUUUACAGAUUUAAAUAAAAACCACAUUUGUUUGAGAACUUUAAUAAAGUAUAAGAAUUAACAAAAAAAAAUUACUAUUCAAUUUUAUAACUAUUCAAUAAUAUCUAUUUAUACACAAUUCAAUCAAAAAGAAAACAAUCUCCAUAAUAUAUUGAAAUUUGAAAACAUAGUCAAACUUAAAACAAUUAAAAAAUCAGUAAAUUAUCAAAUAUAAAAAUGGAGGGAAUAGUAUAUAACUAGGUUAGGCCAGUCUAGAUAUGCAGGUUAAAAAGAAAAUUUGCCAAAAAUAUUUGAAAUUUAAAUGAUAAGUUAUUUUAAAAAAUUCAGAUUAAUACAUAUAUAGUGAAAAUUUAUAUCUUUAUCUUAAUAACUUGGAUCCUAAACAUAUAUAGGUUUAAUAAAUUAAAAUUUAAAUAAGCAAUUCAAUAAUAAAUAGGAGAAAAAUAGAUAAAUAAUUUACUAAUAACCGUGUGUCUAAAUUGGAGAAUAACAUAAUUCCAAUUUUUAGUCAAAUUAUGAGCAAUAGAGGUAGGUUUCUGCUAAUUCAAAGGUUAAAAAUUUUAAAAUUAAUUUACACUGUUAACUAACCUCUUUGGUUUAAGCAACCAACACAAUAAUUGAGUAUAAGAUUAGAAAUAAUUUAUAGGAUUAGUAAUACAUAAUUGGAAGAAUAAGAGACUUACCGAGUAAAGGAAACUUUAUCUUGUACUUGAUUCUCAGAAUUGGCGACCUAAAACAUAUAAAUGCAUCUGCAGUCCAAGUUUGAGCCUUGCGUCUGCAGUCCCUCUUGUGUUUCCCUAAGCUUGUCUGAAGUAGUAUAUUGAUGAUCCUUGUCGGCUCUAAGGAUUAGUAACAGGUAAAUCAUUCACCAAGUUUUCACCUGACACAAAUCAGAGCUUUUGCCAACACAGUUAGAGUUGAAAUGUAGGAGCUGUUGUUGUCAAAUUCAUACAAAACAGAACCAAAAGAGUAACUUUAAAACAGAGGAAGAGAGAUAUCAUCAAGAUCAAAUAUAUAUCUUUCUUUCUCAAAAGUUUCAGUAAAUCAAAAGGGUAAUAUGCAUUUAUAGGAAAUCUAAGUAAAUAUAAUAUCACUAAAAAUAAAUCAAAAUAUAUAUGCUAAGUAAGCACAUAAAUUGAAUAAAUGAACUGACAAAAGAAUAUAAUUUAUAAAUAAAAAGGUCUGUAAAAGGAGAAAAUAUUAUUUAAACUCUUUUUCACACUAUAUAUCUUGUAGUUAAAGUUAACUUAUUAAAUAUAAUAAAUUUUUAGAUAAGUUAAUAAUUAUUAAUUUUUAUUUUUACUAUCUAUAAAUAUUUUGGAAUAUAUAUUGAGAAUUUUUUAGAAAUACCCCUUUUGGUGUACCCCUUUUAAAAAUAUCCCUUUUGGUGUACCAUUUUUAAAAAAUACCCUUCUUUUAUAUCCAUUUUCAAAAAUACUCCUUUUUAAAUAUGAAAAAUAUAAACUUUUAUAUGGUUGAUAAGAUACAUCAAGAUCAUCAUUACUACUGGGAGACUAAAUCCAAAUAUUUAUAAGGUUCUAAACAACAUUUAUAAGGUUUUUAUAAAUUUUUAAAAAGUUAACAAAGUUUCUAUAAAGUUUUUAAAUGAUUUUUAAAAGGUAUUUAUACGGUAGUUAUGAAAUAUAUAUAUAAGUUUACACACAUAUAUAGAUAAAUUGUGUCUAUACAUAUUAGCUUACACAUAUGUUUUUGAUAAAUUUCAAAUUUUACAAUGACUUUUUGAUAAAAUUAGAAAGAGAGAUAUUUUUGAAACUCCCCCAUAUAUUUUUAUAGAAAAAACUAUAACUUAAUUAAAUAUAUUAAAUUUGGUGAAAUGAUAAUUGAUUAAAAAAUUUUAAAUAAAAACUUAUAAAUGAUGUAAUAUUGUUGUAAACCACAUGCAUUGUAUUAUUUGAAUAGAAUUAAUUUGAAUAGAGGUUAUUAUGCAAUGAUAAUAGUCAUACAACUUCGUAAAUUACUAUGCUAUAUAUCAUGGUAAGCAUUAAUCUACUGAGUCAAUAUGAACAUAAAUAUAAAUCUAAAAUAGUCUUUUUUGGACAGAAAAAAAUAUAAAUCUACAAUACUUAAAAAUAUGAAAAACUCAUACAAAAUAUGAUAGUCACAAAUAAAUAAAAAAUCGAAAUUAUGAAAUUAAAAAAGGGCUGAUGUCUUCUUUUCUUGUUUGUUUGUCUGAGGUUUCCAGCUACUUCCAUGAAUUUCCCGUUGCCUAUCUGCUUCAUUGAUUCGAACGUAAAUGUUAGAGAAGUUACUUGAUGCUUGUGUAGACUUUUCUCAUAUUUGUGCCAUGGAAAUAGCAAAACCACUACAGAACCCAAAUGACUUUGAUUCUAAAGAAAAAUCAAUGAACGAAGCUUCCUCUCUUGCUAGUUGCUAAAGACUCUGUUCUCAGUCAAUGGAGUCAACAUCAGUUAAGAAUCUUAUCCUCUCUUAUACCAAAAAAUAAUAAUAACUUGUGAUCAACGUUCAUUUGUAUAGUCUCUUCUACAUAGCUCUCUUUAACGCUCUCUCCAAUCAUCUUUCCAAUCAUACUUGCUAAUGGAUUCUUCUUCUUUUUUCCUUACCACUAUUGUUGCUGCAACAAUAGGCUUGUUCACGAUUUUAAGAAAACUCAGACUCCAUCAAGAAGAUGACGAAGAAGCUUCAUCUCCUCCAUCUUCUUUGUCUCCGUCAUCUUCUCCAUCUUCUCUAAAUCGCAUAUGGACACACCAUGUCUUUCCAAGCUUCCGUGGGGAAGAUGUCCGUAGAGACUUUCUUAGUCACAUUCAGAUGGAGUUUCAAAGAAUGGGAAUCACACCAUUCAUUGAUAAUGAGAUCAAGAGAGGAGAAUCCAUCGGUCCUGAACUCAUUCGGGCCAUUAGAGGAUCCAAGAUCGCAAUUAUCUUACUCUCGAGAAACUACGCUUCUUCGAGUUGGUGUCUUGACGAAUUGGUGGAAAUUAUGAAGUGCAAGGAAGAAUUGGGUCAAAUAGUGAUGGUUGUUUUCUAUAAAGUGGAUCCCUCUGAUGUGAAAAAACUAACCGGAGAAUUUGGGAAAAUCUUCAGAAAAACUUGUGCCGGUAAAACAAAGCAGGACACUGGGAGAUGGAGACAAGCUUUGGCUAAAGUAGCCACAAUCGCUGGUUACCAUUCAAGAAACUGGUUUGUUUUUUUCUAUUUUCAUUUAAAUCUGUUAAAUUAUCUAACAAACAUCUAAAUGUACAUAUUUAUAGCUAGUUUUUCUUAAAGCAUAAAAAUUAAAUUCAUAGUAUUGUAGUGUAUGUUCUCUACAUAAUUGCUUAAUCGAUGUAGUGAUCUCUUCUAUUGUUAGGGAUAAUGAAGCGGCUAUGAUCAAACAAAUCUCUACUGAUAUUUCCAACGAGUUGAAUAAUUCAGCAUUAUCAAGUGAUUUUGACGGGUUGGUUGGUAUGAGAGCUCAUUUGAAGAAGAUGGAACCAUUGUUAUGCCUAGAUUCAGAUGAAGUGAGGAUGAUCGGGAUUUGGGGUCCUUCUGGGAUCGGGAAAACCACCAUUGCUAGAGUUGCAUACAACAAAUUCUCCAAUAAUUUUCAGCUAAGUGUCUUUAUGGAAUCUAUAGAAGUAAAGUAUACAAGACCUUGUUCUGAUGACUAUAGUGCAAAGUUGCACUUACAACAAUUAUUUAUGUCUCAAAUAACUAACCAAAAUGAUAUGAAGAUUUCUCAUUUAGGAGUUGUUAAAGACAGACUAAAAGACAAGAAAGUUCUUGUUAUUCUUGAUGGUGUGGACCAGUCAAUACAACUAGAAGCCAUGGCGAAAGAAACUCGGUGGUUUGGUCCUGGGAGUCGGAUUAUCAUCACAACGCAAAAUCGAAAGAUUUUUAGGACACAUGGGAUCAACCAUAUUUACAAGGUGGACUUUCCACCAGAUGACGAGGCUUUUCAAAUCUUUUGCACGUAUGCUUUUGGUCAAAAUUCCCCUGAAUAUGGGUUUAAAGAACUAUCUCAAGAAGUUACAAAACUUGCUGGUAAUCUCCCUUUGGGUUUAAGGGUUAUGGGCUCUUAUUUUCGAGGAAUGUCUAAGAAAGAGUGGGAAAAGGAAUUACCAAGGCUAAGGAAUAGCCUUGACUCUGAUAUUCAUAGCAUUUUGAAGUUCAGUUAUGAGGUCUUAGAUGACGAAGAAAAAUACUUGUUUCUUCAUAUAGCUUGCUUUUUUAAUCAUCAAGUGAUUGAGAAAGUGGUUGCUCAUCUUGCAUAUCUAUUCUACGAUGUGAGACAAGGGCUUAACGUCUUAGCUGAGAAAUCUCUCAUAACUAUAGAGCAUGGAAGAAUAAAUAUGCAUAAUCUGCUAGUCAAACUUGGUAGAGAUUUAGUUCGCAAACAGUAUGUUCGUGAGCCUGGACAACGUCUAUAUUUAGUUGAUGCAAGAGAAAUUUGUGAAAUACUCACUGAUGAUGUAGGAGUAAGUUCUGACAUAUAUCCCAACAAAUCGUGUUAUUUGAUAAUGAAUCAUCUCUCAUUAUUUUUGUUCUUUUUCAGGCUAAUAGAAGAUUAAUAGGCAUAAAUUUCGAUUCCGGCACCAACGUCAAGAAAAAUAUUAAUAUAAGUGAGAAAGCCUUUCAAGGAAUGACUAAUCUCCGGUUCUUAAAAUUCCAGGGGGGUAACAAUACUGUAGAUCUACCCUAUGGUCUAGAGUAUAUGUCUCAAAAUCUUCGAUUAUUACAAUGGCCCUAUUUUCCAAUGACAUGUUUGCCUCUGAUAUUCAACUCGGAAUUCCUAGUUGAAAUAGAGUUGAGGUAUAGCAAACUUGAGAAGCUGUGGGAAGGAAUUAAAGUAAGUAAAUAUUUUAUUUAAUUUUCAUAAAAUUUAAAUUAAUUUCAAAUAAAUAUCUUUUUGUUGUUAUAAUUUUAUUUUAAUUAAUUAUUAAAGCAUGUAAGAGUGUUUUUAAUGUCCUUUUGUACAGUUUUUUUUUAAUUGAGUGUUGAUAAAAUGUUCUUAUUAUUUGUCUGUAUAGCCGCUUCCAAAUCUCAAGUGGAUGGAUUUGAGUUGGUCUAAAAACCUAAAGGAGCUUCCUGAUCUCUCAACAGCCACCAAUCUUUUGGAAUUGGAUCUCAGAGAUUGCUCCAGCCUGGUGAAGCUCCCAUCGACUAUUGGGUAUACUAAAAAUCUUCAGAAAUUGAAUCUUUGUGGUUGCUCAAGUUUGAUAAGUCUCCCCUCUUUCAUUGGAACUUCCACUAAUCUGCAAAUAUUAAAUCUCGGUGGAUGCUCAAGUCUAGUGGAUCUUCCUUCCUUUGUUGGUAAUUUCAUCAAUCUAAGAGAUUUGGAUCUUAGCAAUUUAGCAAGUUUGGUGGAGCUUCCUUCUUUUGAUGGUAAUUUCAUCAAUCUAAGAACAUUGAAUCUUAGCCGUUUAUCAAGUCUAGUGGAGCUUCCUUCCUUUGUUGGUAAUGCCAUGAAUCUUGAGAGUUUGGACCUUAGCGAUUGCUCAAGUCUGGUAAAGCUUCCCUUUUCUAUUGGAAACCUCCAGAAGCUGCAGUAUUUGUUCUUAACCGGGUGCUCGAGUCUAGUGGAGCUUCCUUCCUUUGUUGGUAAUGCCAUGAAUCUUGAGAGUUUGGACCUUAGCGAUUGCUCAAGUCUGGUAAAGCUUCCCUUUUCUAUUGGAAACCUUCAAAAGCUGGAGGCUUUGAGACUACAAGGAUGCUCGAAGCUAGAGUUUCUUCCGACCGACAUCAAUUUGAAAUAUCUCUAUGAACUUGAUCUCACGAAUUGCUUACUGUUGAAAUUGUUUCCUGAGAUCUCCACGAGCCUUAGAACUCUCAAAAUCAUAGGAACUGCAAUAGAAGAAGUGCCUUCAUCAAUCAAAUCUUGGUCUCGUCUCACAUUUUUGAGUAUGACAUAUAGUGUAAAACUCAAGGAAUGUCCUCAUGCUUUUGACGUCAUCACAGAUCUGUACGUGAACGAUGAAGAAAUACAAGAGCUUCCUCCAUGGGUCAACGAAUUCUCUCGUCUGCAUCAACUCGUGCUCAAGGGAUGCAAAAAGCUGGUGUCAAUCCCACAGAUUCCAGAUUCCCUCACUUACAUAACUGCAAUUGAUUGUGAGUCCUUGGAAGAGUUUCCUCCGUGGAUCAACAAAUCCUCUCGUCUGCAUCAACUCGUGCUCAAGGGAUGCAAAAAGCUGGUAUCACUCCCACAGAUUCCAGAUUCCCUCACUUACAUAAUUGCAGAAGAUUGUGAGUCCCUAGAGAGACUAGAUUGCUCCUUUCCAAAUCCAUAUAUUUCUCGUCUCAAUUUUGCUAAGUGCUUCAAAUUGAAUCAAGAAGCCAGAGACCUCAUCAUCGGAGCACGGCCUAGUGAAUUUACCGUCUUACCUGGCGGAGAAGUGCCUGCAUACUUCACUCACCGAACUGUUACCGGAGGUUCCUUGACAAUUAAUUUAAACGAGAAGCCUCUUCCUAUAUCCAUGAGAUUUAAAGCUUGCAUUUUGCUGGUUAAUGAAAGUGACGAUGAGACUUGCUCUCACGUUUCUGUUACGUGUAAAAAUAGCGAGAGAACAAUAUAUGACAUUUUUACAGAGCAUUUGUACAUAUUCGAAGUGGAAAUGGACGUGACUUCCAGCGAGCUUGUCUUUGAGUUCAAGGUUCGCCGAAACGUUUGGGAGACAAGACAGUGCAAUUGGAAGAUAGGACAAUGCGGGGUAAUCCAAGUCUCUGAGAUCCCUUGAUGAAACUGUAGUCUACGGUAAAGUAUUGGAGACGGUCACUACAAUUCAAGAGAACACUGAGAGAAGCAAGAAGGUAAUUUAAUCUACGUUAUUAGAUUUUGGCUGCUCUGUUUCUCGCCAUCAUCGUUUCACCAAUUUGCGUUUUCUCAUCUGAAAUUCAGCAGAUCGGUUCUAAUCAUAAUUUAAUGAAUGAUCUGGACGCAGCUAAGCUCAGAACAUCUCAAUUGGGUAAUAAAGUUUAGCUCUUUUGGUUCGUGGUGGUUAUUGGGUUUAACAACAAAAUCAUCUCUUUUUCUGUGUGUGCUAAUUGUAUUGUUUUGGCUCUGAUCAUUUAGAGGCUGUUCUUGAGGCGACCAUAGAGAAGGUGGAUGCUAAGACCCUUUACUUGAAGGAGCGUGAGAAGAUGUUGAAAGUCAGAUCCAGAGUUUGCAGUUUGCUUCAUACAGUGAUGAGGUUUGUAUUGGGAAGUCAACGGAUGCAAGUAUAGAAAUUAGCUAAUGAUGAGGGAAUGAAUGUGGUAGGACAAUAAUUAGAUCGUCUGUUCUGUAUCUGAGGCUAUGGAGCUUUAUCAUCAUAUCUGUAGUUGCAGCUGCCACUUCUGUCUAGUAACAACUUCCACACUAAUCAGAUGGUUAAGUGUUGUUGAUAAGAAAACGUUCCAAAGCACCUUUCAUGUUUUGAUUCUUCUUCUUUUUUUGUUUGGCUAACGAUCUCGGUUUUUGGCUCUAAAAGGUGUUCUGAAAAUUUGGGAGCAAGAUCUUUCCAAGGAUAUAAUAAUCAUCUUCUGAUUUCUUGUGGUUUGAUGGGAAAUUUGCUCUCAAAGUUGGAUGUUCGCAGGUCGUAUCAGUCAAGAUCUGUCUUGGGAAAUUGGCCGUAACUCUCAAACCGGAACUCCAAAUCGUGAUCCGUUUUUUCCUGUGGUUUCGUAUGACUGUUAUUGAUAUUCCACCAAAUUUUGUAAGUUUCUGGGUUUUUUUGCUACUCCGUUUGUCCUCUGCAUCAAGACAGAUACAAAUACUGCAGUGAAAUCAGUAGUGAAGAAAGGUAAUGCAUUCAUUGGUCUGUAUUGUGUCUGUUUGUCCUUGAAUGCUUUCUCUUGAAUGAGUGAGUAAGUGAAAGAGUUGAGUCUGUUUAUGACAUGUUGGCAAGCUAAUUUGUUUUACAGUUUUAUUACUUUUGAGUUUUAUAGUUUUUGUUCUUAAAAGAGUUGCGUCUCUUGUAUGGUUUCUGUUCAUGAAUGAGUUUGUGUUUCGAUCAGUUUUUGUUCUUAAUGAGCUGCGGUUUUAGUUUUAGGUUAUGUUCUUGAACUAGAUUACCGCGGGUAAACAUUUUUUUAAUUCAUAUUUUUAAAAAUUUACAGAUUUUAUUGAAGUUUAUUUAAUAAUUAUUAAAAUUACAUAAUAUUAAUCUUUACUAAAUUAUUUUAAUUAUGCAUGUCCUAUAUUGGUGUUUUUAAGAAAAUUGUAAAAUAAAGAUUUUGACUCGCAUUGAAGUAUGAGAUAAUGAUAUUUUAAUGAGAAUUUUUGAUAAAUACCUCUUUUGGUGUAUCUCUUUUUAAAAAGGGGGAAUUUCAAAAAUAGCCUUUUUCAUAUACCUCUUUUUAAAAAUACCCCCUUUUCAAACUUUAUCAAAAAACCCACUAAAAAUGUUGAAAUUUAUCCAAAUAUGUGUGUAAGCUUAUAAAUAAAUACGCAAAUUACCUUUAUAUGUGUAUAAAACUUUAUAUACCUUUCAUAAAUAGCGUAAAAAUAAAUUAUCAAAACCUUAUAAAAACCGUAUAAACCCUUUUAAAAACCUUUUAAAAACCUUAUAAAACUUAUAAAAACGAUUUAAAACUAUUCAAAACAUUUUAAAAUAUUUGUAUCGAAUCUCCCAGUAGUAGUUAUUAUAUAGAAAUACCUUAUAAACUAUAUAAAACUUUAUAAUUUUUUAUAUUUAAAAAGGGGUAUUUUUGAAAAUGGAUAGAUAAAGGGGGUAUUUUUAAAAAGGGGUACACCAAAAGGGGUAUUUCUCAAAAAAAUCUCUUUUAAAAAUGUGAUAUACACAAUAAAACACUUUAUGUUUAUGAUAAACGACAUAAGUCACAAUAUAAGCAGCACCAACUUUUGCCACUGUUUGUCCACAAAAAAGACAUAUUUGAACGAAGUUUUGCUGGAAAAGAAAGAGAGAGAAAUGACAGUUUUUCAGUCUGAUUCGUUCGUAAAAUUAUUUGUUUGGUUUCGCUAAAUUUAAAUUUUUUAAAUGUAUAGGCUUUGAGUUUUGUUGGACUUUUAGGGUAGAGGUUCACUUUUAACAAUUAUAAAGUUUUAUUUGAGUUUUAAAAACAAAGCGAGAAGGUUUCAAUUUCUAAAUAGAGGUAAUUUUGAAUUUUAAACAGAGGUUUUGUGAAGUGAGAAGUUUUCAAAUUUCGACAACAAAUAUCGAUGGAUACAGAGGUAAUUCUUGUAUAGAAAAUUUAAACAUGCAUGUGUUCCUUAAUCGGCCUUUGAUAGAGAAACCCAUGUUUGGUUAAUUUGUUUCUUGAUAUGAACGAAUUAUACUUUGAUUCUAAAAGAAGUACUUUUGUUCAGGAAACAAUGGAUGAUUUUACAAUAGUCCAUUUGUAGUUGAACAUAUGUUUAAACGUCGUUCAUAUAGAUGUCCAUGAAGCGCUGACCAUGAUCAAGCCUCCAUUACAAUCCAUGAAGCGUCGACCAUUAUCAAGUUUGGUGAAUAUAGAUGUCCAUGAAACAUCGGUAAUUACCAAACAUCCAUUACAAAAAGAGUUCAGUACGAAGAAUCCAUUACGUUGUGGAAAGUAUUAUAUGGACUUGCUUAGAGACGGAUUGAAUAUAAAAAGGAAAAAAUGCGAUGACUUGUUAUUUGUUGCGACUUUCACCAGUUAAUAUUAUAAAAUAUAUAUAUUUCUUUAUAUACAAUAUGCUAUGAUCAUACAAUAUAUAAUAUAGACAGAUCUACAUGGACAAAUAUACAAAUCUAUAUAUAUAAUAGGAGAGUUCUCUCUCCCAUUAGGGUGUCUACAUCAGCAUUUUCUCCAAAAUUUGUAAAAGUUGUACUAUUGGGCUUAUAUUAUUUUGGGUCAAGAAUGUUUACUUUACAAUGUGUUAACAAAGUUUUGAACCUAAAAUAUUUUACAAUGUGUUAACAAAGUUUCGGGUUUAAAAUUCCAAACAAAGGCCUUCUAAACUUCCGUGAACUCUAUUUCUUUAAUAGGUUUUUCUUCUCUGUCGCUUUCGUUUCUCCUUCUACACAUCAAGACUAUAAAAGGGAUAUAUGAUAACCAGGGAAUAGAAAUUAUAGAUAUGGUCAAGAAAAACAUAAAACUAUGGAUAUUCGUAGACCAAGGGGAUUAACUAAAGCACCAACUUUAAGUCAUUGAUGAACAACGAAAAUUUCUCAACUUUCACAUGUAAUUCAAGUGUACUUUAAACGUUUAUGAUAACACAUAGUGAGAAUUCAUACGUAUCAAAACACAAAUGGAAACCUUAAGUUACUGAUCCUAAAAAAAAGCUUCUUCCUUAGAAAUUAGGUUUACAAAACUUAUAUAGUAUUUGUAGUUUAUUAUAAAAAAAUUUCUUUUUUAUAGGUGUCAAAAUCUAAUCGAUAAACAUGAUACAUGUCGAGAUCAUGCGAGUCACUAACUUCGAAAAUCAAAUUUUACAUAUAAGAUAUAUACAUUUAUAUACAUGUAAAUAUUAAUGAGAUUUUUUUAGAAAUACCACUUUUGGUGUACCUCUUUUCAAAAAUACUCUUUUUAUCAAUCCAUUUUCAAAAAUACCCCUGUUUAAAUAUGAAAAAUUAUAAAGUUUUAUAUGGUUUAUAAGGUACUUAUAUGUAAUAACUAUUAUUGAGAGAUUCAAUACAAAUAUUUAAUAAUGUUUUAAAAAGGUUUAUAAGGUUAAUAAUCUCCAAUAUUGCUCCAGCCUAGUGAAGCUCCCAUCUAUUGGGUCUACUAAAAAUCUUCAGCAAUUGUAUCUUGGUGGUUGCUCAAGUCUGAUAAGUCUCCCCUCUUGCAUUGGAACUUCCACUAAUCUGCAAAUAUUAGCUCUCGGUGGAUGCUCAAGGAAUGUCCUCAUGCUUUUGACAUCAUCAAAGAGCUGCACGUGAAUGAUAAAGAAAUACAAGAGCUUCCUCCAUGGGUCAACAAAUUCUCUCGUCUGGAAUCACUUUGGCUCAAUAGAUGCAAAAAGCUGGUGUCAAUCCCACAGAUGUCAGAUUUUGUUUAUUUCAUAGAUGCAACAUAUUGUGAGUCCUUGGAAGAGAUUCCCCCAUGGAUCAACAAAUUCAUAGAUUGUGAGUCCUUGGAAGAGUUUCCCCCAUGUUAUCAACUCCAACUCAAGAGAUGCAGAAAGCUGGUAUCACUCCCACAGAUUCCAGAUUCCCUCUCGUACAUAGAUGCAGAAGAUUGUGAGUCCUUGGAGAAACUAGAUUUCUCCUUUCAAAAUCCAUAUAUCCGUUUUCUCAAUUUUUCUAAGUGCUUCAAAUUGAAUCAAGAAGCCAGAGACCUCAUCAUCCGAACACGGACUAGUGACUAUGCAGUCUUACCCGGCGGAGAAGUGCCUUCAUACUUCCCUCACCGAGCCACUACUGGAGGUUCCUUGACAAUUGAGUUGAAUGAGAAGCAUCUUCCUACAUCCAUGAGAUUUAAAGCUUGCAUUUUGCUGGUUAAUGAAGGUGAAGUAACCUUGCCGCACCACAAACGGAGCUUCUAAGUGUGAUUAGCAGUACGUUCAAUUUUUAUUCAAGUCGUCGCAUCCUCCACGCUUUUAAAACACGUCACGGUGGAAUUGGAUUUCCAUUCGCCGGUGAUCGCGUGAUUAGGGUCACCACACCGGAGCCGUACUGCACUCCCAUUCAGACCCUAAGUGUCAAAAGAGCCAGUGUUUCUUACCCCCAGUUUUAUCAGAGCAUAUGUACAUAUUCGAAGUCGAAGCAGAUGUGACUUCCAGCCAGCUUGUCUUUGAGUUCAAGGUCGACGUUAGGAAUUGGAAAUCUUGUUAAAUGUAAUAAAUAUUAAUUUCUAAUUUUGCAAAUUUAUUAUGAUUUAAUUACAAAAUGUAUCUUAAACUUUUUCUAUUUAAUCAAAUGACAAGGGUUUAAUUAUGCAAAUAUUACAAAAUAAAAGGGUAGAACACAAAAGGUACUUCGAAAAUGUUAAUAUAGAUCCAUAAUAUAUUGAAAUUUGAAAACAUAGUCUAACUUAAAAUAAUUAAAAAAUCAGUAAAUUAUCAAAUAUAAAAAUGGAGGGAGUAGUAUAUAACUAGGUUAGGCCAGUCUAGAUACGCGGGUUAAAAAUAAAUUUGUCAAAAAUAUUUGAAAUUUAAAUGAUAAGUUAUUUUAGAAAAUUCAUAUUAAUAUAUAUAUAUAGUGAAAAUUUAUAUCUUUAUCUUAAUAACUUGGAUCCUAAACAUAUAUAGGUUUAAUAAAUUAAAAUUUAAAUAAGCAAUUCAAUAAUAAAUAGGAGAAAAAUAGAUAAAUAAUUUACUAAUAACCGUGUGUCUAAAUUGGAGAAUAACAUAAUUCCAAUUUUUAGUCAAAUUAUGAGCAAUAGAGGUAGGUUUCUGCUAAUUCAAAGGUUAAAAAUUUUAAAAUUAAUUUACACUGUUAACUAACCUCUUUGGUUUAAGCAACCAACACAAUAAUUGAGUAUAAGAUUAGAAAUAAUUUAUAGGAUUAGUAAUACAUAAUUGGAAGAAUAAGAGACUUACCGACUAAAGGAAACUUUAUCUUGUACUUGAUUCUCAGAAUUGACGACCUAAAACAUAUAAAUAAUUAUCUCAAUAAUGUAAUUUACUCGUAAUUAAACAAGCAUAUAUACCUUUAAGCAAGGCCAUUAAUAUAGAUACUAAUAUCGUUCGUAUAACGAUGACUAAUAUUUUAAGUAACUGAAAGUAAGGUAACUUCACAAUCAUCCAAAUGUCUCAAUGAUGACAUUGGUUUUGGUAGUAUUUCCAAACUUCAUCAACAGUUGUUUGGCCAAGUUUGAGCCUUGCGUCUGCAGUCCCUCUUGUGUUUCCCUAAGCUUGUCUGAAACUGAUCUACUGUCCAUGAGUAUAUUGAUGAUCCUUGUCGGCUCUAAGGAGUAGUAACCGGCAAAUCAUUCACCAAGUUUUUCAUUUGACACAAAUCAGAGCUUUUGCCAACACAGUUAGAGUUGAAAUGUAAGAGCUGUUGUUGUCAAAUUCAUACAAAACAGAACCAAAAGAGUAACUUUAAAACAGAGGAAGAGAGAUAUUAUCAAGAUAAAAUAUAUAUCUUUCUUUCUCAAAAGUUUCGUAAAUCAAAAGGGUAAUAUGCAUUUAUAGGAAAUCUAAGUAAAUAAAAUAUCACUAAAAAUAAAUCAAAAUAUAUAUGCUAAGUAAGCACAUAAAUUGAAUAAAUGAUCUGACAAAAGAAUAUAAUUUAUAAAUAAAAAGGUCUGUAAAAGGAGAAAAUAUUAUUUAAACUCUUUUUCACUCUAUAUAUCUUGUAGUUAAAGUUAACUUAUUAAAUAUAAUAAAUUUUUAGAUAAGUUAAUAAUUAUUAAUUUUUAUUUUUAUUAUCUAUAAAUAUUUUGUAAUAUAUUUUGAGAAUUUUUGAGAAAUACCCCUUUUGAUUUACCCCUUUUUAAAAAUAUCCCUUUUGGUGUACCAUUGUUAAAAAAAUACCCUUCUUUUAUAUCCAUUUUCAAAAAUACUCCUUUUUUUUUUUUUUGACAUCAAAUAGACUUGUAUUAGCUCAAUCGAGCCAAUUCAAGGUGCAGUUGGUUACAUACUUGACUGGGUGCGGACUAACACGAACUCGUCGUGCCAGUGAAUCCGCAUGUACAUUCAAGUUUCUCGGAAUAAGUGAUAAAGAAAAAGAGUCAAAUUCUUCCCUAUCUGUGUUGAUAUCAUCCAUGUAUGCAGAGAACGCCGGCCACUCGGACGGAGAAGACACCAUCUUCACCAAGUCUGAACAAUCGGUUAGGAAAGUAACGUCGCGGUAGUUGUGACCAAUCAUGCAUCGCAUCGCCCAAACUAGAGCUUCAACUUCAGAGUGAAGUGGGGAGAGACUUCGACGGAGAUUGGAGGCUCCUAUUAAUGGCAAAGAAUCCCGAGGAUGCUGACAUACCCAACCCAAACCUGCAUACUUAUCUGUAGGCUUCCAAGAUGCAUCAAUAAAACACUGAUACCCUCUAACCAAAGGGGUUAAUGAUAUCGUAGACCUUUGCAACCCCGAAAGUAAUGGGGUUGUCGGUGGUGAAUCCAAUUCUUCAAUCUGUGCAUCAUGCCAGAUUCGUGCUUCCUCAUUAGCCACUCGAACUAUAUCCAGCGGUGACUUAUCCAAAUUUUCAAAAAAAUUUUCAUUUCUCGCUUUCCAAAUAUACCAUAAUAUCCAAGGACAGCAUCUAUAGUCCACAGUUCUUGUCAAGCGCAUAAUAUAAUCCAUAUUAGCAUAAACUGAAGUGGUGGGAAAAGAAAUAGGCCCCACUGGUAUAUUAGCCAAAGCCCAUACUUGGCGAGCAGGUGAGCAUUCAAAAAUGACAUGAUUUACUGUCUCAACGGGAUCACCACACCUGUCGCACCUGGUGUCACAGUUAAUACCCCGUUUGUGUAAAUUUGCCAAUACCGAUAUACAACCAGUCAAUAGCUGCCACAUAAAAUGUUGUAUUUUAGGUGGGCAUUGCGCCUUCCAUACAGCGGCUAGAAGAGGCACUAUAUCUGGGCCAUGAACACUGACCCUUUGUAAUUUUGGAUCCGGCGUUCGAGCAAUAUGAUAUCCCGAUUUCACCGUAUACUUGCCAUGUUUUGUAAAAUGCCACCCGUAAGAAUCUGCUACCGGCCUAUUGCCAAUUGGGAUAGCAUUAAUAAUAGAUACAUCCUCCAAAGUAAAAUGCUCCUGAAGGACCUCUACUCGCCAUGAAUUUGCUUGACGGUCAAUUAGAUUUCUUAUCUGUAGUGAUGGAUCCAUAAUAGACCCAUUACUUAAAGCUGGUCUCGGGAAAUGAGAUGGUAUCCAGGGAUCUGUCCAAACAGAAAUAGAGUCCCCUGUUCCAACUCUUUUAAUAAGCCCUUUGUUUACCAGAGAUCUAGCUGAGAUCAUGCUCCUCCAGCCAUAAGAUGGAGAAUAUGAUUUGAUUGGUUCCAUUGGGGUCGCAUUCCUGUAAUAUCUACCUUUGAAAACCUUAGCAAAAAGUGAAUCUGGAUCAUCCAUUAGCCUCCAUAAUUGUUUUGCUAGGAGUGCCGUAUUAAAAUCAUUAACGUCUCUGAAUCCCAAGCCCCCCAUUCCUUUACUUGAGCAUAGCUUAUCCCAGGUUUUCCAAUGCAUGCCACCAGACUGUCCAUUAGAACUCCACCAAAAUUUGGCUAUCGCACUUGUGAGUUUUGCCGUUAAAGAUUUCGGCAGUCGAAAACAAGACAUGACAUAAGUCGGUAACGCCGAUGCGACUGACUUUAUCAUCACCUCCUUCCCACCUUUAGAUAAUAAUUUGGCCGACCAGCCAUUAAUGUGAACAUUUAAUCUAUCCCGUACAAAGGAGAAAACCUUCGUUUUUGCUCCACCUAAACUCUCCGGUAAUCCAAGAUAUGAGCCCAUGCCGCCUUCCUUUGUAAUUCCUAAGAUAUUCCGAAUUUCCAGUUUGGUAGAUUCUUCCACCUUAUGUCCAAAUUGUAGCGAUGAUUUUUCAAAAUUAAUUCGUUGUCCUGACAUAUGUUCAUAGUUCCUCAGCAGCUCUAAAAUAACCAUACACUGUUCCUUAUUCGCUCGGCAGAAGAACAAGCUAUCGUCCGCAAACAAUAAAUGUGUUAUUGGCGGACACUUAUUUGCCACCUUUAUACCAGUUAAGAGUUUAUCCUGUUCAGCUUUCCGAAUAUUUGCUAUUAGAACUUCCGUGCAAAGGAUAAACAAAUAAGGGGAUAAUGGAUCUCCUUGUCGUAACCCUCGUUCUGGAAUAAUUGUCCCCUCAGGUUGUCCAUUAAUAAGAACUCUGUAUUCGACUGAGGUGAUACAAUACAUUGUCCAUGUGAUCCACGUUUCUGAAAAACCAAAUUUCCGGAGUAACCGUUCAAUAAAUACCCAUUCAAUCCUAUCAUAAGCCUUACUCAUAUCUGUCUUAAUUGCCACAAACUUGCUUUUGCAAGAGGGGUUAGUCCGAAGACCAUGAAACAUCUCUUGUGCAAUCAAUAUAUUAUCCGAAAUCAGACGCCCCGCAACAAAUGCAGACUGCGUCUCUGAAAUUAACCCUGGGAGGACCUUUUUCAGCCGUUGGCAAAGAACUUUAGAAAUAAUUUUAUAGCUCACAUUACACAAACUGAUUGGUCGUAAUUCUGUCAUCCUGGUGGGCCUAUCCACCUUUGGUAUCAAACAAAUAUUAGUCUGGUUUAGCCUUUUAUCAAACACUCCUGUCGUCAGAAAAGCAUUGACCAUAUAAACCAAAUCCGCCUUGAUCGUUCGCCAAGCCUUCUGAAAAAACAAAGCCGUCAUCCCGUCUGGUCCCGGAGCUUUAUCCGGAGACAUCAUGAAAAGAGCAUCAUGAAUCUCCUUUUCUGUAGCUUCUGCCGUCAAUACCUGGUUUAUAUCGUCCGUAAUAAUGGCAUUGAUCUCUUGUAAACCUUCCUCUAAAAUCUGUGGAGAGGUGGUUUGAAAGAGAUCCGCAAAAUAAGUUACAGCUACCCGACAGAUGGCCGGAGAUUCUGUCACCCAAGUGUUAUUAGUAUCAUAUAAGCCAAUAAUCCGAUUUCUUUCCCGGCGUUGUUUUGUUUGUGCGUGGAAAAAUUUGGAGUUCUUAUCACCAACACGCAUCCAGCUGUUCCUGCUUUUUUGUUGCCAAUAUACCUCUUCGUCCUCAUAUGCCUCGCGUAACCGUUUUGAUAGUUCAUAAAUUUCCGAUGGCAAGCUUGCAUCAUCCCUUUGAGCAGCCUCUAAUUUAGUUUUUAAAUCUUCAAUAGUUUCCCUUCCAAACGGCUUCUGUUCCCAACGCCAUUGUGAAAUAGCCCGUCUACAGCUGAUGACUUUAUUCAUAAACAUCCCUGAUCCCUGGUUCGAUACCUCGUUCCAGCCUUCACCGAUUGCUUCCAUGAUACCCUCUUUACCUAUCCAUCUUUUAUCAAAUAUAAACCCGUGCCUCCCUCUUGCCAGUUUCUCCUCAAUAGAAGCUAAAACCGGUUUAUGAUCCGACCCAAUCAUCGGUAAAUAUUCCACUAAAGUCUUCGGGAACACUUCGUGCCAAUCCUCAUUACCGAGUGCCCUAUCUAACCGACAUCUAAUUGGCUUCUUAUCCCGCCACCCCCGCCAUGAAAGCCAAUCCCCAAUAAAAGGAAACUCUAAGAAACCACAAUUUCGAAUUAAAGCAUUGAAGUCUAAGAAGGUAGAGGCAUGUCUCAACUUCCCCCCUCUCUUCUCAUGAUUGCCCGUGAGUUCAUUAAAAUCGCCAACCACAAACCAAGGAGUUGACCGAUUUAGACCAAUCCGNNNNNNNNNNNNNNNNNNNNNNNNNNNNNNNNNNNNNNNNNNNNNNNNNNNNNNNNNNNNNNNNNNNNNNNNNNNNNNNNNNNNNNNNNNNNNNNNNNNNNNNNNNNNNNNNNNNNNNNNNNNNNNGGCAACUUUAUUAAUAUUAUUAUUAAAAAAUAGGGCCAAACCCCCACUACAACCAAUAGGAUCAACCGUAACCAAAUCAUCAUAACCAAAAUGAGCUUGAAAUUUUUCUAAAAAAGGGGACAAUUGUUUUGUCUCCGAGAGAAAUAAAAAGUCGGGUCUAUGGCUAUUCCACAAAUCCCUAAGAUACCCAAUAGUUGCCUUAUUCCCCAAUCCUUGGCAAUUCCAACUCAGAAUCUUCAUUUAUUUCCGUUGGGCUUAGGCGGUUUAGGCCCACCUUGACCUCCCUUAUCCGCAUCUCGUGGUCUCGGGUUAUUGCCAUCACCGGGCGGCACCGUGCUCUUUGGUGCAGAACGUUUGCGGGGAGAAGUAAUGAGCUGCGCAAGGCGCUUUUUAGAACUCGCUCCCGCUACCGUGCCUGGUCGGCCACGCCGGCCCCUCUCCAGUCCAGCCACAUCCCGGGUGGUGAAGUUUCCGUCACCGAGGCCCUCUUCACCCCCAACAGGCCCAUCUAAGGGAGGCCCAACAGGAAUGCCCCUCUCAGCAGUUAUCUCCAGCAGCAGAGGCCCAUCUUGGCCAGACCCACUUGAAUCUCCUACCGUGAUGAUGCCAGGCCCAUCUGGCGAAGGCCCAUCAAAAGUUAAAAACCCAAUUGCCUCUUCAGCACCAACGACUAGUUCUUCGUCUUCCACUUCGAGACCCACCUCAUCACCAUCUGGAAGCAUGUCCUCCACCCCAUGAGUCGGCUCAUCAACAUGCUCCGCUAGUGACACCAUUUCCACAUCCGUGUGCAGAGAAGAUUCGUCAGAUAACAGGAAUGACUGAAUCCUCUCGAGCUCCUCUGUCAUCNNNNNNNNNNNNNNNNNNNNNNNNNNNNNNNNNNNNNNNNNNNNNNNNNNNNNNNNNNNNNNNNNNNNNNNNNNNNNNNNNNNNNNNNNNNNNNNNNNNNAAAACCAGUUUCCACAGUACUCGCAGUUGGCUCCAUGUGUGAUAGCGACCCAACCAAACCAGAUUCCUCAGCAACAACCUCUUGAAAGAGAGAUUUUUGGGCGCGUUUCGGCUUUGUUGCGUCCUUAGUAUGCUCCUUAGCUUCUGUACCAGAGCCACCCGAAGUAUCAGCCAUGUGAUCACCUUUCUUCUGCUCCAAAGCCUUCCCACUACCAUGAGAACGCCGUGACCGAUAAGACGAUUCACCAUGAUAAUACCCAGAUCUGGACCGAUGGUGACCACCCGUUUGAGUAUUCCUUACACCCUUUGAAUCAUCACCACCCCCAUUGUCUUUUUGCGGUCCCUUCUGCGUAGCAGUAUGGUCAGAGCCCCGUCUGCGGUCACUUGCUAGUGCACCUCUGUAGCUAUGAUUGCGUCGCUCACCAUCUUCCUCAGCAGAUGCCCGAGAACUCUCUGAACCCACAGAACCACAAUGCUNNNNNNNNNNNNNNNNNNNNNNNNNNNNNNNNNNNNNNNNNNNNNNNNNNNNNNNNNNNNNNNNNNNNNNNNNNNNNNNNNNNNNNNNNNNNNNNNNNNNACAAUACCCAUGAAGUUUCUCAUACCGCAGUGUCACCAAAAUUUCCUCACCAGUCCCAAACACAAGUUCCGUUUCAAAGCAUAGAGGUUUAAAACCAUCCACAGUCACCUUCACCCUGCCCCCAUCAAUAUCCACUUCAUGUACGAAACCAAGAUCAUCACCAAUGCCCCUGAAUGUGGGAUCAGCCCAAUAUUGGAGUGGNNNNNNNNNNNNNNNNNNNNNNNNNNNNNNNNNNNNNNNNNNNNNNNNNNNNNNNNNNNNNNNNNNNNNNNNNNNNNNNNNNNNNNNNNNNNNNNNNNNNCUGAUCCAAAAAGUAAUCGCUGCUGGAUACGCCGGAUCAACGGAUGGCUCCCACUUAACCAACGCCACCAUCCACUGAUCAAAAUGAAAAGGCUCCAUUUUGAUCACUUCCUCAAUGUCCCCAGCAUCUUCAAAGUCAAACUGAAAUCGCCCAAGACCAAGAUCAGCGCCCACCACCUUGCCUUCCAAUUGCCAGAUACGCGGAAACAUGAAGAGCAGGGUCUUCAUGUCUUGCAUUCUCGGGUUCAUGCACCUCCCAAUGACGGUUUUGGAAUACCCUUUGAUUAACUCGGAGUUGUCGAACAUCGGGAUUUUUAUUUUCCGUUUCAUCACCAUCUCCACCGGCUUCUUGCCAGAACCACCACCCUUCACCAAAGUACUCUGCGACAUAGCCUCAGAAAGCAACGAAAAACAAGCACCGAGAAAAGAGAAGGAUAAGCAAUCUCGAUAAGAACCAAUAAUGUAAUGUGAUGAACAAGGAAACCAGUAAUGGACCUCUUUAUACCUUCGGAGAAGCCGAUUACUCCCCCACUGUAAAUCAUUCCUUAAUUUGUUCGCAAUCAACCCCAAAUCACCAUAAAUCGCUGAUAUUGAGUCGCCAAAAUCGUUGACCAUGAUAAAAUCCACAAUCAGUUGAAAUCGCCUUUGCCUUCCACCUCCAACAUACCAUAAUAAACGGAUGUGCCUUAAACAUAUAUUCUUCAUCAUCGAUCCCCCUUUAUGGCCAAAGAUUGGAUUAGAAUUCCCAAAUCUCGGAUCUUUUUCUCCCGUAACACCCGGAACCAUCUCCUGAGAUCCCAAAAUUAAAUCAAGUAUCCCUCGAUCCUUCCAACCUUCUCCAUAAAACCAAAGAUCCGUAGAUCUACCCGUAGUAAUAACCAGCAAGUAACCCCAAAACUUCACCAAAGGAGACCAUCUCAUUGUUGGGAUGAACCCUAGAGCCUUUCCGCCGCCAUCGUUCCAGAGAGAAAAACUUUUGAAUUAAUAAUUCAAAAAUACUCCUUUUUAAAUAUGAAAAAUAUAAACUUUUAUAUGGUUGAUAAGAUACAUCAAGAUCAUCAUUACUACUGGGAGACUAAAUCCAAAUAUUUAUAAAGUUCUAAACAACAUUUUUAAGGUUUUUAUAAAUUUUUAAAAAGUUUACAAAGUUUCUAUAAAGUUUUUAAAUGAUUUUUAAAAGGUUUUUAUACGGUAGUUAUGAAAUAUAUAUAUAAGUUUAGACACAUAUAUAGAUAAAUUGUGUCUAUACAUAUUAGCUUACACAUAUGUUUUUGAUAAAUUUCAAAAUUUACAAUGACUUUUUGAUAAGAUUAGAAAGAGAGAUAUUUUUGAAACUCCCCCAUAUAUUUUUAUAGAAAAAACUAUAACUUAAUUAAAUAUAUUAAAUUGAGUGAAAUGAUAAAUGAUUAAAAUUUUAAAUAAAAACUUAUAAAUGAUGUAAUAUUGUUGUAAACCACAUGCAUUGUAUUAUUUGAAUAGAGGUUAUUAUGCAAUGAUAAUAGUCAUACAACUUCGUAAAUUACUAUGCUAUAUAUCAUGGUAAGCAUUAAUCUACUGAGUCAAUAUGAACAUAAAUAUAAAUCUAAAAUACUCUUUUUUGGACAGAAAAAAAUAUAAAUCUACAAUACUUAAAAAUAUGAAAAACUCAUACAAAAUAUGAUAGUCACAAAUAAAUAAAAAAUCGAAAUUAUGAAAUUAAAAAAGGGCUGAUGUCUUCUUUUCUUGUUUGUUUGUCUGAGGUUUCCAGCUACUUCCAUGAAUUUCCCGUUGCCUAUCUGCUUCAUUGAUUCGAAUGUAAAUGUUAGAGAAGUUACUUGAUGCUUGUGUAGACUUUUCUCAUAUUUGUGCCAUGGAAAUAGCAAAACCACUACAGAACCCAAAUGACUUUGAUUCUAAAGAAAAAUCAAUGAACGAAGCUUCCUCUCUUGCUAGUUACUAAAGACUCUGUUCUCAGUCAAUGGAGUCAACAUCAGUUAAGAAUCUUAUCCUCUCUUAUACCAAAAAAUAAUAAUAACUUGUGAUCAACGUUCAUUUGUAUAGUCUCUUCUACAUAGCUCUCUUUAACGCUCUCUCCAAUCAUCUCUCCAAUCAUACUUGCUAAUGGAUUCUUCUUCUUUUUUCCUUACCACUGUUGUUGCUGCAACAAUAGGCUUCUUUACCAUUUUAUUCACUAUUUUUAAAAAACUCAGACUCCAUCGAGAAGAGGACAAAAAAACUUCAUCUCCUCCACCUUCCUUGUCUCCUUCAUCUCCUCCAUCUCCUUCAUCUCCUCCAUCUUCUUUGAAUCGCAUCUGGACACACCAUGCUUUCCAAGUUUCCGAGGGGAAGAUGUUCGUAGAGACUUUCUAAGUCACAUCCAAAUGGAGUUUCAAAGAAUGGGAAUCACAUUAUUCAUUGAUAAUGAGAUCAAGAGAGGAGAAUCCAUCGGUCCUGAACUCAUUCGGGCCAUUAGAGGAUCCAAGAUCGCAAUUAUCUUACUCUCGAGAAACUACGCUUCUUCGAGUUGGUGUCUUGACGAAUUGGUAGAAAUUAUGAAGUGCAAAGAAGAAUUGGGUCAAAUGGUGAUGGCUGUUUUCUAUAAAGUGGAUCCGUCUAAUGUGAAAAAACUAACCGGAGAUUUUGGGAAAAUCUUCAGAAAAACUUGUGCUGGUAAAACAAAGCAGGUCACUGGGAGAUGGAGACAAGCUUUGGCUAAAGUAGCAACUAUCGCUGGUUACCAUUCAAGCAACUGGUUUGUUGUUUUCUAUCUCCAUUUAAAUAUGUUAAUUUUUCUAUUUCUAACAAAAAUCUAAUUGUAUAGAAAAGCAUUAAAAAACUAGAUUGACCCAAAUAAAGAGAUUAAUUACUAGACUAACUUAUAAAAUAUUUGGGUUAGAUGAGUAUUUUUCAUUACAAAAAUACCCUUUUCUGCUUUGUUAGGAAAGAAAAAAAAGUCAACAUUACCCUUUACAAAAUAAUCAGCAAUUUUCGUAAAAGUCUGUCGUUAAUGUUGUUAAUGUAGUGACAGUUUUAUUUUUGUACGACAGAUUUAUUAUAGAAUGACAGAUUUUCUAUGACAGAUUUAUUUUUAAUGACAGAUUUGUUUGGAAAUAGUUACGACAGAUUUAAUAUUAGUGACAAAUUAAUUUUUUUAUGACAGACUUUUAAAUGUAACGAUGACAGACUUUUGUUAUAUAGGACAUAUUUUUGUAAUGUAUGACAGAUUUGUGAAAAUAUUUGACAGAUUUAUUUUGUUAGUUAUUUCAGAUUUUUUUUCCCAAAAAAAAAUUGUCGUGUAUUGACAGACUUGUUAACAGAAAAUUAAUUACUAGUUUGACUAAUAGUGAUGACAGAUUUGUGUGAGGUUAUGACAGAUUGUAAAAAUUUACUAAAAAACUGUCACUUGAUAACAGAUUUGUUAAACUUUGUUAAAAAUUGCUAGAAUGACCUAUGUAUGUAAUGGCAGAUUAAUUUAUCUUGUGACAGUUUUUUUUUUUCUGUAAUAUUUGUUUAUGUAGCAACCUAAUUGUAACAUGUAAUGACAGAUAUUUUGAUGGGUUAUGACAGAUUCUAUAACAAAUUUUAAUGAAGGUUCUAUGACAGUUGUUUUUUCCGAGUAGUGACAUAGUGAUUUUUUUUUACUUAUUACGACAAAUUUUUUUAAAGAUUAUGACAGAUUUAUUACUAUGUUAUGCGACAGAUUUGUAUAAGGUGUAGCGACAUACAUUUUUAAAAGUAAGUGUUAAGUUUGCCAUAUAAAACCGUAAAAAAAAAUUAGGGUUUUUGGAAGUUACGUCUUGUUUUGUUUUGCCUCGCUUCCUCCUCCUCUCCAUCGACUUUUGAUAAUGUUUAUUAUAUUUUUGAACUUAACUUGUUAAAUAAUAUUUAUUUAUGUAUUAUGAUAAAUAAAAUUUCCAUUUAGUUUAUAUAUAUAUUUUUAAUAUUUUCGUUCAUAAAUUUAGUAGAAAACAUAAGAUAAAAAUAAACUUUAUGUUUUGAUUAUUUCUAUAUUAUGUAUUUUUGAAUGUUUUAUGUAAGUUUAAUUUUUGAAAAAAAAUUAUAAUAUAGAAAAAUAUUAUAAAUUUUUUCAUUUUAUUAUGACAGACUUAAUAUAUGUGUGACAGACUUUUCUAUUAAUUGCCAUUUUUUAGGUUUAGGUUUUUUGGACUUUUUACAUAAAUAUUGUGUCAUUCUAGUAAUGACAAAAAACAGAGGGUUAAUCCAGUUAUUUUUAGCCAAAUUUGUGUCAAACUAGUUAAAUUUCACAUUUUUUAAUGUGUGAUUUCUCCAUAAUUGUUUCAUCGAUGUAGUGAUCUCUUUUAUUGUUAGGGAUAAUGAGGCGGCUAUGAUCAAAGAAAUCUCUACUGAUAUUUCCAACAAGUUGAAUAAUUCAGCAUCAUCAAGUGAUUUCGACGGGUUGAUUGGUAUGAAAGCUCAUUUGAAGAAGAUGGAACAAUUGUUAUGCCUAGAUUCAGACGAAGUGAGGAUGAUAGGGAUUUGGGGUCCUUCUGGGAUAGGGAAGACCACCAUUGCUAGAGUUGCAUACAACAAAUUCUCCAACAAAUUUCAGCUAAGUGUCUUUAUGGAAUCUAUAGAAGUAAAGUAUACAAGACCUUGUUCUGAUGACUAUGGUGCAAAGUUGCACUUACAACAACUAUUUAUGUCUCAAAUAACCAACCAAAAUGAUAUGAAGAUUUCUCAUUUAGGAGUGUUUAAAGACAGGCUAAAAGACAAGAAAGUUCUUGUUGUUCUUGAUGGUGUGGACCAGUCAAUGCAACUAGAUGCCAUGGCGAAAGAACCUCGGUGGUUUGGUCCUGGGAGUCGGAUUAUCAUCACAACCCAAAAUCGAAAGCUUUUUAGGAUACAUGGGAUCAACCAUAUUUACAAGGUGGAUUUUCCACCGGAUGACGAGGCUCUUCAAAUCUUUUGCACGUAUGCUUUUGGUCAAAAGUCCUCUAAAGUUGGUUUUAAAGAACUUGCUCGAGAAGUUACAAAACUUGCUGGUAAACUCCCUUUGGGUUUAAGGGUUAUGGGCUCUCAUUUUCGAGGAAUGUCUAAGCAAGAGUGGAAAAAGGAAUUACCAAGGCUAAGGACUAGCCUUGAUACCGAUAUUCAAAGCAUUUUGAAGUUCAGUUAUGAUGCCUUAGAUGACGAAGAAAAAUAUUUGUUUCUUCAUAUAGCUUGCUUUUUUAAUUAUCAAGUGAUUGAGAAAGUGGUUACUCAUCUUUCAUAUCUAUUAUUGGAUGCGAGAAAAGGGCUUAACGUCUUAGCUGAAAAAUCUCUCAUAUCUAUAGAGUAUGGAAGUGUACGUAUGCAUAAUCUGCUAGUCCAACUAGGUAGAGAUAUAGUUCGUAAACAGUCUAUUCAUGAGCCUGGAAACCGCCUAUAUUUAAUUGAUGCAAGAGAAAUUUAUGAAAUACUCAUUGACGAUGUACGAGUAAGUCUUAAAUAUCUCUCAAAAAAUCUAGUUUAUUUGAUAUUGAACAAAAUCUUAUUAUUUUUGUUCCUUUUUCAGGCUAGUAGAAGAUUGAUAGGCAUAAAUUUCAAUUUCGGCACGAAAAGCGUCAAGAAAAGUUUUAAUAUAAGUGAGAGAGCCUUUCAACGAAUGACUAAUCUCCGGUUCUUAAGAUUUGAGGGGGAUCACAAUACAUUAGAUCUACCAUGUGGUCUAGAUUAUAUGUCUCGAAAUCUUCGAUUAUUACGAUGGACGUAUUUUCCGAUGACAUGUUUGCCUCCUAUUUUCAACCCGGAGUUCAUAGUUGAAAUAAAUUUGAGGAAUAGCAAACUUGAGAAGCUGUGGGAAGAAUUUAAAGUAAGUAAUUUUUUUUGUUUUUCAUAAAAUUUAUAUUAAAUUCAAAUAAAUAUAAUUUCCUUAAUAUAAUUUUAUGUCAGUUAAUUAUUAAAAGCAAGUAAAAGUGUUUUUAUGUUCUUUUGUACAGUUUGUUUUUUGGAUUAAGUUUAGAUAAAAUGUUCUUACUCUUUGUCUGUACAGCCGCUUCCAAAUCUCAAGUGGAUGGAUUUGUAUUCGUCUAAGAACCUAAAGGAGCUUCCUGAUCUCUCAACAGCCACCAAUCUUCUAGAAUUGAAUCUCGGAGGUUGCUCCAGCCUAGUGAAGCUCCCAUCUACUAUUGGGUAUACUAAAAGUCUUCAGAAAUUGAAUCUUGGUUAUUGCUCAAGUCUGAUGCGUCUCCCCUCUUUCAUUGGAAGUUCCACUAAUCUCCAAAUAUUAUAUCUUCGUGGAUGCUCAAGUUUGGUGGAGCUUCCUUCUUUUUAUGGUAAUUUCAUCAAUCUAAAAGAUUUGGAUCUUAGCAAUUUAGCAUGUCUGGUGGAGCUCCCUUCCUUUGUUGGUAAUGCUACUAAUCUAGAGAUUUUGGACCUUAGCGAUUGCUCAAGUCUGGUAAAGCUUCCCUUUUCUAUUGGAAACCUUCAGAAGCUGCAGAGAUUGAAUUUACACGGAUGCUCGAAGCUAGAGUAUCUUCCGACCGACAUCAACUUGGAAUCUCUGGAUAUACUUGAACUCACUGAUUGCUUGCUGUUGAAAUUGUUUCCUGAGAUCUGCACGAGCCUUAGAAUUCUCGAUCUCAGAGGAACUGCAAUAGAAGAAGUGCCUUCAUCAAUCAAAUCUUGGUCUCAUCUCACAAGUUUGAGUAUGACAUACAGUGUAAAACUCAAGGAAUGUCCUCAUGCUUUUGACACCAUCACAACUCUGUACGUGGAUGAUGACGAAAUACAAGAGCUUCCUCCAUGGGUCAACGAAUUCUCUCGUCUGGAAUUACUUCUACUCAAUGGAUGCAAAAAGCUGGUGUCAAUCCCACAGAUUCCAGAUUCCCUCAUUGCCAUAACUGCAAUUGAUUGUGAGUCCUUGGAAGAGUUUCCUCCGUGGAUCAACAAAUCCUCUCGUCCGUAUCCACAUCAACUCUUGCUCAAGGGAUGCAAAAAGCUGGUAUCACUCCCACAGAUUCCAGAUUCCCUCACUUACAUAAUUGCAGAAGAUUGUGAGUCCCUAGAGAGACUAGAUUGCUCCUUUCAAAGUAAAGAUACUGAUCUUCUCAGUUUUGCUAAGUGCUUCAAAUUGAAUCAAGAAGCCAGAGACUUCAUCAUCCGAACACGGACUAGAGGUUAUGCGGUCUUACCUGGUGGAGAAGUACCUUCAUACUUCACUCACCGAGCUGCCGGAGGUUCCUUGACAAUUAAUUUAAAUGAGAAGCCUCUUCCUACAUCCAUGAGAUUUAAAGCUUGCAUUUUGCUGGUUAAUGAAAAUGAAAAUGACACUCGCUCUAGCGUUACUGUUACGUGUAAAAAUAGCAGGAUGCGACUAUAUGACAUUUUUACAGAGCAUCUGUACAUAUUCGAAGUGGGAAUGGACGUGACUUCCAACGAGCUUGUCUUUGAGUUCAAGGUCGACCGUAACAACUGGAAGAUAGCACAAUGCGGGGUGAUCCAACUCUCAGAGGUCGCUUGAUGUAAACAUGACAAGGCGAUUACAGAGACACACCCCUUGGUGAAACUGAAGUCUAUGGCAAAGUACUGGAGACUGUCACUACAAUUGAAGAGCAUAAUGAGAGAAGCAACAAGGUAACAUAAUCUACGUUUAUAGAUUUUGUACAAUAUUAAGGGAAUUUGAAAUCUUUGUGUAUAUGCAACCUUAAUUCUUCUUUUAAAGUUUUAAUCAUGAACCAUUAUCUGAAGAAAGCAUUUGAAUAUUAUGUAGCCUAUUGUGUUAAAUCAUCUCAUUAACAAAUGUGAGAAAUAUUUAAAGUUGUAUUUCCAACAUUGAUUAUGGUACGUGAUCAGCUUAUGCAUUUUUAUAGUUUGUUUUUUCAACCACAGGUUAGUAAUCCGUCAAUGCAAUUUAUGUUGUAUGAGACAAUGUCAACCAACCGCUUUGGAGGUCAAGACAGGGGACUAAAGCAAAGAGUUGUUGUGUUGGUUUUUAAAUCGCAGGAACGUUGGACGCGUUUCUGAAAAUGAUUCGAUACGAAGGGCUUUACGGGUUUUACAAAGGGAUGAGCACAAAGAUAGUGCAAAGUGUGUUAGCCGCUGCAGUUCUGUUCAUGAUCAAGGAAGAGCUUACGAAGGGAGCUAAGUGCAAGCCUUCUUAAAUAAACGCUAUCCAACUAGCAUUGUUAGAUUGGUAACGGUUAUGCCCUAGUCUUGGAUUGCAAUCAAAUUCUGAGUUUUUGACCAAAAUUAAUUUACAUGCGUUCUUGUAUGGAGAUGAGGCAAUAUGAUAUAAGUACGUCGGCAGUAUCUUAAGAUUGUAACAUAUUCUUGCAGGUAAAAAUGUCAAAAAAAGAUCUUAAACUUUCAAAUUUAGGACGAUUAAAACAUAACUUUCGGAAUGUCGUUUAAAUCACAAAGUUAGCCGCUGCGGUUUUGUUCAUGAUCAAGGAAGAGCUUACGAAGGGAGCUAAGUUGUUGCUCUCAAAUGCCAACUCUAGCAAACUCAAGUCCAAGCCUUCUUAAAUAAACGCUAUCCAACGACAACACACGCUAUACUUAUGGUACGUUACGUGUGAGCUUAUGAUUUUGAAGCUUCUCUUAUGUUGUUUGUCUAGGUGCAUUUUUAUUGUUUAUUUUUCAACCACAUGUCAGUAAAGUCACGACUUCAAACCAAACAGGUCAUGACAGGGGACAAAAGACAACAAUGCAAAGGUUAUAUCCCUCUUGCAAUAAUAAGAUCAUCAAAAACUCAUUUCUCAAUUAAAGCAAAGAGUUGUUGUGUUGGUUUUGAAAUCGCAGGACCGUUAGAGGAGAUACUGAAAAUGAUUCGAUAUUAAGGGCUUUACGGGUUUUACAAAGAGAUGAGCACAAAGAUAAGUGCAAAGUGUUUUAGCGGCUGAGGUUCUGUUCAUGAUCAAGGAAGAGCUUGCGAAUGGAGCUAAGUUGUUUCUCUCAAACUCAAGUCCAAGCCUUCUUAAAUAAAGAUUAUAAGAUUGAAAUAAAAUAAAACAGAUUAAAUUUCCAAUAAUAAAAUAAAUGUAUUUAAAUGACAUUUCGGAAGUUGGGGAUUUAAACGUCCAUAAUUUGAAAGUGUAUGAUUUUUUUUGACAUUUUUCCUUUUAAUUUAUCACACACUAUUGUCGUGCAUUUCAAUAAGGGUUAAUUGCAUGUGGACACACUUUCAAAACUUUAAUUGCAUUAUGACACACUUAUAAACUCAUGGUGCACUUUGGAAAAGUUUGUUUACUCUCUCACCCUCACUUUGACAACAUAUUAACUCAUUUGCCAUCCCAACUAAAAUUCCACGCAACUAAACACUUACGUUCUCUUCCUCUUCCUUUUCUUCUUACUCUUUUUCAAUUCUUUCCCUUUUUUCUCUUUCUCUUUCUCAUUUUUUUUCUUUCUUUUUUUAUAAUCACUUUAUCUUGUUAUUAUAACAAUAUUUUAUAUUUAUUUUUGUACAAUACUCAAUAUUUCCAUUUUUCCUAUAUUUGAAGAUGCAUUUUACUAUAUUUCUGGAUAAAUUAUAUUAUAUAUAUUAUCCAUUUGUAGUUGACCAUUUAUUCGCUGAUAAUUGUAUAGUCAAUUGUAAUAUCAUUUCUGGAUAUACAUAUUUGUGUUUGGACAUUUUAGCAACAUGUGGUUACUUUUUACAUGUUUUAGUAUAUAAUAAGUGCAUAUAUACAUGGGAACAUUUCAAUAAAAAUGAGUGUAAAUUAGUGUCUCUGUACAUGUGAACAUAUGGACAAUAAUCGUCUAUCCAACGUCGAAGAUGAGAGUAUUAAGAAUGAUUGGAAGCAUUUUUGGACAGAAUAGGUUAUCGAUAUCCAAAAAACCUCAUCCACAUGAUCACAAAGAGCAUCGUCACUACCGAUUUAAAUCUGUAAAAACGAAAAACCAAAAAAAAUAAAAAUACUCAGAAGCACUUACCUAGAUCUGUCAUGCAAAAUGAUUGAGAAAUUAGUAUAUACAAGUUUAACAUAAACGAGAAAACUGAGAAGCACUUACUCUAUUCAAGUUUAACAUAAACGAGAAGACAUAUCGUCGAUAUGUUGGAGAAAACGAAACAGCUAUGUACCACUUUAUGGAUAUUGUCCAAUAUAUGCAGUUUUGUGGAUGUUGUCUAAUGGACGUUGGACUUGUUGCUUUUGUUCAAGACUUGAAUUUUCCCUAACAUGUCAUUUGUUUGAAUAAUGUAACGAUGGGAAAGAGUUCAUGGAUAACCAUGAUAAUGUCGAAAUUUGGUUUGGGGAUUUAGUAAAACUUUUAAACAUGAAGAAAUCUUCUCAUGUCGAGUAUAUCGGAUGGACAAGAUUCAUGGACAACAAUAAUAAGAGAGAGAUAGUGUGUUUGGAUAUUUUCAACUAUCCACCAUCUUAUAAACAUUUUGAUCACAUAUGUCCAUUUUCAAAUAUCCACUUUCAAUAAUCUAUUUUCUCAAAAAUUCACAUUAGUUUCACAAAUUUUAUGGUGUCAAUGUUGUACUCUCCAUAUGGACAAUAUAAUUUGCACUUUAAAUAUAGCAAAAUGGAUCUCAUUAUAUAGAAAAAAUACAAUUAGCAUGUAUUGUACAAAAAUAAAUAAAAAAAUAUUUUCUUGAUAAUACAUAAAAUUGACAAUAAAAAAAAAACUAAGGAAAAUGAGAAAGAGAAAAAGAAUUUGUAUAUCAACACAUUUGAACUAUACCUACGUCGUCGUUAUUCUUCAACCAGUUUUUGAAAUAACUAUUUGUCACUAACAUGUUUUAUUAUAAUAUUAAAUUGUAAAAGUGUUGGGUAACUAUAGUUUUUAAAUCAAACGGACGACGACGACAAUUGGAAACAGACGAGACACAAUUUUACUUUAUUAGGACAGUUUGUGUCUUUUUUUGGCGCAAACAGUGGCCAAAGUACACCAACAAUUGGAAAGUGUGUUUUUUGUAAGUUCUCCCCUUAAAGUGUGUUUAUAUGUAAAUCACCCUUUCAAUAAUGAUUGCAAUUGUUUAUUGUUUUUUUACAAGAUUACUAGAGACUUUUUGUUUGAUCUGAUGACUUAAAUGAUUCUACAUAAGGUUUAUACGAAGAUCCAGUCCAGAGAUUAUUUAACUUAUUUUCGUAAAAUGUAAUUGUAAUUUUUUUUUCCUUUGGUUUUGUGAAAUGUAAACGUUUAUCAUGAAUUUUUUUUUUAGUUUCAAAAAGUCUAUUGUAUUCUUCUACGAAAACUAUGACUGAUGCCAACAUACUUUCAAUUUGUUACAUCUGCAUCCAUGUCAGCUAUUACCAAAAAAUAAUAUAAAUCUUCUUUUAUAGCGUUUUCUUCCUCUUUAAUAAAUUCUUCAGUUGUAAAUGUGUAAAACAAUUUUCACUCUCUCUUCUGGUUUUGAUUAUUUAUUUCAGCCUCAACAUGACUUGUAACACGUUAGAUCAUGGGUUAGUCUUUGUUGUUCGAUAAUUGUUUUGUAUAAUCUAUAUAAUGAUGGACGUACUAAUCAUUUCUUAUAAUGUACAGAUUCUCAACUUAGCUUAAAACAAAUUUAAUGGAAUAUAUAACGACAAAUAUUAUUAUAAACAUAGUUAAUAAUUAAAAAAAAAACUUAUUAUUGAUCCAUUGUUUUUGAGAAAUAUAAGGCCAUAUAAUCAAAAUUAUCAAUGGGUUUUAGAGAGUAUGUUAGGGUAUUAAGGUUAUAAAAAUAAAUCAAAAUUGAUUAAUUUUACUAAGAUACUUGAGUUGGGUAUGUUGGAGAAGGAUUUUUUUUGUGGGUUAAGAGACGCCACGUGGCGCAAUCGGAUUGGGUAAGUUUUUUUUUUUAAUUUUUUAAUUUUUUAAUUUUUUUUGGAGAAUGAUUCUUUUGGUGGGUUAUGACAUUAUAUUUUUUUUUUUAAAAUUUUUUUAUUUUUUUUUGUAAACCAUUUAUUAUGACAUUACUAUAAUUUCUAUGAAUUGGGUAAGUUGAUAAUUAUAUUAUGACAUAACAAUUUUCAAAUUUAACUAUCAAUUUGAUGAAUCGAUGUUAAGAAAAACCCAAUAAAAUUAGCCAUACAUGAAAAACACAAGUCAAUUUUCUUAUAUUACAAAUUAUAAAAAAAAUCUAAAAUACCCAACUUAAGAUCCUACCAAUAAACACAUCUCAAAACUAAAAACAAAAUAAAAGCUCUUAAACUCUACUUUUUCAAAUUUAAUACUAAAUUAAUACUAACAUACCCUAACUAACAUUCUUCCUAUAAUGUUAGCUUUCAGUUGCUAGAGGAGCUCUUGUCUCCUUAAAAUCCUCUGUUCUUGGAGUGUAAUCGUUUACUCUACCUUAGUCAAUCAAACUGUUUGCCAAAAAAAAAAAAAACUUUCAGCUCCUUGGGCGCCAAAAUUGAUUAUUCUGUGCAAAAUACACAUAUAACACAUUAAUUGUAUUGUUUCAUGAUCCAUGGAGAAAAUUAUCAUAGUAUUGGAUUUUUAUUGCCUAAAGAAGGUGAGAAACCAAAAUUCUCACAAAUUGCAAAGGUUUAUCUUCACAUGUGUUAUAAGUCAAGAAGACUUUGUUUGUGAACAAACCAUCGGCAAAUGUUAUGCACUAACUUAAGUAUUGAUUAUAGCUUCUCUUCUUAGUUCUUACCCUGGAGACUUCACAAUAUUGAUCAUGAUUUCUUUGCUACUUCCAUGAAUUUUCCGUUGCCUAUCUAAUGUAAAUGUUAGAGAAGUUACUUGUGUAUACUUUCUCAUAUUUAAUUUGUGUCAUGAGAAAUAACGAAGCUUCCUUCUUUGUUACUUGACAAUGCUUUUGUAUACUUUUCUCAUAUUUGUGUCAUGCAUGGAAGUAGCACAACCACUAUAAACCCAACAUGACUUGUUCUUUGUUCUCAUAUACUUUAAACUUUUUGUUACUAAAAAAAUAUUUGAACGAAGCUUCCUCUCUUGCUAGUUGCUAGCCUAGUCAAUGAUCAUUAAAAAUAAAUAUGAUCAAUGUCAGUGGAGAAACUUAUCAAAAUUAAAAAUAAAUAACAUUUGCUAAGUCAAUGUGUCAACGCUCUUUUGUAAUGUAUACAUAGUCUCUUUGCAACUUGUGAUCCUUCUCCACAUAAGCUCUCUUUAACGUUCUUUGAUAUUAUUCAUAUCUCCAUUCAUACUUGCUAAUGGAUUCUUCUUCUUUUUUCCUUACCACUGUUCUUGCUGCAACAAUAGGCUUGUUCACGAUUUUAUUCACGAUUUUUAAAAAACUCAGACUCCAUCAAGAAGAGGACGAAGAAACUUCAUCUCCUCCAUCUUCCUUGUCUCCUUCAUCACCUCCAUCUUCCUUGUCUCCAUCAUCUCCUUCAUCUUCUUUGAAUCGCAUCUGGACACACCAUGUCUUUCCAAGUUUCCGUGGGGAAGAUGUCCGUAGAGACUUUCUUAGUCACAUUCAGAUGGAGUUCCAACGAAUGGGAAUCACAACAUUCAUUGAUAAUGAGAUCAAGAGAGGAGAAUCCAUCGGUCCUGAACUCAUUCGGGCGAUUAGAGAAUCCAAGAUCGCAAUUAUCUUACUCUCGAGAAACUACGCUUCUUCGAGUUGGUGUCUUGACGAAUUGGUGGAAAUUAUGAAGUGUAAGGAAGAAUUGGGUCAAAUGGUGAUGGCUGUUUUCUAUAAAGUAGAUCCGUCUGAUGUGAAAAAACUAACCGGAGAUUUUGGGAAAAUCUUUAGAAAAACUUGUGCCGGUAAAACAAAGCAGGACACUGGGAGAUGGAGACAAGCUUUGGCUAAAAUAGCAACUAUCGCUGGUUACCAUUCAAGCAACUGGUUUGUUGUUUUCAAUUUUCAUUUAAAUCUGUUAAAUUAUCUAACACACAUCUAAAUGUACAUAUUUAUAGCUUGGUUUUCUUAAAGCAUAGAAAUUAAAUUCAUAGUAUUCUAGUGUGUGUUUUGUACAUAAUUGUUUAAUCGAUGUAGUGAUCUCUUCUAUUGUUAGGGAUAAUGAAGCGGCUAUGAUCAAACAAAUCUCUACUGAUAUUUCCAACGAGUUGAAUAAUUCAGCAUUAUCAAGUGAUUUUGACGGGUUGGUUGGUAUGAGAGCUCAUUUGAAGAAGAUGGAACCAUUGUUAUGCCUAGAUUCAGAUGAAGUGAGGAUGAUCGGGAUUUGGGGUCCUUCUGGGAUCGGGAAAACCACCAUUGCUAGAGUUGCAUACAGCAAAUUCUCCAACAAUUUUCAGCUAAGUGUCUUUAUGGAAUCUUUAGAAGUAAACUAUACAAGACCCUUUUCCGAUGACUAUAGUGCAAAGUUGCACUUACAACAACAAUUUAUGUCUCAAAUAACCAACCAAAAUGAUAUGAAGAUUUCUCAUUUAGGAGUUGUUAAAGACAGGCUAAAAGACAAGAAAGUUCUUGUUGUUCUGGAUGGUGUGGACCAGUCAAUGCAACUAGAUGCCAUGGCGAAAGAAACUUGGUGNNNNNNNNNNNNNNNNNNNNNNNNNNNNNNNNNNNNNNNNNNNNNNNNNNNNNNNNNNNNNNNNNNNNNNNNNNNNNNNNNNNNNNNNNNNNNNNNNNNNCCUGGGAGUCGGAUUAUCAUCACAACGCAAAAUCGAAAGAUUUUUAGGACACAUGGGAUCAACCAUAUUUACAAGGUGGACUUUCCACCUGCUGAUGAGGCUUUUCAAAUCUUUUGCACGUAUGCUUUUGGUCAAAAGUCCCCUAAAUAUGGGUUUAAAGAACUUUCUCAAGAAGUUACAAACCUUGCUGGUAAUCUCCCUUUGGGUUUAAGGGUUAUGGGCUCUUAUUUUCGAGGAAUGUCUAAGCAGGAGUGGAAAAAGGAAUUACCAAGGCUAAGGACUAGCCUUGACGCUGAUAUUCAAAGCAUUUUGAAGUUCAGUUAUGAUGCCUUAGAUGACGAAGAAAAAUAUUUGUUUCUUCAUAUAGCUUGCUUUUUUAAUCAUCAAGUGAUUGAGAAAGUGGUUGCUCAUCUUUCAUAUCUAUUAUUGGAUGCGAGACAAGGGCUUAAUGUCUUAGCUGAGAAAUCUCUCAUAUCUAUAGAGCGUGGAAGAAUAAAUAUGCAUAAUCUGCUAGUCCAACUAGGUAGAGAUACAGUUCGUAAACAAUUUGUUCGUGAGCUUGGACAACGCCUAUAUUUAGUUGAUUCAAGAGAACUAUGUGAAAUACUCAUUGGUGAUGUAGCGGUAAUUUUUGACGUAUAUCCCAACAAAUCGUGUUUAUUUGAUGAUGAAUCAUCUCUUAUAAUUUUUGUUCCUUUUUCAGGCUAGUAGAAGAUUCAUAGGCAUAAAUUUCGAUUUUAGCACGGAAAGCGUCAAGAAAAUUUUUAAUAUAAAUGAGAGAGUCUUUCAAGGAAUGACUAAUCUCCAGUUCUUAAAAUUCCAGGGGUGUCACAAAACAUUAGAUCUACCAUGUGGUCUAGAGUAUAUGUCUCAAAAUCUUCGAUUAUUACAAUGGGAGUCUUUUUCGGUGACAUGUUUGCCUCCUAUUUUCAACUCGGAGUUCCUUGUUGAACUAGAGUUGUGUUUUAGCAAACUUGAGAAGCUGUGGGAAGAAAUUAAAGUAAGUACAAUUUUUAUUUUUUUUUCAUAAAAUUUAAAUUAAUUUCAAAUAAAUAUCUUCUCCUUGUUAUAAUUUUAUUUUAAUUAAUUAUUAAAGCAUGUAAGAGUGGUUUAUGUUCUUUUAUACAGUCUUUGUUUUAAUAAUUGUAGAGAAAUGUUCUUAUUAUUUGUUUGUACAGCCGCUUCCAAAUCUUAAGUGGAUGGAUUUGAGUUGGUCUCAAAACCUAAAGGAGCUUCCUGAUCUCUCAACAGCCACCAAUCUUCUGGAAUUGAAUCUUCGUGGUUGCUCCAGCCUAGUGAAGCUCCCAUCUAUUAUUGGGUCUGCUAAAAAUCUUCAGAAAUUGAAUCUCCAAUAUUGCUCCAGCCUAGUGAAGCUCCCAUCUACUAUUGGGUCUACUAAUAAUCUUCAGAAAUUGAAUCUUGGUGGUUGCUCAAGUCUGAUAAGUCUCCCCUCUUUCAUUGGAAGUUCUACUAAUCUGCAAGUAUUAUAUCUCAGUGGAUGCUCAAGUCUGGUGGAGCUCCCUUCCUUUGAUGGUAAUGCCAUGAAUCUUGCAAGUUUGAACCUUAGCUUCCCAAUUCUAUUGGAAACCUUCAAAAGCUGGAGUCUUUGAGCUUACAAGAAUGCUCUAAGCUAGAGUUUCUUCCGACAGACAUCAAUUUGGAAUCUCUCCAUGAACUUGAUCUCACGAAUUGCUUGUCGUUGAAAUUUCUCUAUCUCACAGGAACUGCAAUAGAAGAAGUCCCUUCAUCAAUCAAAUAUUGGUCUCGUCUCACAGAUUUGAGUAUGACAUACAGUGUAAAACUCAAGGAAUGUCCUCAUGCUUUUGACGUCAUCAAAAAGCUGCACGUGGAUGAUAAAGAAAUACAAGUGCUUCCUUCAUGGGUCAACGAAUUCUCUCGUCUGCAAUCACUUCGACUCUAUGGAUGCAAAAAGCUGGUGUCAAUCCCACAGAUGUCAGAUUCCGUUUAUUUCAUAGAUGCAACAUUUUGUGAGUCCUUGGAAGAGAUUCCCCCAUGGAUCAACAAAUUCAUAGAUUGUGAGUCCUUAGAAGAGUUUCCCAAAUAUUAUCAACUCGAGCUCAAGAGAUGCAGAAAGCUGGUAUCACUCCCACAUAUUCCAGAUUCCCUCAUUUACAUAGAUGCAGAAGAUUGUGAGUCCUUGGAGAGACUAGAUUUCUCCUUUCAAAAUCCAUAUAUUCGUUUUCUCAAUUUUUCCAAGUGCUUCAAAUUGAAUCAAGAAGCCAGAGACUUCAUCAUCCGAACACGGACUAGAGGUUAUGCGGUCUUACCUGGCGGAGAAGUGCCUUCAUACUUCCCUCACCGAGCCACUACUGGAGGUUCCUUGACUGUUAAGUUGAAUGAGAAGCCUCUUCCUACUUCCAUGAGAUUUAAAGCUUGCAUUUUGCUGGUUAAUGAAAAUGAAAAUGACACUCGCUCUAGCGUUACUGUUACGUGUAAAAAUAGCAGGAUGCGACUAUAUGACAAUUUUACAGAUCAUCUGUACAUAUUCGAAGUGGGAAUGGACGUGACUUCCAACGAGCUUGUCUUUGAGUUCAAGGUCGACCGUAACGACUGGAAGAUAGCACAAUGCGGGGUAAUCCAACUCUCAGAGGUCCCUUGAUGUAAUCAUAACAAGGCGAUUAUAGAGAGACAACCCCUUGGUGAAACUGAAGUCUAUGGGUGAAGUAUUGGAGACUGUCACUACAAUUCAAGAGCAUAAUGAGAGAAGCAACAAGGUAACAUAAUCUACGUUUCUAGAUUUUAUACAAUUUUAAGGGAAUUUGAAAUCUUUGUGUAUCUGCAACCUUAAUUCUUCUUUUAAAGUUUUAAUCGUGAACCAUUAUCUGAAGAAAGAAUUUGAAUAUUAUGUAGUCUAUUGUGUUAAAUCAUCUCAUCAACAAAUAUGAGAAAUAUUUAAAGUUGUAUUUCCAACAUUGAUUAUGGUACGUGAUCAGCUUAUGCAUUUUUAUAGUUUGUUUUUUCAACCACAGGUUAGUCAUCCGUCAAUGCAAUUUAUGUUGUAUGAGACAAUGUCAACCAACCGCUUUGGAGGUCAAGACAGGGGACUACAGCAAAGAGUUGUUGUGUUGGUUUCUUAAAUCGCAGGAGCGUUGGACGCGUUUUUAAAAAUGAUUCGAUACGAAGGGCAUUACGGGUUUUACAAAGGGAUGAGCACAAAGAUAGUGCAAAGUGUUCUGUUCAAGGAUGAGCUUGCGAAGGGAGCUAAGUUGUUGCUCUCAAAUGCCAAACUCAAGUCCAAGCCUUCUUAAAUAAACGCUAUCCAACGACAACUUUUAGAUUAUAAGAUUGAAAUAAAAUAAAAUAGAUUAAUUUAUCAAACACUAUUGGGAGUGUCGUGCAUUUUCAUUCCUGUAGACUUUUUGUUUGAUCUGAUGACUAAAGUGAUUCUACAUAAGGUUUAUACGAAGUUCCAGUCCAGAGAUAUAAAAAAUUUAGAAUCACUUUCAUCACUAAAAUGAUUCUACACUUUGGAAAUCAUCAUGAAUCUAUCUUAUUAUUUUUGCAACCAUUUUUUUGACAACCCUUUACUAAAAUAUUUUUGACACAAAAUAUCCUUACUUCUAAACAAUUAACCAAAGAUCAUUAAGGCUAAUUUUGUAAUCUUGAAUGUCGGGUCGGUUUUAAAUCAAAAUUUAAAACCCGAUUUCAUUAAUCGGAUCUUUGAAAAACCAAAAACUAUAUUUCCUAUUUUAAUCACCGCAAACCUAUUAAAUUCCGAAUUGAUAUGGUAAUUAAACAUAUAUAGAAACUUUAUAAAUAAAUAAACAUAAUAUUGCAUAAAAAUCGGAUCAUAAUAUAACCAUAUAUUCUUGAUUUUAUUUAUUUGGAAACAUACGUAUUGAUUAUUCUACUUUUAAAAAGAUUAAUAUCAAAUCUGGAUUUCCUAUAUUUAUUAGUUAGAAAUCGAGAAACUCUAGGAAAUAUAAACUAAUUUACUGAUUCAAAUAAAACUCAAAACUUACACACAUAUACCAAAUCUAACCAUUCAAAUACCAAACCACAAAAAACACAGAAAUGUGUUAUACUAUACUCACUACUCACUUAGAAUGAUCGAUCACUUGAAGAAAUUAUUAUGAAAUAUUCAAAUUAAUUUCUUCACGUAUGAUGUUUCUUUCUCCUGCUUUUUUUUUAUUUUAUUUUUUAUUUUUUGUGCACCACAUUUUCUUUUUCAAAAAUUAAUGAAUUAAUAACUAUAGAAAAACAGAAAGAUUAUAUUUCCAUAUCUUGAAUUACAAACAAUUCCUUAUAUUAUGGUUUUUAAAGAUUUUCAAUCAAUAUCAAAUCAUAUUAAGUAAUAAAUAUUAAGGAUAUUACUUUUCGGGGUUUAGAAAAACCCUACGGUUGGAUCCGAAAUCUCUAUAAAUACAUAAAACAACACAUACACUAGAGUAGUUCUAUAAUCCUCACAUGUGUACUAAAGCUAUCAAAGCAAUAUCGAUAUUUUUUUUUCUUCAAGAACAUAAUCAAUUCUUGUCUAAUAUCAUGUCGUUUGAAUUUGAGUAUGUCAUGUAAUUUAUUCUGAUUCUAAUGGCUUUAUUUUGGGUUACUUUAGAUUUAUAUUUGAUAGUCUCACAAAAAAUUACAAAAUCUACACUAUUUUUUCAUGGCAUAUUCCCCAGCUAAAUACUAUAUCCUCUAUUUUAUUCCAUAAUCCUAGCUUGCUCACCAAGAUUUUAGAUGAUCACUCACGCAUACCCCUCAAAUUUCAUUAUACACUAUAAAUAUGUUUUAUUUUCAGUAGCUAAAAACACCAUAUCUGAAAAGCAACUCUAUUAUAUCACAAUGAAAGAGUAUACUAUCUUCGUUGCUUUCUUCUUCACAUGGGAACUCAAGCUCUGAUUUUCUUCCUCAGCCUCCUUUUUCGUCAAAGCUUAUGGCAUUUUCUUCUUCAACCAAAAUUAUGUACCAAACAGUUUCUAUUUAUCUGACGUCGGUUUGGUUCAAGUCUCCUGAACCGAAUGAGUUGGAUUUGAUUUGUUGUGAAGGAGAAAGCUCACUUUCACACUUAGUGUUAAUGUUACAAACAAUUAGAGAUUUUAAACAAAUAUGAUGUUAAUGUUACAAACAAUUAUAAAAGACGUGACUUAAGUUUGUAAUCAUAUUUGAUUAGAGAUGUAAAUGUUACAAAUAUCAAAAUUAAUCAUUUAGAGAUGUUAAUGUUACAAAUAUGAUGUUAACGUUACAAAUUUAUUAGAGAUAUUACUUAUAAUCAAUAGCAAUUAAAAUCUCUAAUUGUUUGUAACAACUCUAAUAAAUUUUGUUAACUAACACAUUACACAUUAACAUCAUAUUUGUUUUAAAAAUUCCAACUUUAAAUGUAAAGUUUUUUCAUUUUAUCAAAAUAUAAAGAAACAAAUUUUAAGAACUCCUAAAUUAUAUGACACAACGGGUAAGAAUGAUUUUUCAUCAUCAUAAGAAAUAUCACGGGGUUGUGAUUGAGAUGAACUCUAACUUCAAAUCUACUUCAAAUUUAUAAAAUUACAUUAAUUUUAAUAAUACAAAUAUUAUUUUUUUUAAAAAGAAUUAACUCACAUACACUAUAUUCAACUUGCAAAUCUAAAUAUGUUUACAAAUAUAAAUGUACUUUGUAUAUAUAAUCAUUUAGCAAAUCUGAGUUUAAUGGAAGCAAAGAAAUUAAUAAAAAUGUUAGGAAAAUAAAUUUUUCACUUUCAUCACUAAAAUGAUUCUACACUUUGGAAAUCACCAUGAAUUAGAUUUUAUUUUCUGAUAAAAUUGUGCUUCUAUACUAACAUUUCUAAAGCAGUUUUUGAAAUAAAUCACUAACUUUCAAACUAUUUACGGAGAAUACCACUGCAUUUAAUACAAUAUCUUUAAAAAUAAAUAGAAAAUAAUUGGAAAAAAUAAAAAUGGAAAUACAUAGCUAUUUAGAAGAUUUAAAAUUAUAGUUCAACUAUCAUAUUUGUUUGAUUUGCAUAUAAAACAUAAAAUUAAUCAAAUCUAAUUGUCUUUUUCAGCAUAUUUUUUUUUUUGAAUUUUUUAAAACGUAUCUAUAUAUCAUUCAGUUAAUAUAAAAAAUUAUAUGUUCAACAUCUCAAAUCCGUUAAAAAGUUAAGAGAAUCAUUUAGAGCCAUAUUAUACAUAAGAUCAAAAUGAGUUGAAAUGCGAGUAAGCAAAAAGUUUUACUUAAUAAGCAUCCAAACUUUAAAGUUUGUAUAACAUUUAGUUCAUUUUUAAGUGAACUGUUUGAUUUUACCGUAUAUAGUCAAUUUUAAACUUUUAAUUUAAAUUUAAUAAAAAAUUUAAACUAACACAAACAUUUUUUUUUGAGGAUGGGUUGUGUAAAACACAACGAGACUGGUUUGAAUCGAUAUUAAUUACUAAACAAUUAUCAUAUCAUUAGUCUGAUAUUUCAAUACCGGUUAAAUCUUUAUUUUCUAUUUUUAAUAACACUAAUAUAAUGCAUAUAGAAUCAAACUGAUUAACAUAAGACUAGGUUCGGACCCGCACUACAGUGUGGGGGAAAUAAUUACAAAUAUAUAACCUUUAACGGAUUUGAAUAUGUUACAUUUUAAUUUUAUUACAGUGCAGUCGAGUACGGUGAAUCAUAUAUAUGUAUAAUAAGUUUAAAUAAAAUAAUAUACGAAAAAGCGAGUAAAUAAUCAUAUAUUGAGUUUUCAUACAACUAAAAACACGGUGAAGUAUUAAUAGCACGAAAUAAUAAUUGUCGAUAAAUUAUUCAUUUUGACCUUUUUGUAGUAGAAGUAGGAUUAUACAUAAAAAUUACAUAUUUACAAUAUAUUUUUUGAAGGACCAACCCGUAACAGAAUUCAUUUCGUAAAAAACUUUAUUCAUUACUCGCUUUAUCAUUAUAAUUAUUAUUUUAACAAACUACCCGUGAAAUAUCUAAAAUUUACAUAGUUUGAUAUAUAAUAUAUUUUAUCAAUAAAAAUUAAGUCUCCAAAAUUACAUUUAUUUCUUCAAAAAUAUACUUUUUGAAAUUUUAAAUAUGUUCAUGUAACAAUGGUUUUAAUAUUGGCCAUACUUAUAAUGAUUUUAAACCAUUGUCCAAAAUAUUUAAAGGGAAAAAUGUUAUUUAAAUCCCGAACAUACCAAUUUUGGUCAUUUUAAUACUCGACUUCUAAUGUGGCCAUUAAAAUCAUAGACUUCUCGUUGACAUUAUUUUUAAAUCGCUGUCUCCUGUUAACUGAGCCAGAUUGAGCAUGUCGUCAAAUCAAAUUCUCUAAGAGGAGUUAACAGCCGUUUAGGAUUGUUAAUUGAUCUCUGUUAAGUCAAAAAAUGAGAAUCACAAGGACAAGUGACGUCGUGCUGCCUUAAACGAAAUGCCUAAAUCCCCAAACUGAGUGUAGUUGUGUAUUAUAUGUCCAUUUUGAAAAAUUUAAAUUGCAACGUAUGCAAAAAAAAGGUUAAAUUUAAUUAAAUAUUUAUAUUAUAUAGUAUAAUAUCAUAAAUAAAAAAGAGAAAUUCUUACUAAUAACCUUUUUAUAAUACCCUUUUGCAAAACUACCCUCUUUUUUUGCCAUUUUCAAUUUUGUCCUCUCUUAAAUUUUAAUGGUCAUUUUACCUCUUACGUGAAAGAAUAUUUUCCCCAAAAAAUUCCUGCCUAAAUUUUCCCGCCAAAAAAAUUUCCUGCAAAAAAAAUAUUUUACAAAAUUUUCCCGCCAAAUUUUUUUAAAGGUUUUACAAGGAUUUUUAAAGGGUCUUUUAAAGUUUGCAAGGGGGUUUAAAGGGAUUUACGAGUUUUUAAAUGACUUUUAAAAGAUUUGUAAUGGUUUUAAAGGGUUUUAGAAGCUUACAAAGGUUUCUAAAUGGUUUUUAAAUGAUUUCCAAUGGUUUUUAAAAGUUUUUAUUAGUUUAUAACAGUUUUAAAAGGAUUUACAAGGAUUUACAAGGAUUUUUAAAGGUUGUUUAAAAGAAUUUACUAGUGUUUUUAAAAAGAUUUACAAGUGUUUUUAAAGUCAUACAAGGUAACAUAACAUCAUCUACGUAGAAAGAAGGUAACAUAAUAUACGUUUAUAGAAUUUGUACAAUAUUAAGGGAAUUUGAAAUCUUAUUGUAUCUGCAACCUUAGCCAAAUAUUAAUUCUUCUUAAAAUUUUUUUUAUCAUGAAUUAUUAUCUGAAGAAAGCAUUUGAAUUUUAUAGUCCAGUGUGUUAAAUCAUUUCACCAACAUAAAUAUCUCUUGACCUUUUGUUUGAUUUGAUGACUAAACAUAGAGUUUAGAAUCACUUUAACUACAUUUUAUAGUCUUCUUUAUAGAUUAUUUUUCUGAUAAAACCUUCUCAAUACAUGUGAUAAGUUAACUAAUAUGUUAUUACCAGAUCAAGAGAGCACUUUUAAAAAUUUUGUCAUUUCUCUCCAAACAUUGUAAAACCACAUGCUGCUUCUUUGAUGCCCAUGCUACAGCUCCACCUCCUAACAAAAAUGCCCACUUGUACUCUUUCUAUCAUCAAUGUCUCCUGCAUAGUCACUGUCUGUAUAUACAAAAAUGCCCAAUUAUAGCUUGAGACUAUAGUUUACAACAUCGUUGCUUAUAACGAUAAAUAAAUAAUUUUAAGAGAGUCAACUAACUUUGACUUUGUUAUCUUCAUUGGUUUUGGUCUCUUCUUCCUGUGUGAUAUAUUUCCAAACUUCAUCAACAGUUCCCGUCGAUGUUGAGCCUUGCACUAGAUUUAUUCUUAACCAACUCAUCCAUUUUAGACAAGUUGAUAAUUAUUAAUUAUUACUUUUUUCAUUUUCUAUAAAUCUUUUUCAUAUAUUGUUUAUAGACAAAAACUUUAAUUUUAUUAAAUAAAUUAAAUUUAAGGAAAUGAUAAAUGAUUACAAUUAUAAAUAAAAACUUAUAAUUAAUGUAAUAUUGUUGUAAACCACAUGCAUUGUGUAGAAUUAAUUUGAAUAGAGGUUCUUAUGAAAUGAUGGUAUUCAUACAACUUAGGAAAUUUCUAUGCUAUAUUUCAUGGUAAUCAUUUAUCUACUGAAUUAAGAUUAACUUAAAUAUGUACAAUACUCUCUUCUUCUUUUUUUUUUUUUUAUAAAUCUACAAUAUUAAAAAAAUAUGCAAAAAAUCAUCCAAAAUAUGAUGAUUACAAAUAAAUAAAUAUCAGAAUUACAAAGGGCUGAUUUCUUUUUUUUUAAUUUGAGGUUUCCAGCUGUACUUCCAUAAAGUUUUUUUUUUAAUUGAAUGUAAAAUUUUAUUCAAUCAAAAACCAUGUGUACAAAUAAUGCUUCAGUUGGUUUAAAAAAUUAGACAAUAGUUGGAAAAUAAAACAGAAUUUAAAAAGCUAUAUGUGAAUUUUAGCGGGUGGAAUACAUGAGGCGGAGACCAUCGUUAUAAUGAGGAUCACCUAUGUCUCGGAUUGUGCUGAGACUGUUUCGUACAUUGUUGUCAAUGAACAUUCUUUUCUUUUAAUAAAUCUACAAUAUUUUAAAUUAUGGAAAUACUCAUCCAAAAUAUGAUGAUCACAAAUAGAUUAAAAUCAGAAGUUUCCAACUGUUGCCUAUUUAAUGUAAAUAUUAGAGAAGUUACUUUUGUGUAUACUUUGCUCAUAUUUAAUUUGUGUCAUGGAAAUAGCACAAUCACUACAGAAUCCACAUGACUUUGUUCUCAUUUACUUUAAAGUUUUGUUUCUAAAAAAAUCUUUGAACGAAGCUUCCUCUCUUGCUAGUUGCUAGUCCUGUGUGAGAACUAAAGACUCUUUUAUAUUAUGAGUCAAUGAGUCAACGUUCUUUUAUAAUGUAUACAUAGUCUCUUUUGCAACUGAUCUUCUUCCACAUAGCUCUCUUUAACGCUCUCUGAUAUUAUUCAUCUCUUCAAUCAUACUUGCUAAUGGAUUCUUCUUCUUUUUUCCUUACCACUGUUCUUGCUGCAACAAUAGGCUUCUUCACGAUUUUUAAAAAACUCAGACUCCAUCAAGAAGAGGACGAAGAAACUUCAUCUCCUCCAUCUUCUUUGUCUCCUUCAUCUUCUCCAUCUUCUCUAAAUCGCAUCUGGACACACCAUGUCUUUCCAAGUUUCCGUGGGGAAGAUGUCCGUAGAGACUUUCUUAGUCACAUUCAGAUGGAGUUUCAAAGAAUGGGAAUCACACCAUUCAUUGAUAAUGAGAUCAAGAGAGGAGAAUCCAUCGGUCCUGAACUCAUUCGGGCCAUUAGAGGAUCCAAGAUCGCAAUUAUCUUACUCUCGAGAAACUACGCUUCUUCGAGUUGGUGUCUUGACGAAUUGGUGGAAAUUAUGAAGUGCAAGGAAGAAUUGGGUCAAAUAGUGAUGGUUGUAUUUUAUAAAGUGGAUCCCUCUGAUGUGAAAAAACUAACCGGAGAAUUUGGGAAAAUCUUCAGAAAAACUUGUGCCGGUAAAACAAAGCAGGACACUGGGAGAUGGAGACAAGCUUUGGCUAAAGUAGCCACAAUCGCUGGUUACCAUUCAAGCAACUGGUUUGUUUUUUUCUAUUUUCAUUUAAAUCUGUUAAAUUAUCUAACAAACAUCUAAAUGUACAUAUUUAUAGCUAGUUUUUCUUAAAGCAUAAAAAUUAAAUUCAUAGUAUUGUAGUGUAUGUUCUCUACAUAAUUGCUUAAUCGAUGUAGUGAUCUCUUCUAUUGUUAGGGAUAAUGAAGCGGCUAUGAUCAAACAAAUCUCUACUGAUAUUUCCAACGAGUUGAAUAAUUCAGCAUUAUCAAGUGAUUUUGACGGGUUGGUUGGUAUGAGAGCUCAUUUGAAGAAGAUGGAACCAUUGUUAUGCCUAGAUUCAGAUGAAGUGAGGAUGAUCGGGAUUUGGGGUCCUUCUGGGAUCGGGAAAACCACCAUUGCUAGAGUUGCAUACAACAAAUUCUCCAAUAAUUUUCAGCUAAGUGUCUUUAUGGAAUCUAUAGAAGUAAAGUAUACAAGACCUUGUUCUGAUGACUAUAGUGCAAAGUUGCACUUACAACAAUUAUUUAUGUCUCAAAUAACCAACCAAAAUGAUAUGAAGAUUUCUCAUUUAGGAGUUGUUAAAGACAGACUAAAAGACAAGAAAGUUCUUGUUAUUCUUGAUGGUGUGGACCAGUCAAUACAACUAGAAGCCAUGGCGAAAGAAACUCGGUGGUUUGGUCCUGGGAGUCGGAUUAUCAUCACAACGCAAAAUCGAAAGAUUUUUAGGACACAUGGGAUCAACCAUAUUUACAAGGUGGAUUUUCCACCGGAUGACGAGGCUCUUCAAAUUUUUUGCACGUAUGCUUUUGGUCAAAAGUCCUCUAAAGAUGGUUUUAAAGAACUUGCUCGAGAAGUUACAAAACUUGCUGGUAAACUCCCUUUGGGUUUAAGGGUUAUGGGCUCUUAUUUUCGAGGAAUGUCUAAGCAGGAGUGGGCAAAGGAAUUACCAAGGUUAAGGACUAGCCUUGAUACCGAUAUUCAAAGCAUUCUGAAGUUCAGUUAUGAUGCCUUAGAUGACGAAGAAAAAUAUUUGUUUCUUCAUAUAGCUUGCUUUUUUAAUUAUCAAGUGAUUGAGAAAGUGGUUACUCAUCUUUCAUAUCUAUUAUUGGAUGCGAGACGAGGGCUUAACGUCUUAGCUGAGAAAUCUCUCAUAUCUAUAGAGUAUGGACGUGUAAGUAUGCAUAAUCUGCUAGUCCAACUAGGUAGAGAUAUAGUUCGUAAACAGUCUGUUCGUGAGCCUGGACAACGCCUAUAUUUAGUUGAUGGAAGAGAAAUUUGUGAAAUACUCACUGAUGAUGUAGGAGUAAGUUUUGACAUAUAUCCCAAUAAAUAGUGUUUAUUUGAUGAUGAAUCAUCUCUUAUUAUUUUUGUUUCUUUUUCAGACUAAUAGAAGAUUCAUAGGCAUAAAUUUCGAUUUCGGCGUGAAAAGUGUCAAGAAAAAAUUUAGUAUAAGUGAGAGAGCCUUUCAAGGAAUGACUAAUCUCCAGUUCUUAAAAUUGAAGGGAAUUCACAAUACAUUAGAUCUACUCCGUGGUCUAGAAUAUAUGUCUGGAAAUCUUCGAUUACUACUAUGGAUGGAGUUUCCAAUGACAUGUUUGCCUCCUAUUUUUAAGCUAGAGUUGCUAGUUGAAAUAGAGUUGAGUUAUAGCAAACUUGAGAAGUUGUGGGAAGGAAUUAAAGUAAGUACAAUAUUUAUUUAUAUUUCAGAAAUUUAAACUAAUUUCAAAUAAAUAUCUUUUCAUUGUUAUAAUUUUAUUUUGAUUAAUUAUUAAAGCUUAUGUUCUUGUCAUUUUUCUGUAUAGCUGCUUCCAAAUCUCAAGUGGAUGGAUUUGAGAUCGUCUAAAAACCUAAUGGAGCUUCCUGAUCUCUCAACAGCCAACAAUCUUCUGGAAUUGAAUCUCCAAAAUUGCUCCAGCCUAGUGAAUCUCCCCUCUACUAUUGGGUAUACUAAAAAUCUUCAGAAAUUGAAUCUUGGUGGAUGCUCAAGUCUGAUAAGUCUCCCCUCUUUCAUUGGAACUUCCACUAAUCUCCAAAUAUUAUAUAUCGGUGGAUGCUCAAGUCUAGUGGAGCUUCCUUCCUUUGAUAAUAAUUUCAUCAGUCUAAGUGGAUUGGAUCUUAGCAAUUUAUCAAGUCUGGUGGAGCUUCCUUCCUUUGAUGGUAAUUUCAUCAAUCUAAAAACAUUGAAUCUUAGCCGUUUAUUAAAUCUGGUGGAGCUCCCUUCCUUUGUUGGUAAUGCUACUAAUCUAGAGAAUUUGGACCUUAGCGAUUGCUCAAGUCUGGUAAAGCUUCCCUUUUCUAUUGGAAACCUUCAGAAGCUGCAGACUUUGAUCUUAGACGGGUGCUCGAAGCUAGAGUAUCUUCCGACUGACAUCAAUUUGGAAUCUCUGGAUAUACUUGAUCUCACGAAUUGCUUGUUGUUGAAAUUGUUUCCGGUGAUUUCCACGAACCUUAGCACUCUCCAUCUCACAGGAACUGCAAUUGAAGAAGUCCCUUCAUCAAUCAAAUCUUGGUCUCGUCUCACAGAUUUGCUGAUGACAUACAGUGUAAAACUCAAGGAAUGUCCUCAUGCUUUUGACGUCAUCACAGAGCUGCACGUGGAUGAUAAAGAAAUACAAGAGCUUCCUCCAUGGGUCAACGAAUUCUCUCGUCUGCAAAAACUUCGACUCUAUGGAUGCAAAAAGCUGGUGUCAAUCCCACAGAUUCCAGAUUCCCUCACUUCCAUAGUUGCAGAAGAUUGUGAGUCCUUGGAGAGACUAGAUUUCUCCUUUCAAAAUCCAAAAAUUUAUAGUCUCAAUUUUGAUAAGUGCUUCAAAUUGAAUCAAGAAGCCAGAGACCUCAUCAUCCAAAAACAGACUAUAACCUAUGCGGUCUUACCCGGCGGAGAAGUGCCUGCAUACUUCACUCACCGAACUGCUACCGGAGGUUCCUUGAAAAUUAAUUUAAACGAGAAGCCUCUUCCUAUAUUCAUGAGAUUUAAAGCUUGCAUUUUGCUGGUUAAUGAAGGUGACAAUGACGAGACAUGCUCUCACGUUUAUGUUACGUGUAAAAAUAGCAAAAUGGGACUUUCUUUAUUUGCCACCAGCUGGAUAGAACUAGAUGACAUUUUAACAGAGCAUUUGUACAUAUUCGAAGUGGAAAUGGAUGUAAUUUCCAGCGAGCUUAUCUUUGAGUUCAAGGUUCGCCAAGACGAUUGGGAGAUAGGACAGUGCAAUUGGAAGAUAGGACAAUGCGGGGUAAUCCAACUCUUGGAGGUCCCUUGAUGAAACUGAAGUCUACGGUAAAGUAUUGGAGACGGCCACUACAAUUCAAGAGCACACGGAGAGAAGGAAAAAGGUAAUUUAUCAAUCUGCGUUAUUAGAUUUUGUUCUAUAUUUUAAGGGAUUUGAAGACUCUGUCUCUGAGAAUUUUAAUCUCUUUUCAACUUUUAGGAUUCAAAUAUUAUUUUUCUGCUUUACAUAAGAUUCACUAGAGGGCACGCAAGGCUGAACAAGACCCAGCCAAUCCAAGGAGUUCAUGGCGAGCUGGAUUGAGAGGAUGAUGCAUAAGUCUGACGUUGGGGAGAGCUCUUUGAAGAGGUUUUGGACUGAACCAUAUAUGACGAUGCUAAUAAAUGAGAAAAGAUUCUUAGCAACACAAAAUGUUAGCCAAAAUCUAAUAAAAACCUCAAUACAAGGUAAACCCAUAUUCACUGAAAUAAACCAUGGUAAGAGACUGCUGUUUGCAGUAAAGGCUCGCACAAACGCGAGAAAAUUGCCAACCAAGGGCGUGUAAGCACCUGCGAGAGAACCGAAUGAGCAAAUCAUGAUCGAAGAAAACCAUAACAUAUGCCUAACCUGGCCACAAUGGAGAGGAACAGAGCUUGUGGUGAUGAAAUUCCAGCAAGACUCUCUAACCUCUAGUGCCUUAGUAGCUAUAUGUAGUUCACACGAUAGAUAGUCAAUGGGAAAGAAGAGUACACACAUAUUUGGUGACUUUGGCUGAGAAAGACUAACAACCAAAGCAUCUACCGCGACGGGCAGAAGGAGGAGAGGAGUGUCCGUUCCUUUUAGGCGGUGGGGCAAGGCGAGAUCUUGUGAAAGAGGAGAUGACGGUGGUUGGGACUGGAUAUGAGCUUUCUCGGACAAGAAGGAGACAUGGAAGGUGGAACAAUGUAGGCAUGUAGCUGCGAUUUAAACUCGUCAGAGGAGAGGCGGAUCUGAGAAGGUGGGUCCGGUGGUUCUGGCGGAGUCGGCGGAGGCGGAGGCUCUGGUAGAAGCACUUGAGGAAACCUCAGACCGAGGGAAAGAACCGAACACGUCGGGAAUGCAACUAUUUUUUGUCUCACUUAGUUUUUCUUUCACUUUGUUAAACCUGAACUAUUAUUAUCUGAAGAAAGCAUUUUAAUAUUAUAGUCUAGUGUGUUAAAUCAUCUCAUCAACAAAUGUGAGAAAUAUCUCUGGAAUUUUUGUUAGAUCUAAUUUACUAAAGUGAUUCUACAUAAAAUUUAGGAAUAAUUGGGAUUUUAGAACAUUUUUCAAACUUAAUUAGUAAAAUAGUACAAUUACUAUUUAUAAUUGGCAAAUUAGUCACCUUUCCCUAUUUUCCACUAUUUUGAAGACUUUAUAACCCUCUCAUCUCUCUCAUAUUUACACUAAAUGCCAUUAAACUUAUUUUUAUAUAUAUUUUUGUGUAUUUUCUUUUUCUCUCUUUUUAUAAUCUAAUAAAUAAAAUAUUAAUUAACAUAUUUUUCUGAUUUUCUAAUACAGUAAACUUAUAUAUACACAAUUUUUAUUUUUACACUCAUAUUUACUGUAUAUUAUAUAAUUUAUAUGAAUAAAAUAUAUAUUAUGUACAAAAAAAUAUAUGUACAUAUAUAAUUGUAUAUAUAUACUUGUACAUAUAUAUAAUUGUACAAAUAUAAACAUUGUACAGUUAAAAUAUUUGUACAAAGAUAUAAAUCGUACAGAAUAAUGUAUGUACAAAUACAAUUGUACGGAUAUAAAAUAUUGUACAUGAUUAUUUUUGUACAUAUACGUCUUUCCGUACAGAUAGACAAAUGUACGAAUCAUAAUUUGAAUGAAAUAUAUUUGAAAAUAUUAAACAAUAUGCAUAUCAAAUUGUAGAGAAAAAAGAAGAUGAUUUUUCUGUUUCUAAAGUUUUUUAAAAAACAAAUUCAUAUAAUUAAUAUUUUAGUUAUUAAAUUAGUGGGAGAAUGUAAGAAAUAAAAAAAAAAUAUAUAUAUAUAUAUAUAUAUAUAUAUAUGAGAUGGAGAGAGAAAGAGAAUAUGGAUGGCAUUUGUCUUUUGUUUACGAGAGAAAGAGAGAGAUAUGAUUAUAGGACAGUUUGGUAAUUGCAAAAAAUUAGAAAAGAGCUUCUAUUACAUACACAGUAAAAUACGGAGGUGGGUUUUACUAAUUCUAAAUAGUAAAGUGACUAUAUCCCCUAUUAAGUUUGGAAAAUAUACUAAUUUGCAAAGUCUCCCUAAAAUUUAUAGGAUCCAGUCCAAAGAUAUUAAUUUUUUAGAAUCACAACUAAAUAUUAGAAAUCACCCUGAUAAAAUCUUUGAUGCAGCGCAUCUUAGUCGUUCUUUUUAAGUUGGGCUUUGGUGUUAUGUUUAUUACUUGGGCUUUACGUUUUGAUUUCAUAAACUAUUUCUAAGUCGGUUUUACUUAGGGUUUUCUUAGCUUUGUAUUUAUAGCCACUUCUCUUGAUGAAAGAGGUCACGUUUUAUUGAAUAUAAUCAAAAGCUUUAAGCUUAUUGCUUUCUCUUGAUCUUCGGCUAUUCAUUGAAUCAACGAACUUCAAGUCUUGUCUUUGUUUGGCUAUUCUCUUGAAUCAACAAGCAAUUAGACAGCCCCUUAUUGAUCGGUCAUUCUUUUGAAUCAACGAUCUUUAGGUUCUAUCGGGUAACGCUGCGCCAAUCUUACAAUACAUUCUCAGUACGAGAGCUUUCAAAUUCAGGUUAUUAGUUAAGAGCACAUUUAAAUUUUUGUCAUUUGGCUCCAAACAUUGUAAACAAUACAGAGUAUAUUAGACUUGUUUAUAGUAUACUAAAACAUAAAUAAAAUAUGAGCCCAUGAAUAAAACCAAACCUUGAAAAAUCCACUUUUAUGUUAAUGUUUACAUCACAUAAAUUUACUCAAUAUUUUGGAUUGAAAUUUAAAAAUAUCAUUUAAUAUCUAUCUAAACAUAUUUUAACCAAAAUUAUUCUACAUAAUAUAAAGUAGGACCUAUGAUGUACCACAUAAUUUUUUUAAUGUUCUAUCUAUUAUUAUAUAUUUAAUAUAUAAAAUCCUAUAAUUAAAAUUAUAUUUUUAAUGUUUUAAAAGUUAUAAUAAAGAUUUUUAAAAGGGUGAAUUAAAAUUUUAUACUCAUUUACUAUACCAUAUACAAAAUACUAAUGAAUUACAUUUUGUUUAUUGUAUGUAGGGUUUAGGGUUUAGGGUUUAGGGAAAAUACUAAUUAAAUAUUAAAAAUAUUACAGACUUGGUUGUUGUUUAUUGUAUAUCCAAAUAAAUUUUAAUAUGUGAAUUUUGAUAUAUUUUAGGGUAAUUUGCAUUGAUAGUCACUUUCAUAAACAAUUCACAUAAUUAGUAACUUUUAAAACUUGAGGAAGAAGUAUAAGGAAAAUAAAGGGCACAAUUAGCCUCCAUCUUUUCUAACUAACCAGUUACACAUUUUCUUUCUCCACACUCUCUUUCUAAAAUCUGAAACAUACACACUCUCUCUCUCUCUCUCUCCACUCUCUAUUCCCAAAAUCUGAAUACUCUUUUUUUUUGGCCUACGAAACUUCCUUUUUUCUAUACAUCUAUCCACCUUUUCUUUUUGUUUAUGUAUCAGUUAUUUUUAAUACAAUGAUUCAAGCGAUAUCCACAUUGAUUUAAAAAUUAAAAUUAGAUAGUUCGCAAAUCGUUUUAAAAAGACACCUAUGUGGAUGUGCUCUACAUCUACUCUUCCACUGCGUAUAAACUCAAAAAAUAAUAACCCCAUAUUACUGUUUUCUUAUCAACAUUUUCUUUCUCGCAACUCAUUUUAAUUGGUAAUUUGGAUCUUAGCCAUUUAUCAAGUCUGGUAGAGCUCCCUUCCUUUGUUGGUAAUGCCAUGAAUCUUGAAAGGUUGGACCUUAGUAAUUGCUCAAGUCUCCUAAAGCUUCCCAAUUCUAUUGGAAACCUCCGUAAGUUGAAGAUUUUGAUAUUACAAGAAUGCUCGAAGCUAGAGUAUCUUCCGACAGACAUCAACUUGGAAUCUCUGGAUUGUCUUUAUCUCACGAAUUGCUUGCUGUUGAAUCUUUUUUCCUCAGAUCUCCAUGAACCGUAUAACUCUAGAUCUCAGAGGAACUGCAAUAGAAAAAGCCCCUUCAUCAAUCAAAUCUUGGUCUCGUUUCACAGAUUUGAUAAUGACAUACAGUGUAAAACUCAAGGAAUGUCCUCAUGCUUUUGACAUCAUCACAGAGCUGCACGUGGAUGAUAAAGAAAUACAAGAGCUUCCUCCAUGGGUCAACAGAUUCUCUCGUCUGCAAGAACUUCGGUUCAAUGGAUGCAAAAAGCUGGUGUCAAUCCCACAAAUUUCAGAUUCUCUCAUGUACAUAGUUGCAGAGGAUUGUGAGUCCUUUGAAGAGUUUCCCCCAUGGAUCAGUAAAUCCUCUCAUCUGAAUGAACUCGUGCUCAAGAGAUGCAGAAAGCUGGUAUCACUCCCACAUAUUCCAGAUUCCCUCACUUACAUAGUUGCAGAAGAUUGUGAGUCCUUGGAGAGACUAUAUUGCUCCUUUCAAAAUCCAUAUAUUUCUGGCCUCCAUUUUGCUAAGUGCUUCAAAUUGAAUCAAGAAGCCAGAGACCUCAUCAUCCGAACAUGGACUAGUGACUAUGCUUACGAAGGGAGCUAAGUUGUUGCUCUCAAAUGCCAAACUCUAGCAAACUCAAGUCCAAGCAUUCUUAAAUAAACGCUAUCCAACGACAACACACGUGUGAGCUUAUGAUUUUGAAGCUUCUCUUAUGUUGUUUGUCGAGGUGCAUUUUUAUUGUUUAUUUUUCAACCACAGGUCAGUAAAGUCACGACUUCAAACCAAACAGGUCAUGGCAGGGGACAAAAGACAACAAUACAAAGGCUAUCCCUCUUGCAAUAAUAAGAUCAUCAAAAACUCAUUUCUCAACUAAAGCAAAGAGUUGUUGUGUUGGUUUUGAAAUCGUAGGACCGUUAGAGGAGAUACUGAAAAUGAUUCGAUACGAAGUGCUUUACAGGUUUUACAAAGGGAUGGAGCACAAAGAUAAGUGCAAAGUGUUUAAGCGGCUGAGGUUCUGACAAUAUUGGUGGCCAAGAAAAGUGUUACCCUUCAUUCAUCUUUACAAGAGUAUUUAUACAUAAGAGUGGAAGCCCUAGAGAAUAUUCUAGACUUGAUAUACAAGAUACAAUAAGAUACAAUAAUAGGAAAUAUCUAAUUAUUAACAUAAUAAUCCCCAAUACUCCCCCUCAAGUUGGCGCAUGAAGAUCGCGAAUGCCCAACUUGUCAAUAAGAAAUGUGAAUUGUGGAGCACCAAGUGACUUAGUGAGGAAGUCGGCGAGCUGGUUGGAUGUGUGAAUCUUCUUAGUAGCAAUAAGACCCUCUUGAAUCGCAUCACGAACAAAGUGGCAGUCAGCUUCAAUAUGUUUGGUACGCUCAUGAAACACCGGAUUAGCUGCAAUAUGAAGGGCGGCCUGAUUAUCACAAAAGAGAGAGACUGGAGCAGUACGACGGAUACCAAAACAAGAAAGAAGCUCAUGUUCCCAUUUGAUUUCACAAGUAGUAUAUCGCAUUGCCCUAUAUUCAGCUUCAGCGGAAGAGAGAGAAACAGUCUUCUGCUUCUUAGUUUUCCAUGCAACAGGUGACCCGCCAAGAAGAAUAACAUAUCCCGUCAACGACCGGCGAGUGAGCUUACAAGCGGCAUGAUCAGCAUCACAAUAAGCGGAGAGGUGGAGAUCACCAUGAGCAGCAAGGAGAAUACCUUGACCGGGGCAACCUUUUAGAUAUUUCACCACUCUAAGCGCUGCCUCCCAAUGCUUAACCAGCGGCUUCUUAAGAAACUGGGCAAGAAUAUGUAUAACAUAGGAAAGAUCAGGACGUGUAACCAUGAGGUAGACUAGACGACCCACAAGACGACGAUACUUUUCGGGAUCAGCAUAAGGACCAUCUUCGGGAUGAAGUAACCGAUGAUUUUCCUCCAUAGGAGUAGCAACCGGUCGGCUGGCAAGUAGACCACACUCAUCAAUAAUAUCCAAAGUAUACUUCCUCUGUGACAAAUAAAUACCCUUCGGUGAGCGAGCAACUUCAAUACCAAGAAAGUAUUUUAAUGGACCCAAAUCUUUCAUCUUAAAACAUUCACUCAAAUAGCACUUAAAUUCAGAGAUAGCACGCGAGUCAUUCCCGCCAAUUAACAAAUCAUCAACAUACACAAGGACAUAUAACCGCAUAUCACCACGAGAUAAGUAGAAUAAAGAGUAAUCCGUGUAUGUCUGAGUAAAACCAUAUCCAAGCAAAGCUUGUGUGAGCUUUGCAAACCAACACCGCGGAGCUUGGCGCAAACCAUAUAAAGAUUUACGAAGACGUAAGACUUUAUUAGAACCAGAAGAAUGAAAACCCGGCGGAAGCGUCAUGUAAACCUCUUCAUCCAAAUCACCAUGAAGAAAUGCAUUAUGCACAUCCAUUUGAUGAACAUCCCAUUGCUUUACUGCUGCAACCUUAAGAAACAUACGAAUAGUUGUCAUCUUAGCCACAGGAGCAAAAGUCUCUUCAAAGUCUUUCCCAGCAAUUUGUCGAUCACCACGGAUAACCAAACGUGCCUUAUAUCGUUCAAUAGACCCAUCUGAAUGGUGUUUAAUGGUAAAUAUCCAGCGACACCCAAGAGCCUUCUUACCCGGAGGAAGAUCGGUGACAUACCAAGUAUCAUUCUCUUCAAGAGCCCCAAUUUCAAGACCCAUAGCCUCACUCCAAACUUUCAACUGAACAGCUUCAGCAUAUGUUUUAGGUGCAACGGCUGUUGUAAUAGCCGCAAGGAACGCCCUGUGGUUAUCCGAAAAACGAUCACAAGAGACAUAAUGUGAAAUUGGGUAAGCAACCGUACCUGAAUGAGAAGACGCUGAGGCGGAAGUGCAAGAUGAGGGGUCCGUGGUGCAUUGGGUCGUGUUAAGAACAUAAUCUUUCAAUCGUUGUGGUAAGACCUUAGGGCGUUUACCAACUCCCAACUCUUCAACCAAAACCUCUUGAGUUGGUGCAACGGCAUUGUCGAUAGGAGUGGUAAGAACCAGACCGAUCGAUCGGUCAGUCGGAUCGGUCGGUCGUAUAGCUUCUGUUUCAUCUGACGGAAGAGGAUCGAUCGAUCGUGAUUCCGGAUCGAUCGGUCGUGUGGCUUCUGUAUCGAGCUGCUCGAGAGGACCGAUCGAUCGUGAAGUCGGAUCGAUCGAUCGGCUUGUUUCUGUGUCGACAUGGUCAAGGUGAUCGACCGAUUGGUUCUCUGGAUCGAUCGGUCCGUUAAUUGUAGGUGUAGCAACACGAGAGGAACUCCCCCUUUUAACAGCAGGCUGAGCAGUGAUAAAUUCUUCUGCAACAGGAACAUCUUGUGGUGGAACUGCAAACUCAGAACCGGACAAUGUAACAUCCAUUUUGGCAAAUGGGAAUUCAUUUUCAUAGAAGACCACAUCUCGAGAAACAAAAUGUUCUUGUGUCUCCAAGUCAUAUACCUUCCAACCUUUCUGACCAUACGGAUAUCCCAUAAAAACACACUUUUGACUCCGUUCACCAAACUUAUCUUUAUCCCGAGAUUUCUUAUAAGCAUAACACAAGCAGCCAAAUACUUUCAAACGUUCAAAAUGAGGAAGAGAACCAUAUAAAAAUUCAUAUGGUGUCUUACCAUCGAGGAGAGGGGUCGGCGUUCUAUUAAUGAGAUGAGCNNNNNNNNNNNNNNNNNNNNNNNNNNNNNNNNNNNNNNNNNNNNNNNNNNNNNNNNNNNNNNNNNNNNNNNNNNNNNNNNNNNNNNNNNNNNNNNNNNNNCUCAACACGACCAUUUUGCUGCGGUGUAUAGACACAUGAAGUCUGAUGCAAAAUACCGGCUUGAUCAAAAAAUGAUUUUAAACACAUAAAUUCGGUGCCAUUAUCACUCCUCACCACCCGAACCUUUUUAUCAAACUGUCGUUCUACCAUUGCACAAAAUUUCUUAAGUGAGUCAGCUACUUCGCGUUUCUCUUUGAGGAGAAAGAUCCAAACAGCUCGCGAGUAAUCAUCGACAAUUGUAAGAAAAUAAGCAGCCCCAGAUGAAGAAACCGUGCGAUAAGCUCCCCAAACAUCACAAUGAAUCAAAGCAAAUAGCUCAGUAGCUUUAUUAGAACUUUCAUGAAAACCAACACGAGUUUGUUUAGCCCGAAAACAAGUGUCACAAACGAUCUCUGUUGCAACAGAUUUCCCAAUGUCAACAUGACUCGAUAAAUAAGAUAAAACUCUACUAGAUGGAUGACCUAAACGACAAUGCCAUAAGUCUCUCGCUCCCAUAGUUGUUGCAGCUUGAGCGUGAGCACCUAAGACCCCACGAAGCACAUAGACCCCUCCGCACUCUUCACCGCCAAUCAGCGUCUUCGAGGUACGGCCCUGAAAAACACAUGAAUCUUCAGUAAAAGUGAUCGAACCCUUGGUCGCCUUAAGCAACUUAGACACAGAGAUUAGGGAACAAUUCAAAUUAGGAGAAUAUAGGACUCCACGAAGCCAUAAAUCACCCCCUAAACAGAGAUCGCCUUGUUUGGUAGCAAUAGCAUAAUCCCCAUCCGGUAAACCAAUGGAACACGGGAAAAUAUCACCAAUAUUGGUUAAAAGAUCAAGCUUCCAUGUCAUAUGAUGAGAGGCUCCGGUGUCAAUAAUAAAUUCAACAUUAUCUUUCUUACCAGUUAGCUUUUCACCAGAGUCGUUCUUCUUAGUAUUAAGGAACUGCCUCAUUGCAUCCCAUUGUUCAUCCGUUAGUUGCGGUAAGGAGUUUUGGUCAAAUUCUUCUCGGUUUGCUCCGACGUGAGCGGCUUGUGCGACUUGUGCAACAUGAGCACCAGCUGCAGGUGCAUAUCCACGUCCACGCCCAGCAUUAUUACCAAUGGUACCACCUCCACGACCGCUUCUUCCACCACGAGCACCACCUCUUCCACGGCCUCUCUCACCCCACCAUUCCGGAAAUCCCUUUAAUUGGAAACAGUCUGCUUGUGCGUGGCCAUAUUUCCCACAGUGAGUACAGGUCACAUCUUUCUCACGGUAUGGCUCACGGGAAGAAUGACCACCACGUGUUCCAGCAUAAGCUAGAAACCCUACAGCUUCGGUACUGCUCGUUUCCCGGUUUCGUAUAACUGUUUGUUGUCUCUCUUCUCGGAUAAUGCGUUGGUAGACUUGAGAGAGCUUAGGAAGUGGUUCUAAACUUGUAAUUGUAGAUCGCACUGUGCCAAAACGAGAAUCAUCCAAUCCAUUGAGAAAUGUAUUGGUUCUCUCUUCAUCACGAUCUGCUUCAAGUUGAGCUGCCAGCUCACCACAGCUACACGUUCUAAUUGGCUUGUAUAUUGCCAAUUCAUCCCACAUUUUUUUAAGUUUCCCAAAGUACACCAUCACUGUAUCUCCUCCCUGUCGACAAUUAGCCAAGGAUGCCCGAAUCUCACUAAUCCUUGGUCCGUUUCCGGCAGAGAAUUGCAGCUGCAAAUCAUCCCAUAGAACCUUCGCUUCAUCAACCAUAGAAACAGAGGUCCUCAGCGUGGGUUCAAUUGUGUUCAUUAACCACGCCACCACCAUCGAAUUAACGACCUCCCAUUGCUCGAUCUCCUCUGCUGUGUGAGGCUUUUGCAAAGAGCCAUCAAUGAAUCCCAUCUUUCGUUUAGUCCGCAGGGCAUUCCGCACGUGCUUGGACCAGUCCUCAUAAUUGUCUNNNNNNNNNNNNNNNNNNNNNNNNNNNNNNNNNNNNNNNNNNNNNNNNNNNNNNNNNNNNNNNNNNNNNNNNNNNNNNNNNNNNNNNNNNNNNNNNNNNNGUGUUCAAACCCCCACGUGCACCGCCUUCCGCGAGUGUAACUUGUUUGCCAUCGUCGUUUGCCAUCGUCUCCUUCUUUUUUUCUUUUUUUUUUUGUUUUUCUUAAACCUGCUCUGAUACCAUGACAAUAUUGGUGGCCAAGAAAAGUGUUACCAUUCAUUCAUCUUUACAAGAGUAUUUAUACAUAAGAGUGGAAGCCCUAGAGAAUAUUCUAGACUUGAUAUACAAGAUACAAUAAGAUACAAUAAUAGGAAAUAUCUAAUUAUUAACAUAAUAAUCCCCAAUAGGUUCUGGGAAUGGUGGUCGGAGCUCCUCCGCCGGUGAUUCUUCUGUCGUGUGAGGAAACGGCGGAGACACGGUGACGGAGUUGGUACGAGUUUCGUUGGAUUCAUCGGAGGUUGGGGAGUUAUGUGGAUUUGGAAUUGAGGAUCAUGUUACGGAUUUUGGAACUUGCGAUCUUGGUGAUAGGCUUUUUGAAUAUUCCGAUGUUUGUUUAGAUUCCGGUGAUCUGUUUUCAUGGCGGCAGGAGUUAUUUGUCAAGAAGACUUUGUUUGUGUGGGGAUUAGUUUGAAUCCCAAGUUCUGUUUUUUCCUCAGAGAAUUGAUAUCGGGUCAAAGCAGAAGUAAAAGACUGGUUUUGACAAAGAGGUUUUCAAGCAAUUGGAAAAUACAGAAGUUGCAGUCUGAGUUAGAGGGUUUCAAAGAUAAGAAUAAAGAAGAAGAUUGAAGCUUCUCGACUCUUCCGCUGUUUACGCUUCACCAGACAAGCUUCAGGUUCGUACACUGUUGAGCUGGUUCGAUCUGUAGGAGACAAAGCAAAAGCAGGCCUGCGAUUCUCGUCGUCUUCCUCCGUAUCUGUGCCAAGCUUGAAGACCAGGCCAAUCGAAUGGGAUUAACUCGGGUUAAGUUCNNNNNNNNNNNNNNNNNNNNNNNNNNNNNNNNNNNNNNNNNNNNNNNNNNNNNNNNNNNNNNNNNNNNNNNNNNNNNNNNNNNNNNNNNNNNNNNNNNNNNNNNNNNNNNNNNNNNNNNNNNNNNNNNNNNNNNNNNNNNNNNNNNNNNNNNNNNNNNNNNNNNNNNNNNNNNNNNNNNNNNNNNNNNNNNNNNNNNNNNNNNNNNNNNNNNNNNNNNNNNNNNNNNNCAGUUUUUAUCUUUCAAGUUUGCAAAUUUCACACGAGAGUUUUAAGAAACGCAGAGAGUGAGAGAGAGUCCUUUACAAACACUAAAAUUAGCUACUUUCUUGUUUGUGAGGUUCAGAUCUCAACAGAUUGGUAUCAGAGCUCCAGGUUGGAGAGGUCUUUCAUCUCAAUUCUACAGCUAUGUCUUCAGCAAGGGUUGAGAUGGAGAAGUUUGACGGGAAAGGUGACUACAUGCUCUGGAAAGAAAAACUUUUGGCACAUCUAGAGAUGCUGGGUUUGCUGGAAGGGUUAGAUGAAGAGCAAGCUUCAGAGAGUGAAGAGUCAUCUGGAGAAAUAGGUGCAGAGGUGACUGCAGAAGGGGUUACACAAGCUGCAACACAACCUGCAAUAAAAGCUGCAACACAAGUUGGGCCUGUUGCAGACAAGUCCCUGAAGGAGAAACGGGGAAAGGCAAGAUCUACUAUCAUUCUGAGUGUAGGAGACAAUGUCCUCAGGAAGAUUAUCAAAGAGAAAUCCGCUGCAGGUAUGAUUAAAGUCUUAGACCACUUAUUCAUGGCUAAGUCAUUACCAAAUAGGAUAUAUCUUAAGCAGAGGCUCUAUAGCUACAAGAUGAGUGAUAGUAUGACAGUAGAUGAGAACAUAAAUGAUUUCUUGAGGUUGAUAGCUGAUCUAGAACAUGUUAAGGUGAUGGUUUCGGAUGAAGAUCAGGCUAUUAUUCUGCUUAUGGCUUUACCAAAGCAGUUUGACCAGCUCAAAGAUACUUUGAAGUAUGGAAAAACUUCUUUGUCUUUAGAUGAGAUUACUGGUGCUAUUAGAUCUAAGGAGCUUGAAUUAGGAGCGAAUGGAAAGCUAUCAAAGCAAAGCUCAGAUGCUUUAUUUGUUCAAGAAAGGGGUAGAUCUGAGAAGAGAGACAAGGGAGGUGAUAAAGGGAAGCAUAACAACAGAUCAAAGUCUAAGGGGAAGAAAACCUGCUGGAUAUGUGGUAAAGAUGGACACUACAAAAAGCAGUGUUAUGUGUGGAAAGAAAGAAACAAGCAGCAGAAAGAUGGUUCUUCAGAGAGAGGUGAAUCAUCAGCAGUGACAGGCCAAAUCACUGAUGCUGCAGCUCUCAUGGUCUCAGAAGCUCUCAUAUCAGUUGGUGAAGACUUCAAAGAGAAAUGGAUCAUGGAUACUGGUUGUUCUUUUCACAUGACUCCUAGGAGAGAGUGGUUCAUUGAGUUAAAUGAAUCACAUGGUGGAAAAGUGAGAAUGGCAAACGAUACAUACUCAGAGGUAAGAGGAGUUGGGAAUGUAAGGAUAAAGAAUGAAGACAACUCUACAGUUCUCCUAAAAAAUGUGAGGUAUGUACCAGGAAUGUCAAAGAACUUAAUCUCACUUGGUACACUAGAAGAUCAAGGAUGCUGGUUUCAGUCAAGAGAUGGAAUCAUGAAGAUCAACAAAGGCUGCACAACUUUAAUCAAGGGUCAGAAGACUGACACGCUUUAUGUGCUAAAAGGAUCGGUUUUAACUGGAGAAGUGAGCAUCUCAGAAGGUUUAAGAGAUGAAACAAGGUUGUGGCAUAGAAGGUUGGGGCACAUGAGUCAGAAGAAUAUGAAGAUAUUGCUGAAAAAGGGUUAUUUAGACAGCUCAAAGGUAACAGAUUUGGAAUUCUGUGAGGACUGUGUGUUUGGAAAAGCACAUCGAGUUAGUUUUGGAGUUGGGAAGCAUGUCACCAAGGAAAGGCUGGAAUACAUUCACUCUGACUUAUGGGGAUCACCAAAUGUCCCAUUAUCAUUAGGAAAGUGCCAGUACUUCAUCUCUUUCAUAGAUGACUACUCAAGGAAGACAUGGAUAUACUUUCUAAAAAGGAAAGAUGAAGCUUAUGGGAGUUUUCUGGAAUGGAAGAAGAUGGCUGAAAAUCAGUUAAACAAGAAGAUCAAGAUACUCAGAACAGAUAACGGUUUAGAGUUCUGCAACAAAGAGUUUGAUGAUUUCUGUAAGGGAGAAGGGAUUGUAAGGCAUAAAACAUGUGCUUACACACCCCAACAGAAUGGAGUCGCAGAAAGAAUGAAUAGAACCAUUCUAGAAAAAGUUCGAAGUGUUCUCAGUGAAUCAGGUCUACCAAAAGUUUUCUGGGCAGAAGCUGCAUCAACCGCAGUUUAUCAGAUAAACAGAUCACCUUCAUCCGCUAUCGAGUUUGAAGUGCCAGAAGAAAUUUGGACAGGAUCAAGACCAAGAUAUGAGGAGUUAAGAGUAUUCGGCUCAGUAGCUUACAUUCACAAUGAUCAAGGGAAGCUUAAUCCAAGGGCUAAGAAAGGGGUGUUUGUAGGCUAUCCUCCUGGUGUAAAAGGAUACAAAUUCUGGUUGGUUGAUGAAAAGAAGUGUGUUGUCACCAGGGACGCAAUUUUUCAAGAAGACAAGAUGUAUAAGCAUCUAAACCAGAGUCCAGAAUCAGAAACUGAACAGCAAAGAACUCAGGUACCACUUAUCUAUGAAAUUAAUCAUGGUGAUUUCAAUGACUUAGGUGGAGCUGAGGAAGGAACAGAGACUGAUCAAGCUGAGCAACUCCUCAAUGAGAAUGAAGAACUAGAAAAAGACCUGGAUAGUGAAGAAGUUCAAGUCAACAAUGAACUUGAAAAUUAUCAGUUGGCAAGAGAUAGAGUGCGAAGACCCACCAAGCCACCAGCAAAGUUCAGAGAUUCUAAUCUAGUGGAAGGAGAUGAAGAUGAUGAAAAACUGGUUGGGUUUGCACUGAUGAUGACAGAAGAUGGUGGAUAUCCAGAGCCAUGCUGCUAUGAUGAAGCUAUCAGAGAUAAAGAUUGGAUGUCCUAGAAGGAGGCAAUGAAUGAAGAAAUGCAUUCAUUACUCAAGAAUCAGACAUGGACACUAACCGAGAGACCAGAGAAAGGCAAGGUGAUUGGCUGCAAAUGGGUAUACAAACGAAAAUCCAGUGUACCAGGGACUGAUCAGCCGAGAUUUAAAGCCAGGCUCGUUGCUAAAGGUUUUCUUCAGAAGGAAGGGAUAGAUUACCAAGAAAUCUUCUCUCCGGUUGUGAAGCAUGUCUCCAUUCGGCUCAUAUUGUCAUAUGUGGUUCAACUCAACCUUGAAUUGGAACAAAUGGAUGUCAAGACGGCGUUCUUGCAUGGAAAUCUAGAUGAACACAUAUUGAUGGAGCAACCAGAAGGUUACAGAAUCAAGUCUGAAACAGAUGAGGUAUGUCUUCUAAGGAAAUCUCUAUAUGGGCUGAAACAAGCUCCAAGGCAAUGGAAUCAGAGAUUUGAUACUUUCAUGAAGAGCUCAGGAUAUCUUAGAAGCAGCUAUGAUCACUGUAUCUACUAUCAGAAGCUUGAGGAUAAUACAUACAUAUACUUGCUUCUAUAUGUAGAUGACAUGCUCAUUGCUGCUAAGAAUAAAGAGAAGAUUGCAGAUCUUAAGAGGUUGCUGAGUGCAGAGUUCGAGAUGAAAGAUUUAGGAGAAGCAAGAAAGAUUCUGGGGAUGGAAAUCAAGAGAGACAGAGUAAAUGGGACACUUAAAGUGUCACAAGAAGAGUAUUUGCAGAAAGUUCUUCAAACUUUCAGAAUGGAUCAGUCAAAAGCAGUAUCAACUCCUUUAGGGAUUCAGUUUAAGCUCAGAGCUGCAUCAGACAGGGAACUAGCUUCUCAAGAGGAAUACAUGAAGUCUAUUCCAUACUCGAACGCUGUGGGUAGUAUCAUGUAUUCCAUGAUAGGAACAAGGCCUGAUCUUGCUUAUCCUUUAUGUGUUGUGAGCAGAUACAUGAGCAAGCCUAUAAAAGAGCACUGGCAAGCAGUAAAGUGGGUCCUAAGAUACAUUAAAGGAACACAAGAUCUCAAGUUGGUCUACAAGAAGCAAGAAGAUUCAGAGAUCAAGGGAUUUUGUGACUCUGACUACGCAGCUGACCUAGACAAGAGAAGGUCAGUGACUGGAUACGUUUUUACUGCGGGNNNNNNNNNNNNNNNNNNNNNNNNNNNNNNNNNNNNNNNNNNNNNNNNNNNNNNNNNNNNNNNNNNNNNNNNNNNNNNNNNNNNNNNNNNNNNNNNNNNNAUGUUAUUAGUUGGAAAUCAAACCUACAGAAGGUAGUGGCUUUAUCUACCACUGAGGCAGAAUAUAUGGCUCUGACUGAGGCCAUAAAAGAAGGAGUCUGGCUGAAAGGUCUUGCAGAAGAGUUAGGAUUCAAGCAAGACUAUGUUGAAGUGUUGUGUGAUUCACAGAGUGCUAUCUCUCUGUCUAAGAACUCUGUGCAUCACGAGAGAACGAAGCACAUAGAUGUGCGACUGCAUUUUAUUAGGGACAAGAUUGCAGAAGGAGAAGUAAAGGUUGUGAAGGUGUCUACAUCGUGGAAUCCUGCUGACAUCUUUACAAAGACUGUCCCAGUGAGCAAGCUUCAAAAUGCAUUGGAGUUGCUCAUAAUAUCAAGUCACUAAAGAAAGUAGUGAAGAAUCCGGAGAAGGGAAAAUCCAAGUAUACUAAGAAGAAGAAUCAAUUUGGGGUGGUAUUCAAACCAAGGUGGAGUUUUGUGGGGAUUAGUUUGAAUCCCAGGUUCUGUUUUUUCCUCAGAGAAUUGAUAUCGGGUCAAAGCAGAAGUAAAAGACUGGUUUUGACAAAGAGGUUUUCAAGCAAUUGGAAAAUACAGAAGUUGCAGUCUGAGUUAGAGGGUUUCAAAGAUAAGAAUAAAGAAGAAGAUUGAAGCGUCUCGACUCUUCCGCUGUUUACGCUUCACCAGACAAGCUUCAGGUUCGUACACUGUUGAGCUGGUUCGAUCUGUAGGAGACAAAGCAAAAGCAGGCCUGCGAUUCUCGUCGUCUUCCUCCGUAUCUGUGCCAAGCUUGAAGACCAGGCCAAUCGAAUGGGAUUAACUCGGGUUAAGUUCUCUCUUACCCUAGUUCUGGUUUCAAUCUUGUCUGGUCUAUAUAAACCAGUUGUAGUUGUGGUGUAUGAGGUAGUGUGAGAGAAAGAACAAGUGAGAGAAGUGUAACAGUGAUUAAGAGCUCGGUUUGAGCUAAGUUUCUUAGUGGAUUUUCCGGAGACCUUCUCCGGCGAGACGUAGGAUUCCUCCCAAGGAUCCGAACUCGUUAAAUCUUGCGUGCACUUACUUUUUCAGUUUUUAUCUUUCAAGUUUGCAAAUUUCACACGAGAGUUUUAAGAAACGCAGAGAGUGAGAGAGAGUCCUUUACAAACACUAAAAUUAGCUACUUUCUUGUUUGUGAGGUUCAGAUCUCAACAGUUUGUGAACAAACUAUCUUAAAAUUGCCAUGUGGUUAUAAGUAUGAUGUAGAAUGUCUUGUUAGAUGGUUCCAAACAAACAAAAAAAUGUCCAUGUUGUCGUUAUGAGUUUCCAUAUGUAGUUACUUAAACUAACUAUGUAAAAUAUUCAUAUUUUGUUAUUAUGUUAUAUCAUAUAUUACCUUAUUGUAUACAAUUUAUUGAAAAAUUAUUAUUAUAUAUAUAUAUAUAUAAAUUAAAUUAAAUUCAGUAUAUUUUAAAAAUGAAUAUAACAUAUUUGUUAAAUUUAAAAUUAGAAAAAAACUUUUAUAUAAGAACAAAGUAAUGGAAUGUAAUCUUAACAAAAAAAAUUCCAAUAAAUAUUCAUCCUAACCCAAAACAUGAUCAACCAAAUUAUUUAAAACAAAAUAUCUAUACUAUUAAAAGGGAAGCAUUUUGUAUAAAGUGAUCAUAGUAUAUACAAUUAAAAGGAUAAUUAAAAAAAAACAAAUCUAUCUAUAUUUAUGGAAAUAAUAUUGAUUUGAUUACCAUAAAAAUAUUCAAUUAAAUUCGAAAUUAAACAUAUUUAAUCUAAAUUAUUUUUUUAAUAUUUUCAAAAACUAUAUAUCUAUCUAUACUAUUAAAAGGGAAGCAUUUUGUAUAAAGUGAUCAUAGUAUAUACAAUUAAAAGGAUAAUUAAAAAAAACAAAUCUAUCUAUAUUUAUUGAAAUAAUAUUGAUUUGAAAAAAUAAAAUAUUAUCCAAACUAUUUUUCAUAAAAAGCAUGAUGAGAAAUAAAAGUAACGAGAGGAGAUCAUAAAAUCAAGAAACUAAAUUCAAUUUCAAUUUUCAAAUAUCAAAUAACAUGUAUGAUACAUGAACAAAAAAUUUGAAUUGUUAAUUUUAGUUUUAACUAUUUUAUUUCAAAUAUCAGAACAUGAAAUAACAGGUACGGGAAAUUUGAAACAUAAAAAAAAUCAUCUAAACUAUUCAUGAUAGAAUAUGAGAUGAAAAUUUUGGGUAACGUGAAUUUAAGAAGAACAUAUGGAAACAUGCUAUUUACUAAAGUGGAUUAUAGGAAAUGUAUUUUUUGCGGGUCAAAAUAUUUUAAUAUGUAUUUAGUGUGGAGCAUGCAUNNNNNNNNNNNNNNNNNNNNNNNNNNNNNNNNNNNNNNNNNNNNNNNNNNNNNNNNNNNNNNNNNNNNNNNNNNNNNNNNNNNNNNNNNNNNNNNNNNNNNNNNNNNNNNNNNNNNNNNNNNNNNNNNNNNNNNNNNNNNNNNNCCCUACAUUUAUGUGUAAGUCUAAAUCGUUGACCUAUUUUCUUAUAUGUUUGACUAAAAUAUACAAUCUCAAAUGGGUAAAUAAUUAAAAUGCUUAUGGAAUGGAAAAACAUGACAUAUUAAGACGCACGAGACAAGAUUUAUGUCCCGAAAUUGACAAACUACAAUUGUUUUACUAUUUUUUAAGGUACAAGUACAAUUGUCUUUAAUAAAACUAAAUCGUAUCGGUUUUUUUGUUUAACCUAAUUUAAAAAAAAAAUCAAAUAUUGACUUGAUACUGGUUUAGAUUAUAAAUGUUAAUAAAAUUCCUAAAAGUUACGUUUAGAAACAUAAUCCCGUACGUACAUAAUAUAUUUGAAAAUUUUAUAACAAAUUUUGUUUUUGAAAUCAAUCCCGCACGUACGUGCGGGUCAUCAUCUAGUUUAUUAUAAGUAGUGAGCUUCCGCGGUAGCCAAAAUAGUGUCUCAAAGUAUAAAUGAUAAGUAUGAAAGAAAAUAUUAAUUUUCCUGACCUAACUCACUUGGGAAGCUAGAUUUUAUAGAAAAAGGUAAUUCAAUAACAAAAACUGUAACCAUAUAUUGCGCUGCCAGUAUUUCUUAUAAUGUAGAGAUUAUUACAAUAAACAAUGUGUACAUAGCUUAACUUUUGUUUAAUUGUAACUGAGCAAACUAUGCGAUAAGGGAGAAUUCAUAUAUAUACCACAGCUCUAUGCAACGACUUGGAGAUAAUAAAUAUAACAUCGUUUCUUGUAACAAAAACUAAAAUUUUAUAAUAUUGACACUGAGGUAACUUCACAUUCAGUUCACAUUCGGCAAAUGUUAUGCACUAACUUAAAUAUUGAUUAUAGUUUCUCUUCUUAGUUCUUACCCUGGAGACUUCACAAUAUAUUGAUCAUGUUAUCUUUGCUUAUCCUAAAUUAAUGGGAUUGCAUCUCCACUUAGUCUUAAACAUCAUCGAUUAGAAAACUUAGGGAAUCUUGAAAUUGGACAAAAACAGAGCUAUGAUCUCUUUGGUUAUUUCUUAUGUGUUUAGACAUAAAACAUCUCUUUUGCUUUGUGGAGGGACCAUUCUAUCACCAAACUUGUGUUUGGAUUAACGGAAAUCAAUGAUGACGAGGAGACGCUGUUUGAAUAAAUUAAAUUUAAGGAAGUGAUAAAUGAUUACAAUUAUAAUUAAAAACUUAUAAAUAAUGUAAUAUUGUUGUAAACCACAUGCAUUGUAUAGAAUAAUUUUGAAUAGAGGUCAUUAUGCAAAGAUGAUAUUUAUACAACUUAGUAAAUUACUAUGCUAUAUUUCAUCUUAAUCAUUAAUAUACUGAAUUAAGAUUAACUUAAAUAUAAAUCUACUAUACUCUUUUUUUUUUAUAAAUCGACAAUAUUUAAAAAUAUGGAAUAACUCAUCCAAAAUAUGAUGAUCACAAAUAAAUAAAAAUUAGAAUUAUAGAACUAAAAAAAGAGCUGAUUUCUCCUCUUUUUUUUUUUUUUUUUUUUUUUUUUUUUUUUUCCAGCUACUUUCAUGAAUUUGCCGUUGCCCAUCUAAUGUAAAUGUUAAAGAAGUUACUUGUGUAUACUUUUCUCAUAUUUAAUUUGUGUCAUGAGAAAUAGCACAACCACUACAUAACGAAGCUUCCUCUCUUUGCUUCAUUGAUUCAAAUGUAAAUGUUAGAGAAGUUACUUGACGAUGCUUUUGUAUACUUUUCUCAUAUUUGUGUCAUGCAUGGAAGUAGCACAACCACUAGAGAACCCACACGACUUGUUCUUUGGUCUCAUAUACUUUAAACUUUUUGUUACUAAAAAAAUAUUUGAACGAAGCUUCCUCUCUUGCUAGUUGCUAGCCUAGUCAAUGAUCAUUAAAAGUAAAUAUGAUCAAUGUCAGUGGAGAAACUUAUCAAAAUUAAAAAUAAAUAACAUAUGCUAUGUCAAUGUCUCAACGUUCUUUUGUAAUGUAGACAUAGUCUCUUUGCAACUUCUGAUCCUUCUCCUGUUCUCCACAAAAACUCUCUUUAACGUUCUGUGAUAUUAUUCAUCUCUCCAUUCAUACUUGCUAAUGGAUUCUUCUUCUUUUUUCCUUACCACUAUUGUUGCAGCAACAAUUGGCUUCUUCACGAUUUUAUUCACGAUUUUUAAAAUACUCAGACUCCAUCAAGAAGAGGACGAAGAAACUUCAUCUCCUCCAUCUUCUUUGUCUCCUUCAUCUCCUCCAUCUUCUCUGAAUCGCAU